AAGUUGCCUCCAACGAUUUUACUCUGCCUUGGAUCUCAACCACUUUAGGACAUCACUGCAGAUAAAAUUUCUGGAGCUUCUUCAGGUUGGUCAGGUCAGGCAACUUGUCCACAGAUGGAACUCCUUCAAGCUUGAAGGCAAUUGGGUUCUCCAAAACUUGGAGGCUUCUGAACUCUCUCACUUUAGGGCGACGACCAACUUCCAAAUCUGACAGCGCCUUCCAAUUUGAAAGCUCUAUUCACGUUUUUAUUUCCUUGCAUGAUUCGGUAUCUAAGUACAACAAAUUUGGGGGAAGGCCAGGUCGGCAGUGCAGCUUCUUGGAGGGGACCAGUUCAGGUUCCUUGAGCUGUGAAAGAAAAAUGAUGUCUGAAGAUGGGGUGAUGAAAUAAUGAGAUUCCAACAGCAAGGAUUCCAGCUUCCCUAACCUUCUGAGCAACGAAGGACUUGGAGCUUCAAUGAAAUUAGAAGCAUCAUCCAAAUUGUCAAAACCUGAAUUUUACAUGCAAUUUGAAUAUUGAAUUAAUAAGUUACUUAUCAUCAAGUGAAUGUACAUAAUUUUUUUUACUACUUUACGUAAUUAAAACCUUGUACAGAAGAUCUGCCUUAAAAAGAUAUGUAGAAGCGCAAAUCUAAACAUCCCUAAACUCCGAACCAACCAAUAUGUAUAAUAUUUUUGAGGGAAUGAGUUGACAUUCAGUAAAUGAUAGCUCUACUUCCAAAAUGGGAGGCCUACCCACUACUCAACCCGAGAACAUAACAAUAGCAAUUUGCAAAUAAGGUCAUAUAUUAUUAUCAAUAGGAAAACCAAUAUUCACCUAAGACAGUGUAAUCCGUGCAUUAUAUAAAAAUGACUAUAAUUAUCUGUGCAAUGAAUAAAAUAGAAGCAAUGUAUGAUAUUCGUUUUAACGCUUAAAUGCACACAAUUGAUCAUACCAAAUCUCAUGAUGUAUAGACAUCAACAGCUCAUCGAUAGACACAAGUAUUUAUCUAUUACCUACUUGCUACUAGCCACGACUCAUCUUGACUACCUCAACUAACAAGACAUUGUGACCACUAAAUAAUGCAAGAAGAAAUCAUAAAUACAUAUUUACCACGCUUCAUCCCAUUCAUCACAGGUAUCCUCCAACGAUGAUAAAUACAGUACAAACGCAUAAUGACAGCUAUCCUAGACUCAAUUCUCAUCAAGAUUCAUACCCAUUCUAUUUUCUUUCUUCUCUCAAUCUUGGACCUCAAGUUCAUAAUAUCAUACAUAGGCUAUUCAAGUCACAUCAGGUUACACAAGUCAUAUAAUUUCAUGUAUAAAUCAUUGUACUUUACAUUUUCUCAAUCUUAUAGAGAACGGUAGAACAUCUGUCUUUUCCCAGAAUCUUAUAUACAUACUCAGAAAAAUUAAUUAUAGUGUUGGUAUAUUGCUAACAACACUCGUAGAAUUUCAAUGGAGUUGGUAAUUUACUUAAUAUGGGGAACAAGCACACUUGGAAGGUGCAGCACAGUGGAAAGUUGUAUGCCAUGUUCAAAAGUAUUGUUAUUAAUUUACUUACGAUACUGGUUAAAUUUCAAAUGAGUUGAUAAUUUACUACUUCAUUGAAAUAUUAGUAAAUUUCUGAUAGUGUUGUUAAUUCACUUACAACACCGGAAAGUUUCCAGAAGACUUGGUAAUUUACCAAUCUAGUGGGAAAUUGCUAAAUUUCCGACAGCUUUGGUAAUUUACUACCUCCUUACCUAACAAGCAAGUAACCAGUCAUUUUCUUUUACCUAACAAUUCCAAAUUUGCUGGUAAUACCACCAAAAAUUUCAAAGGAAGGAACUAGAAAGGCAGUAAUGAAUCCACUGAGAAGCAACUGCAGAAAUCUGUUUUAAGUUAUCAAAACUAAAGAACCUUGGUGACCAUUGCACAUGAUCAUUACCUAGGGAGCGUUUUAUGUUUACGCUGGACACAAUGUUUUGCCCCUGCUUCUUCGUUUCUUCAAUGUGGAAAUUUUGAUGGGAAAUCAGCGACAAUUCUGCGAAUAUGGUUGCUGAUGUCUGAUAGAAUUCGCGACACUGAAUGCAACACAUUCUCAGGGUAAUGCCUCAUGAACAAUAAUCUCUACGAAUGAAAUCUGGAGCAAGUGAUUUAAUCACUAAGUAAAGUAGGACCACAACAGACCAAGAGAAGAAGAAAGAAAUUGCAGAACCAAUCGAUUAUAGUAAGAUUUCAUGCCUUCCAGGACAAUAUUUCGGUUUUAGCUAGACCUUGACAAGCUCAGAAGAACAACUGAUUCGCCAUGUAUGGUUUGAACUAGUUCCUAAGGAGCGAAAAUCAAUCCCCUCACGGGUGCAGAACCGAACUGAGGCACAGGAGUAGCAAUGUGUUUCAAUAGAAUGCGACUUGUGGUUUAGACCAAAGCUAUGCAGAUGGAACAUAAAUUCAAUCCCCUACUUGGAGAAAUCUGAGUUUUAUUGAGAAGCUGGUGGAUAGAUGUGGCAUUGUGUUUCCAGAUCUAAGGCCCAACUGUAGCAUAGAUGGAAGCAGAUGAGCAGGGUUUAGCAUGUGACUAGAACUAGGCAAAAGCUAUUAGUGUUAGAUGCAAAUGACAGGGAUCAAUCAUCGAGUCAACUAUUUAAAGAACUGAUACUGAUUUGAGAAUCGCUCUAUUGUUUCCAUUGCAUUAUAUACCUAGUUGCAUUGCAGAACAGACCCAACUCAUGAAAAUGGCAGUAGAUGAGAGGAAUUACUGGAGGUGGAUGGGGUGAAGGUGAAGUGUCUGAAUCAAAUGCUGAGAAGCCAAUAAAAAUCUUGGCUCUGAGUUCAGCUGAAGAAAGACUCUUUAUUAGAUAGUCCACUCACCCUUGUGUCUUGCUUAUGCAGGAAGGUGAGGACUUAUUAGUUGCAGGUACACUGAAAGCCGAUGACUAUUGAUGACCGAAGGUGCCAAAACAAGGAAGUUGGGAUGUAAAGUAACCCUCCUGCACAGAAUAGUUGCCUGAGUUAUGACCUUGCAAGACAAACAUUUGAAGGUUGAGGGCUCUGGAGUGUGUGAAACUGCUUAAUACAGUUAACCAUGGAUGGUUCGAACAGUACUUCCAAGCCAUACUGGUGUGUUUGAUUAGCACUUAGGAGGUGAGGCGGUCAACCACCCUCUUAUCUAGUUGACUUGGGGUAAAAUGAAUUGUCCAUAUUACCGCUAGAAGGAAUCCUCAAAUAUUUUUCUUUUGAACAAGGAAAAUUUAAUUAUCGUAUUAUUUAGAUUUUAAUGGUCCAACCAUUGGAAAUUACAAUUGGUUAUUAAUAUUAUGCUAUUAUAAGUAAACAAAAUAUAAUCAACUUAUAUUUAUAUAUUAGCUAUGAAUACUGAUAAAUAAAUAAUAGAUUGAUACCAAAAAUAAAAUAAAACAAUAGAUUGAUAUAUUGAUGCACUCCACCAUCUGUACCAAUUCCAUAAGACACCACUUACUGUUGACAUAGCCUUUAGAGAAGAUGGGUAUCAAGAUUUUGGACUGCUCAAUUGCUUGGAGAAGCACUGAACCGAUCUCUUCGCCAGUACGAAGCUCUUCGUUAUCUCUGUAUGCUCAAAUUCCAGCAUCAAUGAGACUGGUAUACAGGAUAUCAGCAAUAUCCAAGUGUGUAUCGGGUCCUCUAAAGCUCAAGAAUACUUUGUAACAUGUUGACAUGGCUUCACAACUUCCAGCGUUUGAGAUGAUUCCUCAGUAGACAAGCAGCAGCAGAAUCGCCAACGGCUUCUGUGAUCCCGUUGUCUGUUUUCACCUCUUCACUGGUUUGUACAGAAAGAUGGAAACAAUGGAAGCGACGAUCAAUGCUGAGUGCGAGGACCGACCUCGGUGCACCCUCUAAACUUAUAAAAACAAUGCUGUGAAGAUGUCUGUCAGGAUGGGAAACAAAUGUAUGUGAGAUCUGCUCAGGUCAAUGAUUGAUGUCAGCCUUUUUCUGGGUAACAUUGUAUCUAAUAUAUAUUCUAUCGUCUUCAAAAACUAAAGAAGGAUGCUUCCUCUUCACUUCAAUCGAGGCAUACACGAUUUAGUUAUUUUUGUUGGCCAUAUACACAUGAUUAAAACGCGGCCUCUCUAUGGCAACCACGAGGGAGGAUAAGAUAACCUCAACGGAGCAUGCCAACAAAAGAGACAGCUUUUACCGUAUUAGUGAUGAUUACCUUGGAUUUUUUACUAUCAUUCUUCGUAUACAAAAGCUACUAGUCCCUGAUAUGUUGAUGAGUCCGUUAAAACUUCAAAAAUUUCUCACCCCUCAGAGGAGGAAUUGCUUAUAGCAAACAUUGGUAUGUCCAUUAAAUAUUUUUAUUAUAAUAGAUAGGGCGUGAAAAGGGGUUUACUUCGACCAAAAUUCAAGCACGACCCAAAGAUUUCAAGCCACAGAUCCUGAAACCUCGAACUUAGGCUUGGCUCAAGACAAUAUGAAAUGGCAUGACUCGUAGUAGUUUGAUGCAACUGGUUUUCACACACCUCAAUAUUAGUCCAUCUCACAGGCAACCGCAAUGGGGCAUUCUCUCAUAUUGGCAAGGUGCUUCCUGAAGUGCUUCUAACAAGGUUUGAACUAACACCACGAGGAAAAAGGCAAACUCCCUUGCUAAUUUCUAAUAGGCUAAGAGUGACUUUUUCAUAUGAAAAUAAAAUUGCUCACGUGAAAAUACUAGUAAGUGAUAGAUAUGCACUUGCUUUUAGGAGCAACUACUAAUCAUGAUGAAAAGAUCCCUUCUUAGAACAAUUGACAUACAGAUGAAAAAACAAAAAAUAUGAAGAGUUAUUGAGGGAAGACUAAUAGACGAAAGACUAUUUAUCCUUACUAAGUACUAAUGAUUACUUAUUUUCUUCUAAUCACGGCAGAAAAUUUACUAAUAAAAGUACCUAGUACAUUGACACUUACUUUUUCAAGUGAUUUGAUAUCAACCGAGUGCAGGUUUUUCUAUCUGAUAAAAACAUAUUAUAUCUUAAAUGAUAACUUCCUAAUCAUGUGAAAAAUAACUUAUCAUAAGUAUCUAUGUAUUCUCUUCUCUAGAGCAAGCAUAUAUAAGUAGUUAUAAGUUUUAGGCCAAUUACCAUACAAAAAAAAAAAAUUCCCAACUUUACACUUGUGCUAAUUUUUUUUGUCAAGUAUAAUGCAUAUGAAAGAGACGUCAGAACUUAUUCUUUUGUGCACAAUCCAUCCUCUGUUAGUCCAUCAGCCAGCAAAGAAAAAAUGGUCGUUGCCUUAUUGAUGUGGCGACUAAGGUGACUAAUUAUCACCAUGAAGCGUCAUUAUAAGUAAUUAAUAUAAAUCGAUAGUUAAAGAAGUUACUUUUGAAGAUUAGAGAAAAAGGCAACAGAGGAAAAAAGCAUCGAUAUGAUUUAGUGGUCUUUUCGAUUCAGGAAUUUCUAUUAGCUCAGUUCAAAGAAGAAUAUGCUAGUAUUUUGCCAGGUAUACUAUUGAGGGCAUGCAGCUGCAACCUCGAAAGGUGGUACACAUUGUAAAGUUCUUAGAUACAAUCGACAUAAACUUAAGGCCGAAAAAGAGAGCUAGUGCAAAGUUCGGUUAUCAAAUUUUCCAUCAAUUUGGUCCUUCAAAAGUUUUGUGUUCUUUGGACUCUAUAGCUUCUUCCUGAAGGUGGGAAAUUCACAAUCAAUCUUUAUACUCUUUCACUGUCUCGACCGCCACAUGAAAGAAUACGAACUGUGGAGAGAGCAGAAGACUUUCAUAUCAUUGACAGUCUGUACAUGAGAAAAUGGUAGGAACAGAAGAUGCACAGCAGAAGCAAUAUGAAAAAUAAUCUUCGAGCCUUAGCUCUUAUUCAACAUUAGAAUAACAGUAGAAGGAGCUUGCAAUACUUAAAGCUUCUGUGAUGCCGCCCAACCCCUGAAAUCAGGCGGAACCAUCGCCUACAUUCUUCCAUCCACCAUACUUAAAAGUCCAGGAGAGAACAAAUAUCCUAAAAAAUUACUCUGACAAGUCGGAUUCCACAAGAUCAGACUGCGUCUCCGCCUUCAAAGUCCUCCACCGAUCAUCAUAACCCAGAGAAUCUUCUACCUUCUCACACUUAUGUAUAAGCAAAGAAUUCAGCUUCUUGUGGCUUGAUGGAUCGGGUAACUUUCCAGAAGAUUUACAGGAACCAAUCCAGACCGUCUCCAACAAUUCUGGUCUGCCUUUGAUCUCGAUCACUUCGGACAGCACUGCAGAUAAAGUUUCUGGAGCUUCUCUAAGUUGGUGAGGUCAGGCAACUUGUUCACACAUGGAACUCCUUCAAGCUUUAAUGCUCUCAGGUUCUCCAAACCUUGGAGGCCUCUGCACUCACUUUAGGGCAAUGAGCAACUUCCAAAUCUGACAGCACUUUCAAAUUUGAAAGGUCUAUUAAUGUUUCCUGCAUGAUUAUAUAUUUAAGUACAACGAAUUUGGGGGAAGGUGAAAUAGGCGUUGCAGCUUCUUGCAGUGGACCAGUUCAAGUUCCUUGAGCUGUGAAAGAAGAAUGAAGAUGGGGAGAUGAAAUAAUGACAUUCCAACCGCCAGGACUCCAGCCUGCCUAACCUUCUGAUCCAUUAAGAACUCGGGAGCUUCAUUGAAUUCAGAAGCAUCCUCAAAAUUGUCAAAACCUGGAUUUUCCAUACAAUUUGAAUGCCAGAUAAGUAAGUAAUUUAACAUCGAAGGACACACAUUAAAGAUCCACCUUUGUAGAAACACUAAUCUAAAUGUCUGUAAACUCCGAACCCAACCAAUAUAAACAAUAUUAUGGACAAUAUUUUGGAGGGAUGAGUCUAAUCUCAGUAAAUGAGAGUUCUAGGUCCAUGUACCCAUCAGUCAAUCCGAGAACACAACAGUAUAGUAACGAUUAUGGUCAAUUGGAAAAACAAUACUCACUUGAGAUAUGUAAUCCAUGCAUUAUAUACAAAUGACUAUAAUUAUCUGUGCAAGGAAUCAAAUAGAUGCACUCCAAUGCAAACAAUUGAACGUACUAAUCUCAUGUGUGCAAUACCUGUUGCUCAUCCAUAUACACAAGUGAGUAUUUAUACCAUACUUGUCACUGGUCAUGACUCAUCUCGACUAACGAGACAUCGUCACCAACUCAUGAGAUGAAAUCAUAAAAACAUUUUUGUCACGCUUUAGUCCAUUCAUCAGGGAUAUCCUCCAGCAAUGACAGAUACAAUACUCUACACCCACAUGAUGAUGGCUAUCCCAGACUCAUUCUCAUCAAGAUUCUUACCCAUUCUAUUUUCUUUCUAGUUCUUGGACCUCAAGUUCAUAAUAUCACAUACGGGCUAUUUAAUUCACAUUUUUUUACACAAAUGUUAUCAUUUCGUGUAUGAAUUAUUGGACUUCAUGUCCUUUCGACCAUAUAGAGACCUUGUUUGAAAGGUAGAAUAUUCGUUUUUUCUAGAGUCUUAUAUAUGUACUUAGGAAAUUCAUUGCAGUGUUGGUAUAUUACUAACAACACUUGCAAAAUUUCCAUGGAGUUGGUAAUUUACUUCAUUAUUAGAAAAUUACUAGCAAGAUUGGAAAAUUACUGAUAAGAUUGGAAUUCUACCAACACAGAAAGUUUUCGAUUUUCCACUGCAUGGGAUCGUAAAAUUUUGCAAAGCUUCGUAAGUCUCUACCUCUGCAACAAGAACUUAAAUCCCAACUGAUAAUUUCAAUUGUUGAAACUAGAAAUGCAGUAAUGAAUCAAUCAGAAGCCCCUUUAGAAAUCAAUUGUAAGUUAUCAAAACUAAAGGACCUUUGUGACCAUUGCACAUGAUCAUUAACUAGGAGGGUUAUGUUUGCACAUGAACAUUACCCAGGGAGGGUAAUGUUCAUGCUAGACAAGAUGUUUUGCCCUACUUCUUCAUUUCUUCAAUGUGGAAAUUUUCAGGGAAAUCAGCAAAAAUUCUGCGAAUACAGUCACUGAUGUCUAAUUGAAUUCACAACACUGAAUGCAACACAUUGCACAUUAAUCUCCGCGAAUGAAUUCUGGAGCAAGUCAUCUUGAAUCCUCGAUGAAUUUCCCCCAUGACGAUAUUAAUUAAUAAUUACACCCACUAAAAAUUUCAGAGGUAAGUAGGACCACGGCAGACCAAGAAAAAGAAGAAAGAAAAUUGCAGAACCAAUCGAUUAUUCUAAGUUUUCAUGCCUUCCAGGACAAUAUUUCGGUUUUAGCCAGACCUCGACAAGCUCAGAAGAACAACUGAUUCCCCAUGUAUGUUUUGAACUAGUUCCUAAGGAGCGAAAAUCAAUCCCCUCGCGGGUGCAGAACCAAACUGACGCACAGGAGUAGCAAUGUGUUUCAAUAGAAUGCGACUUGUGGUUUAGACCAAAGCUAUAUUAAAGAUUAGAUGCAGCUAUGGAAGAAAAUCAAGUGAGUCAGCUCCCGAGCGAGUUCAUCGAAAGGCUGUUUUCAUUUCGUAGGUAUGACAAGUCACGACUGAAAAUAAUAAAAACCAACUCAAUCCGUCCCAAAUCUUUUCCUAAUCUAUCACAGAUUGCAUCCAAGAUUCGCAUGCGGACCCAAUUCAUGAAAAUGCGAAGAGAAAAUUACCAGAAAACCAAAUAAAGAUGCGAAGAAGGAAAAAGCAAGACCUUUUUUUAAGACUCGUGGGAACAGAUGGGCGGGCAGGAAGACGGGGGUGGCAGUCCCCGGAGGGAGAUCUCCGCCUGGUCGAAUCGCGUCUCGUUCUUGCUUGCGCUCGGGGUCGCCGUCGCGUUCCUUCACAAUCGGAGUCCGUCGCUGCUUGUUCUGGGUGAGCUCCUCGCUCGGGUCGUCGCCGAUGACUGAUGAGGGGAGGAAGACGAAGGAAGGAGAACGAAAGAACGUGAGCAGACAGAGGGGGGGCAGCGGGAGAAAAAACGAAACAAAAAAAAAAAAAAGGAGAGAGAAAAAGUUGAUAUUUCUUAAAGAGUGGGUCCCACCUUUACGCGUCAUUUGGAGAUAAUAUUCCUCACUAAUCUGAUACGGAAUCUUCUCUCCGUGAUUUCAGUUCUCUAAACCAAAAUUCUUGAUAGGCUCUCCCCACUUUUUCACUUCGAGAUAAUAUUCCUCACUAAUCUGAUAAGAUUCUAGAGAGGCUCUUCUCACUUUUUUCAAAUGUCCGUACUCAUCGGAUUCCAGAGUCUCCUCCAAUCUCUCACAUUCCUUUAUACGCACGCACUCUAGAUUCUUUAAGCUUAAAGGAUCAGAAAAUUGAUGCAGAGACCCGCAGCCACUUAUAUUAAGGAUUUGCAAUGAUUCUAGCCUACCUGGAAUCUCAACCACACGAGGGCAAUGUUCUAAAGAAAAAGCAUACAAGUUCUUGGUAUUGGUCAGGUCAGGCAACUUCUGUAGCAACAGAAGAUUAUAUAUAAGUAACCACUCCAAGUUCUCCCAAGCUUCCAGGCCUUGAAUCUCUUCUACCUUCCAACAACUAGCUAUACGAUAUAUUUGUAUAUGCUUGAAGCUCAAUGGAUCAGGCAGUUGUUCGAGUGAUUGACAACGCACUAAAUCAAAAUACACCAACGAUUCUAGCUGACCUCGAACCUCAACCAAUUUAGGACAAUCAUUUAUGUAUAAAUCCUGGAGCUUCUUCAAGCCGGUCAGGUUGGGCAACUUCACCAGUGACGGAAGAUACCCAAGACUAAGCAAUCACAGGCUUUUCAAAGGUUCCAGAACUUGAAUCUCUAUUAGUUGUUCACAAUAAGAGACUUCCAAUUCUGAUAACUUCUCCCAAUAUGAAAAAUUUAUUGACUUUUCCAUUAACCCACGCCCAUCCAAAUGGAAGUAUGACAAAUUCUGAGGAAGCUUAGGUAGGCAUUUUAGAUUAUUUGCAAGGAGUUUAAGCUUCCUGAGCUUCGAAAGGAGAUUAAAAUCUAAAGGUAGGGUGACCAAAUAAUCACAAUACAACCCCAAGGACUCUAGCUUUCUUAACCCUCCGAUCCAAUUGAGGCUUGGAGUUGGACGGGAAGGGCUCUGAUACUCUAAUUUCAACAUCAAAACUCUCAAAUUUAUUAGGUUCGAGAGAUCCGGGCGUCUCAUCUGUAGAUUAUUGGUUAGGACUAGUUCGGUCAAACUUUCAGGAAGCUUAGGUAUAUUGGAAAUUCUCGUGCCUGAUAACGUCAAGAUUCUUAGAAAUGAUAGUUUUCCGAUCUCACUUGGAAUUUCCCCACUCAAAUAUCUACAACUGCUGGCAUGGAUCUUUUCAAGCUUCUCCAAUGAUAGUCUUCCAAUCUCACUUGGAUUUUCCCCACUCAAACAUCCAUAACUGCUGGCAUAGAACUCUUCAAGCCUCUCCAACUUCCCAAGGGCGCUAGGUAGCUUUUCUAACAUGGAGUCAAAGAUCCUUAGUAUUCUCAAGUUCUUCAUCGUCUCUAUUGAGUCGGGUAACUCUCGUAUGCUUGAACAAGAAAGAUCUAACUCGACGAGAGAUCCAAAAUUUCCAAGUGGAAGUUCACUCAGUAAGCGACAUGACGCUGCACUGAGAGUUUCCAAUUUCUCCAUUCCGUUCCAUUCAGGAAUUUUGGUAACAGAUGUCCCAUCAAGAAGAAGUUCUCUCAAGUCUUCCAUUUCUUCCAUCUCGUCUGGCAAUGUCUGAAGUUUCCCACAAUAUUUCAAGUUUAAUAACACUAAAUGCUUUAACCUACCGAUAGACCCAUGGACUUCAACCAGUUCCAUGCACCCUUGAAGAAUCAGUUGCUCUAAAUUUUCAUGAGCAGAAAGGUCAGGAGUUCUAUGCAAGUUUCCACAUCCAGUCAAAUUUAGAACCUUCAAAUUCUUUGUCAUCUGUAAUGAAGAGAAGAGGUUGAUUCUGAAUAAAUUUUGAGAUACUGGACAGCAAAGUCAAUAUAGCAAAUUCAUGUCGAAAUAAUACCGUACCUUGAGGUGGUUCCAUCCCUCCCACUCAUCAGUAAUUUCACUCCUUGAUAGAUCAAGAAUCAUUAGCUUCUUAAGACAAAUUGUGAUGAAUUUGAAAUAGACAGGAAAGUUAUGCCAUGAGAGCAUUAACAAAUUAGGAAGCAUGAUCAGAUUCCUCUGGCACAAGUUAGUAGAAGGAAAAUGCUGACCGUUGCUCUCAUCCAAGUCUACACAAUCCACUUGAAGAAAUCUUAAUUUUGAUAGGCUUAUAGAUUCUUCCUUCUCAAUGAAGUCUUGAAAUUGACGAUCAAACCUUAGACAUAUUGCUUCAACGUUUUCUCUUCCCUGCCAAAAAAGAAAAAAAAAAAAAAACAUCAAACAAAAGCUAGUGAUCCCAUAAUUGCCUAUUGAAGGCAUUCGUGUUGAAUAUACUUGAUAAUGUACUUCUUACAUAUAAUUAAAAAUUAAUUUGCAAUAUAAUUUAUAGAUGAGCAUGUGAUCAUACUAAGCACACAAGUAAUGACUCGGUUUAGAUAGAAGCAAAUAAGCAAAUUCAAUGUGUAUAACUCGUCUCUUUGAAUAGGAACAACAUUGAAAAUACUUUACCUCCUUUAUUUCAAGGACAUCUAUCAAUUCCUCAUGAUCCCACACCCGACUUUGCUUCUCUAGCUUAAAAUGAGCUCUUUGACGAACAAUGUCUCGCCCAAGGUCUCUUAGCUGAUCAUGCACCCACAGUCGGUUACCUUGGACAAUCUUCAUUAACGAUUUCCGUUUGAGGACUUCAAGAGAAUAUUUAGGGAAAAGCUUAUGGCUGGCCCACAUGUAAGUCACAAUUCUCACAUCAAACCCAACAUAGAAGCAACAAAUAUCAAGAAAUAUUUCCUUCUCUUAAGGUUCUAAUGCCUCAAAACUGAUGUUUAGCUUCCUUUUAACCUCUGUAGAGGGAAUAGCUUUCAACCUUUCUAAUGUGACCACCCAAAACUCUCUGUCUUUUCCAGCUAAAAAUGAACCUAUUAUCUCUAGAGCCAAAGGAAGAUGACCGCAGAUUUCUAACGCUUUUUUCGAGAGGGAAACGUAUUCUGCUGGGGGACGAUCUCUUCUAAAGGCAUGUUUGCUAAACAGUAGAAGAGAAUGAUUGAAAUCCAUUUCAGUAAGUUCGUACUUAAAAUCAACAUCUUUGAGAACUUCCUUGUUUCUUGUGGUAAUAAUAACCUUACUUCCUCUGCUGUACCAGCAUUCACCUAUCCCUACAAGAGUGUUUAGCUGAGUGUUUUGGUCGACAUCAUCAAGCACAAGUAAAACCUUUUUAGAGGAUAACCUCUCCCUGAUCUCAGUAAUCCCUUCAUUAAUACUAUUGAUGGAUGGCCAUUCCAUUCUUAGGACUUUAGAGAGAAGCUGAUUCUGCAAAAUCACAAUCUUUGUCUCUCGAAUGUUAGACAGGAAGCAACAGUUAUCAAAAUCAGCCGACAGUUUAUUAUAGACGAUAGUGGCAAGAGUUGUCUUUCUGACACCACCCAUACCAUGGAUGCCAACAAUCUUUGUUCCAGUGGCCUGUGUACCCAUCUUUUCCAUGAUUUUGUCCACAUAAUCGAGUUUUGUUCCAGCGGUUUGUGUACCUAUCUUUUCCAUGAUUUUGUCCACAUGAUCGUCCAUUUCAACCAAGUAAUAAGGUUCUGCCAAGUUGUUCUUUUUUAACUUGAUCAACAGCGUCCGAACAACUUCUUCUGUGAACUCCCCUUUGCCUCUAACAAUAGUGAAGGCAAAAGGACCAAACUGUUAAAUUGAGAUGAACAGAAUAAUACCAAGCUACAAACAAUCAUGAACAAUAAUAAAUUCAAAUACCUCUCCUUGAGUUCCCAUCCUCUUAAAUCUCCAACCUUGCUGAGAGCUGUCUUCCACUUCUCAAUAGUCUCAUUAGUGAACCGCUUCUUAUUUUUGUGUGAAGUAAUGGCCUCACCGUAACUUCCAGUUUGGUAACGAACCUCAGCUGGUGUUAUGUCAUAGAAAAUUGGCAUGAUCUUUUGUCCCCACUUUUCCUUGCACUCCACCAUGUGGACCAACUCCAUGAGGCACGAUGGACUGGCAGCAUAUCCUUUAGAUAAGAUAGGAAUCGAGAUUUCCGACUGCUCAAUUGCUCGGCGAAGCUCCGGAUCAAUCUCUUCCCCAAUGGGAAGCUCUUCAUUAUCUCUAUAUGCUCGUAUUCCGGCACGAAUGAGGCUGUUGUAAAGGUAAUCAACGAUGUCACGGCGAGUGUCUGGUCCUCUGAAACUCAAGAAUGCUUCAUAAACAAAUUCCGUUGGCUUCUCCGUUUCCUGAAUUCUCAGAGGACUCGCAAUGACCUGACAAUAUUCCAUGUGAAAAACGUUUACUAUGAAAGCAGGGUGAUAAUUAUCACCAUUUCUCUCAGAAACUCUUCUGUUUUAAGUCUUUCUAGGAAGAAAACCAAGAUGACAAAUGCACGAGCUCCUUCGUGGCCUUGCACUACACACCAAAAUAUGACUGAAUAUUUUAAAAUAAUAUAGUAGAGAAGUGGACCCAUCUCAAUUCUAAAGGAAGAAAUUUUCAAAGUAUUGUGGAAUUAUGGGUUAUAGUUCACACUUGAAAUUGAUUUGAGAGAAUAAUAUUUUUUGAGAAGAUAAAUCACUAUCAACCUAUAUUAGUCCGCACAUCAUGCCUGCUUCCGCUUGUAGAUUGACUAAUUAUUUUAUUGUUUGAUAAGAAAUUAUAAUGAAACAUUCCUCUUUUAUUUUACCAAAAUAGAUUUGACAGACAUACCGCGACCCUCAAUUAGUGCUCCCUUGGCCUUAACGGACGCAAGCGAAGAAUCGCCCCCAAUGAAGAUCUCUAAUUGGAAAAGUGAAAUCAAGACAUUGCACCGGAGCUAAUUCAACCCUCUCCGUUGGACCAGUUUCUAGAAAGCAUUAACCGAUCUCCAAUUGCAGUCAAAUCUUAGUUUAUUAACAUACCGGCACAGGGUCAAAGGCGAGCAUUAGAAGCUAACGUUCGCAUUUGCCAGAAAGUAUCAGCAUAUCAGAAAAAGAGGGGUGAAUUACUAACCAAUAAUGUAGUUGAUGAAAUUUCAGCAGAAAAAAGAAGCAUGAACGCUAUAAUUGUUUUUCCAGAAAAUAAGUUUGAACACACAGGAGCGCAGGAACGAGAACUGUACUUUACAGAAGCGGAGACUUCCAGUGGACCACAGAGUGCUACGUUAUAGUCCUAUUCAUUUCGUCUCUACUGUUGAAUACAGUGUUAAGGGUAUCUAUUUUCUGCGUAGGAGCGUUCUUACUGCUAAUCACUAGACAAUAAUGUACGAAUUUGUCAUAUUGAAGUCUCUUAAAGAUACCACUAUCACCGUUCGCACAAAAUAGCUUUUAGCGCCAGCAAUCCACGCGAAAACUCAGAGAGACAGAGAGAGAGGGAGAGAGUAUACCCGGGUGGCGAGCUCGUAAGACUGAGCGUUGUCGAUGAUGGAACCGGACUUGCCUCCGCCUUCGCCGCCCUCCCUCCUCUUCUUCUUGCCGCUCCUCUUCUUUGGCUCGUCGUCGCGAGGGCCGCCGCCGGCGCCGCCGAGGAGCUCACUCCGAGGCUCGACACCGCUCGUCUCCGCUUCAGCUUCGUGCGGUCUCUUCUUCUUCGCCAUUCCCGCUCUCCGAUAUCAGAAAGUUUUGAUCUUUCGACACGGUAAGAGGUCGACUGGUGAAGGGAUUAGGCGUCGAUGUUGGUGGUGGUGGUGGUAUUGCGUUUCAGGAUCUGAGGCCUGACAGUUGCAUAGAUGGAAGUGGGUGGGCAGGGUUUUAGCAUGUGACUCGUGAGUUAGAGGCUAAAGCUAUUAGUGUUAGACGCAGCUGGCAGUGGUCAAUCAUGGAGUCAACUAUUAGUUGUUAGACGCAGCUGGCAGUGAUCAAUCAUGGAGUCAACUAAGGAAAAAAUUGGAUGCUGAUCUGAGAGUCCCUCUAUUGUUUCCAUCAAAUUCUGCAUCUAGUUGCAUCACAGAACUGACCCAAUUCAUUAAAAAUAAGGCAAUAAGCGAGAGGAAAUUACCGGAGAUGAAGGGGGUGAAGAUGAAUAGUCCGGAUCAAAUGCUGAGAAGCAGAUGAAGAUCCCAGGAAUAAACGUUCUUGGCUUUUGAGUUCAGCUGAAGAAAGACGAGACUUAUAUAAGACGGUGAAUUCACCCUCCUUCGCCGUGCCCUUCCAGGAAAGUGAGGACUUACUAGUUGCAGGGAAACUUCGGCCCGACCGUGAAAAUGUGAAUACGCGUUUUGCUCUUGACUUUCGAGUAAACGAGUUGAGUUACUGGGAAAUUUCUCGAAGUCCGGAAACCUUUUGGUACGAAGGGCGAGAGUACAAGAGGAUUUUCAUUGCAUGUUAUUAGUUUAAAAAUCAUACAAUUUAUAUUAAUUGAUGUUCUUUUAACGACGAUGAAGGUGAAUCCUAGGCCCAUUCAAAUUUUAUAUAUAUUAAACCAAAAAAUGUAGAGUCCAUGUAUUCUACAUAUGUCAGAGUUACACACAAUGGGUUCAAAAAACAAAAAGAAAUUAGAAAAAAUAGCGUCACUAAUGUGAUAACUUCCUCACAAUACUUACUUAAAUUUAUUACUUUUUUGAGAUUGAUUAAGUAAUAUAAUUUUCAUUUGACGUUCAUCUAAAUACCAUAAUUAAUUUUUUAGUCACUUGUGCCAUGACUCGUCAAAUCGUGAGGACCGCUGGUCUACCACUGUCCUUCUAGGUUCUCCACUUUUGACGCUUCCUCUUUUCUCCAAAUUUUUACUUUAUUCUUUUUAAUUUUUUCUUAAAAUCUGCUGACCUAGCAGCUAUAUCAAUGCCUCCAUCUUCAAGGAAAAAUAAUCAUGAUCAUUUUUCCUAUUAACUGAAUCAGAUGGAGUUAAUAGCAGGACUUAACCGCACUAAUUUAAUGAAUUUUAAAAUUUGAUUACACUUUUUAAAAAAUUUAAAAUUUGAAGGCACUUUUGCAACAUAUUUUAAGAUUUAUGGAGCAUUUAUCCCCUCUUAUGAGAUAAUAACACAAAUGAUCUUUAAACUUUGAUUUAAUAUGUAAUGUUAUCCUUAGAAUUUUAAUUUGUUCAAUGGGAUAUUUAAAAUAUUGAUAGGUGUUCAAUUUAGUCUUUAGAUUGAAUGCAUUAUUUCCAUAUAGUUUAGCAACUAUAUUGGAUAUUUGUUAAUAGUUCAUGGAUCACAUUAAAUAAAUUAAAAAAAUUUAAAAUGACAUAACAUAUUUUGCCAAAUUUCAAGGAUCACAUAAAAUAAAUUCCAAAUUCAGAGACAACAUUAGAUAUUGGACAAAAUAUAAGGAUUAUUUAUGUCUUUUUUUUUUCAUUUUUUAAAUCUAAAACUCCAUAAACUUAAGGAUAGACAAAUAAUUUACAUAUAAUUUUUUGAUAAUUUUCCGAGAUUUGAACAAUAAUUUAAAUUUUGACAAAAAAGUAAAAGAACUAUUAUUUAAGUCCAAGCAAAGAGGCAUUAGAUCAAUUAAUUUUCGCCAUUUCUUUACAGUGUCACUUCGCGUGGGCACCAUUUUCAUGGGAGAGACGAUUGCUGCGUUGACGCCCAGGAAAGUGAGGACCCGCUGGUUGCAGGGAAACUUCAAGCCAACCGUGAAAAACGGAAUACGUGUUUUGCUUUCGACUUUUGGGGAAAUGGAGUUGAGUUUCUGGGAAAUUUCUCAAAGUCCAAAGAUUCUUCGGCACGAAAGGCAGGAGUACGAGAGAUUUUCAUGGGUGUUAUUUGAUUAGAAAUCAUUCGAUUUAUGCUAAUUGAUAUUCUUUUAAUGACGAUAAAACCCUAAUUUUGUAGGUGAAACCCAAGCCCAUUCAAAUUUUACAUAUACUAAACCCAAAAAUGUAGAAUUCAUAUAUUUUAGUUAAGGGAAAAUGCCACAAAAAAUCCCAAACUUUAUUAACCGUGACAUAAUUACUCCACCAAGAACAUUUUCGUCUUAUCUUUUCUAUUCUUGCUUUUUCUUUUUCUUUUUUUCCUUUUUCUCUCUCUAUCUUCUCGCCGCCAAGAGAAGAAGAAGAAAAAAAGAAUUUUUUUUUUUAUAAAAAAAAUAACGAAAAUAUUCAAUAAUUUAGAGUAAAUGUGUCACACAAAUACAAGUUCAUGAAUUUUUGUGUCACAAAAAAAUUUGAGGUAAAUAUGUCACGGUUAGCAAAGUUUGGAGUUUUUCAUGUCACAACAAAAAGUUUUUGAUAAAUUUGUCACUUUAGGCAAAAUUUGGGAUUUUUGAUGGUUUUUGAGUUUGUAAGACAAAAAGGUUAGGAAAAAUAACACCAUAAAUGCCAUAACUUUUGUACAACACUCACUUAAGUACUAUAACUUCUUCUUUUUUGGAUUAUUUGAGUGAUAUAACUUUUGUUGGGCACUACUUAAAUGUCAUAACCUUUUUUUUCGAUCACUUGUUCCAUAACUUUUUAAAAUCAUUCACCAAGUGUUGAAAAUUUGACUUGAUAUAAUAUGCUUGAUGAACAUUUUUAAAAGUCAUAGCACUUAAGUAAAGUUAUGACACUCAAGUAGAUUUUCUUUAAAGGUUACAUCACAUAAAUAAUUGGGGAAAAAAAUUAUGGCAGUAAAGUAAAUGUCUUACGAAAAUAAUGACAUAUAGGGUAUUUUAUUUGUCAAAAGUUGCAUUCAGUCAUAUAGGAACAAAGCUCCAAAAAUAUUAUAAUACUAGUGAAAGCUUACCAACUAUAGAUGGUUUGAACAUGACUUUCAAGACCAGGGACAUCAAUAUGUGCAACCAUAGUAGUGUGUUUGGUUAGCAUUUAGCAAGUUGGGUAGCCACCUAACCGUUGUGUACUUGGAAUAUUUGGGGUGAAAUGGUAAUGUCCAUAUCACCACUGGAAGGCAAGGCAUCGAGAAACUUAUUUUUUACCAAGGAAAAUUUUAAGAGAAACUCAAUUAUCUUAUAGUCCAAAAAUUGGAAAUUACGAAAUUAUAAGUAAAUCAUUAACUACAAAAUGCAACUUAACUUAUAUUUAUAAAUUAUUUAUGAUUAAACAUAGAAUUAAUAAUAUGUUGAUAUGCAUCGAUGAUGAUUGAUCAACAAAAGAAUUAUUCCAUUGUUUUUAAACAAUGACUGGUAAAUUAAUUUAAAUUACUAUCAUGAUAAUGUACUAUGGAUAUCUAAAUCUAAAGGAAAUGCAAUCAUACUGUAAAAUCUAUGUUAAAUAUUGUUAUUUUUAUUGCAUUUUAUUCUCAAUUUGGUUUUCAUAAAAGUUGACGUGGCAUUUUUCAUUUGUGUUUAUUUUAAGAGAGGCGCUUAUGAGGAUGCUAAUGCCAAAUGUUCAAUUUUCUAAUCAAGAUAUGAAAAAUUGUUUGAAAAUUUUGGAGAAAUAAAGAUCUUAAAAAAAGGAUAGAAAAAUCAGACAAGAAAUCAUUCUUAAGAGGUGCAAAAGUCUCCAUCAAGUAGCUUGGAACAUCAUUUAUUUAAAAAUUAAAAAAAAAAGCUCCAAACAGUGUUCAUGACGGUGGAGAUUGCAUUUGUUGUUGCAUGAAUUCAUCCUACCAUAAUCAAAUUUAAUUCGUGAAAUUUAAUCUGCUUUUGGUUUCGUGUGAAAUUUAUUUGCCCACGUCAUUGACGAAGCUCUUGAAGAAGCAUGGGAAGGUGGUAGAGAGGGCCAAGUUGGCUUUGCCGAAGUCCGGCGAGGAACGUUGGCCAACCACCGUCCUUCUUGGUUCUCCACUGUUUGACUCUUUCUCUUUCUUCCAAAUAUUUUUUUUUCCAGGAUUUUAUUUCUAGAAAUCCUGGAAUCAAUUUUUUUCCCUUUUUCUUACAUUUUUUCUUAAAUUUUGCUGACAUGGCAGACAUUUCAAUGCCUCUAUCUUCAGAAAAAAAAAAUCAUGUUAUUUUCUCCCAUUAGGUGAAUUGGACAGAGUUAAUAGCAAGAUUUGAUUACGCAAAUUUAAUAAGUUUUAAAAUUUAAUUGCCCUUUUUGAAAAUUAUAGAAUAUGAUUGCACCUUUACAAUGUACUUUAAGACUUAUGUUUAUCUCCCCUUAAGAGAUAAUAACACAAAUGAUCAUUGAACUUGACUCAAUAUGUAAUAUUAUUCCUAAAUUUUUAAUUUGUUUGAUGUGAUCUCAAAAUUAUUUAUAUUUGUUCAAUUUAAUUUUUAGACUAAAUUUGCCAUUUCCAUAUAAUUUAAAAAUUAGAUUGAACCAUAUUAAUAGUUCAUGACUGCAUUAUAUAAAUUAGAGCUUAAAAACAAUAUAACAUAUUUGGACAAAGUUCAUCAAAUUAAACGACUUAAAAAUUUGGGGGUUAUUUAUGUCAUUUUUUCCAUUUUUUUAAAUCAAAAACUCUAGAAACUUAAGCACGACACAUAGAUUCACAUAUAAUCUUUUGAUAAUUUUUUGAAAUUUGAACAAUAAUAUAAAAUAUAACAAAAAAGUAAAAAAAAAAAAAAACUAUUUUUCACUUUUUUUUUAUAACUCCAGACCAGCAUUAAAUCAAUUACUUUUCGCCAUUUCUUUACAAUGUCCCUUCGCGUGCCGGAUGUUAUAAGAGUAAUAAGAUGCAGAGGACACCUUUUUCACGGGAGAGACGACUGAUGCAUUGCCAUGUUCUUCAGCGAUAUCCUCCCAACCAUCCAUCACUAUGUCUCUCUCCUCGCAAGAUGCGUCUCCAAGAAACACCUGAAGCUCGGCAUGACCGUCCACUCCCACCUCAUCAAGACCGCACUCGCCAGCGACUCUUUCCUCGUCAACCAUCUCAUUGGCAUGUACUCCAGAUGCUCUUCCAUCCCAAGCGCCCACAAGGUUUUUGAUGAUCUUGAUAUAAAGAACAGUUACUCUUGGAACACCAUCAUAUCUGCAUAUGCCCGGAUAGGCGAUUUCAAUAAAGCACUCGUCUUGUUCGAUGAAAUGCCGCAGAGGGCUCUUGUCUCUUAUAAUUCCUUGAUUUCUGGGUUGUCCCGUCAUGGGUUUUAUGUGGAGUCUCUGAGCGUCUUCAUGCAUAUGCAACAAGAAUAUGAUUGGCUAUUCAUGGAUGAGUUUACUUUUGUGGGUGUUGUGGGUGCCUGUGCUCACUUGGGUGCAUUUAAGUUCUUGCGCCAAGUUCAUGGAGUGGCCAUCGUAAUGGGCUUGGAAUUUGCUAAGAUAACUUACAAUUCCCUGAUUGAUGCUUAUGGUAAAUGUGGUGGAGUCGAUAUAUGCCGUGUCUUGUUCGACGUUAUGCCUGAAAAGGAUGUCGUGUCGUGGACUUCCAUGGUUGUUGCUUAUACGCGAGCUCAUAACAUAGGUGAUGCUUGUGCAAUAUUCAACAGUAUGCCAGCGAAGAACACAGUCUCUUGGACUGCACUGAUCUCAGGCCUUGUGCAGAAUGGCCGUGGUGAUGAAGCUUUGGACCUUUUUGUUCAAAUGCAUGAGGAAGGAAUACAGCCAAGUCCUCAUACUUUUGUCAGUGUUCUAUGUGCCUGUGCUGAUCGAGCACUUGCUGAAAGAGGCAAACAGAUCCAUGGUUGCAUCGUUAGGACCUGCUUUAAUGGAGAUUUGGAGAACAUAUUCAUAUGGAAUGCUCUAAUUGACAUGUAUUGCAAGUGUGGUGACAUGAGAUCAGCUAAGAUCUUAUUCUUGAGGAUGCCAAAAAGGGAUAUUGUUUCAUGGAAUUCGAUGAUAACUGGGUUCGCACAAAAUGGGCUGGGGCAUGAGUCACUUGUUUUUCUCAGGACCAUGCUAGAGACAAAUGCAAGACCCAACCAUGUCACGUUUCUUGGCGCUCUAUCUGCUUGCAGCCACACAGGUCUAGAUAUUGAAGCGCUUCAGAUUUUCAAUGCAAUGGAAAAGGAUUACAGCCUUCAACCCAGAUUAGAUCACUAUGCUAUUUUGGUCGAUCUGCUCGGGAGGAAAAACAGACUUGAGGAAGCCAUGGAGUUAAUAGAGAUUGUCUCAAACAAAUCAAACCAUGUUGGAAUGUGGGGUGCACUUUUAGGUGCAUGCAAAGUCCAUGGUAAUCUAGUUAUUGCCCGAAAAGCUGUGGAUGCUCUACUGAAUUUGGAACCCCAAAAUGCUGCGAGAUAUGUCAUGAUAUCAAGCAUAUAUGCUGCAACUAACAGAUGGGAUGAUUCCUGCAGAGUAAGGAAGCAGAUGGAGGAGAGAGCUUUAACAAAAGAUGUGGCAAACAGUUGGAUUGAGGUAAAGAAUGAAAUGCACAAAUUUCCAGCAAAGGACCAAUUCCACUAUCAGAUGGGAGACUUAUACGAAGUGCUCGGGAAACUAGCAUAUCAUAUGAAGGAAUCUGGAUAUGUUCCUGAGCCCAACUUAAGACUCAUCUUAGCUAAUUAUGAUGAUGAUGGUGGGUAAUGAAUACAAAAAGGGUUCAGACGGAAGAUGCUGGAGAAAAAAUAGAAGGCUACAACUGCAAGGUGAUAGUUCUCGUACUAAUGAACAAUUCAUACCUUCCUGGAGAACAUCAAGUCAAAGAUACCAUGAAGUUUCAGGAAGGACUUAUGGUCCACAGAAAAUCGGGCAUCAUGAAAGCCUCUCGUUGUACCUGGAGGUUUUGCGUGAGGUAGGUGGAGAUUGCUCAGAUGCUAUCUGGUAAUGGCAUUCUGUGUACAUAUUUUCGGAUUCUGACCUCAUUGUGUCUGGAACAAUGGAAAGCGUCUACCUUGCCAUUAUUGGUUCUUUUGGAUGCUGCCUGACCGGAUCAAAUUUUUCUCUUGGGUUAUGUCCAUAUCCCUUUGAGGGAAUAGAUAGUACUGCAAAAUUUUUCUCUCAGGUUAAACAUGAUGUCCCUGACCAUGGCGUGACCUGGAACAUCUCUCAGAACUAUAUACAGCUUGAAGCUCCAUACUAGUCAUUGUCCCGUGAUUUCUUGUCAGGCUUAUGCUUCCGCAACAACCAGUUUACAGCUGACAAUUUUCCAUGAAGUGUUGAUGAAAGGUCUAACUACUACAAAUCUGGGAUGGAGUUCCAUUCUUUGUUUUCUUCUCAAUGAGUGUUUAUUGUUCUUCAGGAAUUCAGGAAAGUAUGUGCAUGGUCAAAUAGAGGUUAUUGGCUAUGAUUUUUUUAGUUGUGGCUGAUGGUUUCAUUAUUGUCCUAUGGGAUCGCUUAGGAGCGACCUGUAUUUGUUUGUGGUGCUGGUCUGCUCCCAACAGUAGAAAUUACCUCAGGAUUUGACUGUACACGUACAACUCAUGGUAUUUUCUUCUACAUCUUGACAUAACUACAUCAAGAAACCAGAGUGGAUUUUUUAAAUCAUGCUAAGGACAGAUGUAUUUGUUGACAGAAGGUGUAAAAUAUUUUGCAUGCAAGGCACUGUGCGAGCGUCAUUGCAUCAGUUGAUUGAGGCAAUUGGAAUUGCCGUCUGUAAUGCAGUUGUUCCAACAUCCCUGAUUAUUUUUGGCCCCUACUUAUGCCAUGCUUCAGUUUCUUCCUUUGCAUCCGAACUACUUUUUCUGUUUUGACAAUUGAGUACUCUCUUUCCGAUGGAAGAAACAAACAGCUGUAGAGGUGACGAUUCUCUUAGGGUAAUCUCCUAGCAAUGUGAAAUAAUAGAAUUUACUAGCACAUCUGGGAAAUUACCAUCAUCCACUGAAAACUACAAAUGUAAGAUAAAAUAUCAUUGGCUUUAGCUCAUGGAUUUGUGGAAUUUUUCGCUAUAAGAUAUAUACAUGUAUAUAAUAUUUUUUGGUUGGAAGAAUCCCAGGACAACACUUAUUCUCUGCAAGGUCAAUCCUUAAUUUUCUAAGCAAGGGAUGGAUGGAGCACUCGAGUACUGUGAAUUUUGUAUACGAAUCUAAGAAGAUUAUCAAGUUAAAUUAGUCUUCGCAAGAAUGAGCUAGAUUUUUAUAGGUGAUAUGUCUCUUUCAAAUGUUUGUGGUCUAGACAAUUUCCUUAUUAAAAGAUCCUGUGGAUGUCUUAGUAAUCUUGGGUUUCAGUUUCAAAAUUCAAACAACUACAUCUUUCAUGACCGUCCGCAACCACUUGAUCUUGCUAUUUAUAUGUACUUUAUUCUAAUGUGCACAAUAUACAACCAUAAUGGUGCCUCUGGUUAUAGAUUCGAAAUGAGUCUGCAAUACGGUAACUAAUAGUAAUGCUAUAAGUUACUAUUUUACUUGGUUUGUUACUAGAAUAAUAAAGGUAUGAUAACGUCCAAAUUGCUUCAUCAUCGUACCUAACUAUUUUACUUGGUGUGUUACUAGAAUAAUAAAGGAAUGGUAACGUCCAAAUUGCUCCAUCAUCGUACCUAUUCUUUCUCCCUCUGCCAAGACCGCCACCAUGGCUAGUGAUUGCUCCUCAUGAGGGGUUGCCGCCUUGUAGGCAGUGGGUUGCUAGCGGGGUUGGUGGUGGUGGGCCAAUACCGGUAAGCCAGCAUGGGGCGAUGGUGGCCGUUAAUGUUGAGCAGCAAUGGUCUUUAGUCGUGUGCGGGCAAUCCAAAUAUCCCCCGAGAUUAGGAAUAAUAUUUUCGAAGCGCUCUAUUCCAUUUAGCUCCGUAGAUACAAUUACCACUUGUGAGUAGGUAUUACCAUAAGCUGAAUACGUAAUGACAUGUGAUCGAUGUCUUUCUUUAAUCUUUUAAAAAAUCAAAUUCAUAUCGAAUACCGGCGAGAAUAAAGGAAAAAAAAAUCCAAUUGGCAAGGAAGUGCCAAAUUCGAUGUCAUGUGACCUUUUGGACGCGAUAUGAGAGAAAAUAUGGGAUGGGUUCCUGGAAGACGUCCGUCAUGGGGAUCCAUGAAAGUCCAUGAAAAACCGUUCGUCCUGAAGAUGUUUUCUUCAUUUCAACAUAGCAAUCCUCAAAAUUCUUCUGUUACUUCUGAUUUACUACUUGUAGGUCAAUAUUUCUCCUCCAUUGGAUUUGACAGGAAAGAAAAUGGCACUCGGUCAGCCUAGUUAUAGCAUAGAUGAAAGUUCCAGAGAGAGACUAUUUUAGCAUUGUUUCCGCCUCUCCGUGUUUUUAUUUAAUGAUGUUUGGGGGGUAAUUUGAUUUUAAAAAAAAAAUUGAAGCGACAAAGAAAGAGGUUUCUUUUGUCAAGGCCGCGUUCAUGUUAUUGUCCUUUUUCUCUGCAAUGUGAAAUGUACGGGCAGGUAUUAUUAGCCAUACCUAGCAAUUUCACCAGCUUAGUCUAUGUGGGGACACAAUCCCAUGGUUCCAUAACUUUGAAUAAACACACUAAAUUAGCACCAAAUAUUUAUUUAUUUAUUUAUUUUGCAACAUGAAUUGGCCCGCCCACAAGUAAUCCGGUGCGGGCUGGGCUGAUUUUGCACCAGAGUUGCUCUUCAACUUUACCGGUAGCGUUAGUAAUUCACUUAUGACACCGAAAUUUUUUCCAAAAGAGUCGGUAAUUUACCAAUUUUUAUAAUUUACUAUCUGUUUACCUAAUGAGCAAGUAACCACUCAUUUUCUUUUACCUAACAAUUCCAUUUUUGCUGUUAAUCCCAUCCAAAAAUUCAAAUUAUGAAACUAGAAAUGAAGUCAUGAAUCCACUCUGAAGCUGCUGUAGAAAUCUGUAUCAAGUUAUCAAAACUAAAGAACACUUGGUGACCAUUGCACAUGAUCAUUAGCUAGGGAGCGUUUCAAGUUUAUGCUAGACCCAAUGUCUAGCCCCUCCUUCAUUUCUUCAAUGUGAAAAUUCUCAUGGAAAAUCAGCAACAAUUAAGUGAAUAUAGUUGCCAAUGUCUGACUGAAUUCGCAACACUGAAUGCAACACAUUCUCAGGGUAAUGUCUCGAGAACAUUAACAUCUACGAAUCAAUUCAGCAGCAAGUCAUCUUGAAUCCUUGAUGAAUUUCUUCCAUGACGAGAUUAAUCACUAAGCACACCCGCUAAAAUAUUAGGAGUACGUAGGACCAAAACAGACCAAGAGAAGAAGAGAGAAAUUGCAGAACCAAUCGAUUGUAUUAAGGUUCCAUCCCUUCCAGGACAAUAUUUUGGCUUUAGCUAGACCUUGGAAACCUCAGAAGGAUAAACGAUUUCCCCUUCUCAAACUAUUCCACCCGUAAGGUUUGGACUAGUUAGCUCCUGAAGGGAAAAAAUCGAUCCCCUAAUUGGUGCAGAAGUGAACUGAUGCAGAGGAGUUGCAAUGUUUUUCGAGAGCACGCGACUUGGUUUGGCUUAAAGCUAUUACAAUUGGAGGAGUUCAAUUGAGUCACAGCUCACGAAGGAGUUCAAUGGGAGGCUGUUUUCAUUGCAUAGAACUCAAUUCAAUCCCACUCUUUUCUUAAUCUACCACUAGUCGAAUCAAAAUUCACAGACAAAACCCAAUUAAGGCAGAGCAGAAACAAAAUAAGAGAAUCACCAGAAAAGGAGUGGGUGACGAUGAAGAAUCAAAUUAGACAGCUGCCGAGUCUGAAUGAAAAUGCAGGAAACCAAAUAAAGAUGCAGAGAAGGGAGAAACCCUUCUUGGCCUUAGUCAGCUGCAACCAAAAUGACAAAAAAUAAAAUAAAAUGAAGGCUUUCCAGACAAUCUAUUAAACCCUGGGGGAACAGAUCGGUUGGCAGGAAGACGCGGUCGCUUUCCCGGAGGGAAAUCUUCGCCAGGUCGAGUCGCGUCUCGUGCUUCCGCUCAGUGUCGCCGUUGAGGGCCUUGAUGGUUGGGGUCCGUUGCUGCUGCUCCUGGGCGAGCUCCUUACUCGGGUCGUCGCUGAUGAGGGAGGAAGAGAAGGAAGAAGAAGGAAAGAAUGUGAGGAGAGACAGAGAGAGAGCAACGGGAGAAAAAACAAAACAAAAAAAUAAAAAAAGGAGAAAAAAGUCGAAAUUUCUUAAGAGUGGGUCCCACCUAUACACACGUCAUUUGAGAAAAUAUUCCUCACCACCACUCUAGUAUGGAACAUUUUCUCCGUGACUUCCUGCCCACCACCCUCGGCUUAUCCGGCUUUCCGUCAGGAUCCUCGCUUUUUUCAAAUCCCUGUACUCAUCGGAUUCCAGAAUCUCCUCCAAUCUCUCACAUCCUCUUAUUAUUAAAUCCUCUAGCUCCUUGAAGCUUGAAGGAUCAGAAAAUUGUCGCAGAGACUCGCAGCCCCAAAUUUCAAGUCUUUUCAAUGAUUCUAGCCUACCUCGAAUCUCAACCUGACGAGGACAACGCCUUAUCUUGAGACCCUCGAGCUCCUUGGCAUUGGUUAGGUCAGGCAACUUCUCUAGCAACGGAAGAUCCCCCACACAUAACACCCUCAAGUUCUCCGAAACUUCCGGGCCUUGAAUCUCUUCUAGCUUCUGACAUUCAUCUAUAUAUAAUGAUUUUAUAUACUUGAAACUUAAUGGAUUAGGCAUCUUUUCGAGUGAUUUACAGUUAAAUAAAGUGAGGUCCUCCAACGAUUCUAGCUGACCUCUAACCUCAACCAAUUUAGGACAACUUUCUAUAUGAAUUCUUCGGAGCUUCUUCGAGUUGGUCAGGUCAAGCAACUUUGCUUGCGACACAAGACAACUAAGACGAAGCUCUUUUAGGUUCUUCAAAUGUUCGAGACCUUGAACCUGCACACAAUUAUAGACUUCAAAAAAUGAUAACUUCUCCAAAUAUGAAAGAUUUAUCACUGCAUUGUCCAUUAACCUGCCCCCAUAUAUCACAAAGUAUGACAAAUUCUGGGGAAGCCUAGGUGGGCAUUCUAGUUGAUGUACACAGAGUUUAAGCUUCCCGAGCUUUGAAAGGAGAUUAAAAUCUGAAGGUAGGGUGAUCGGAUUAUCGUAACGCAACCACAAGGUUUCUAGCUUUGUUAGCCCUCCGAUCCAAUCGAGACUUGUAGCUAGACAGGAAGGGGUUUGAUACCUUGAUUCCAAUGUCAAAACUCUCAAAUUUAAUAGAUUCGAGAGAUUUGGGCAUCUCAUAUUUACAUUAUAUUCCAGGUAUAAAUCGGUCAUACUUUCAGGAAGCUUAGGUAUAUCGGAAACUCUCGAGCUCGAUAACCUCAAGAUUCUUAGAAAUGAUAGUCUUUCAAUCUCAUUUGGAAUUUCCCCACACAAAUUUCUACAACUGUCAACAUGGAUCUCUUCAAGCUUCUCCAACAACCCAAGGGCACCAGGUAGCUUUUCUAAGGGGGUGUGAGACAUCCUUAGUACUCUCAAAUUCUUCAUCGUCUUUAUUAAAUCAGGUAACUCUCGUAAGCUCGACUGAGAAAGAUUCAACUCAACGAGAGACCCAAAAUUUCCAAAUGGAAGUUCACUAAUACUUGUUUCUGACAAGUCAAGAUACAAUAGUGAUGUUGAGCAACUAGCUAAAUUGCAUUCACUUAGUAAUUUACAGUAAGUUGUACUAAGGGUUUCCAUUUUCUCCAUUCCUUUCCAUUCAGGAAAAUUGGUAAUAGAUGUCCUACCAACACGAAGUUCUGUCAAGGCUUUCAGUUCCUCCAUCUCGUCUGGCAAUGUCUGAAGUUCCCUACAACCUUCCAAGUUUAAUAAUACUAAAUGCUUUAACUUACCAAUAGACUUAUCAACUUGAACCAGUUUGUAGCACCCUUUAAGAAUCAGUUGCUCUAAAUUUUUAUGAUCAGAAAAGUUAGGAGUCCUAUGCAAGUUGUAGCAUCCAGUCAAAUUUAGAACCUUCAACUUUUUUGCCAUCUGUAAUGAAGAGAAGAGGUUAAUUUGGAUCGUUUUGAGAUACGGGACAGCAAAGUCAAUAUAGCAAAUUCAUGUUGAAAUAAUACCGUACCUUGAGGUGGUUCCAUCCCUCCCACUCAUAUGUAAUUUUACUCCUUGAUAGAUCAAGAAUCGCUAGCUUCACGAGGGAAAAUGCGGUGAAUUGGAAAAAGAUGGGAAACUCAUGCCAUGAGAUAUACUUCAAAUUUUGAAGGAUGGGUAGAUUCCUCUGGAACGAGUUGGUUGAAGGAAAAUACUGAAUGAAUUUAGACCAUGAGAGCCAUCUCAAAUUCAGAAGGGUGGGUAGAUUCCUUCUGAACCAGUUGGUAAAAGAAAAAUGCCGAACAUUGUUCAUAUCCAAGUCCCCACACUCCACUUGAAGAAACCUUAAAUUUGGUAGACUUGCAAAUUCUUCUUUCUUAAAAAAGCAUCGAGAUUGAUGAUCAAACGUGAGACAUAUUGCUUCAACGUUUUUUGUUCCCUGCCAAAGCAAAAAAGGGAAACAUAAGCUGGUUAUCAUAUAAUCACCAGUUGAAGGCAUUCAAGUUGAACAUGCUCAAGGACUCAAGGAAUGUACAUCUUAUUCAUAAUUGAAACUAAUUUAAAAUAUAAUUUACAGAUGAGCAUGUGAUCAUAGUAACCACACAAGUAACGACUUGGUUUAGAUAGAAGCAAAUAAGCCAAAUCAACGUGUAUAACUUGUCUCUUUGGAUAGGAAUAACAUUGCAAACACUUUACCUCCUUCAUUUGAAGAACAGCAAUUGCUUCCUCAUGAUUCCACACCCGACUCUGCUUCUCCGGUUUUAAAUUAGCUCUUUCACGAACGAUGUCUCGCCCAAGGUCUCUUAGUUGAUCAUGCACCCAUAGUCGGUUACCUUCUACAAUCUUUAUUAACGACCUCUGUUCAAGGACUUCAAGAGAAUAUUCAGGGGAAAACUUAUAGCUGUCCCAUAUGUGAAUCACAAUUCUCACAUCAUACCCAACAAAGAAGCAACAAAUAUCAAGAAAUAUUUCCUUCUCUUGAGAUUCUAAUGCCUCGAAACUGAUGUUCAACUUACUUUUAACAUUUCCAUUUGGAAUAGUUUCCAGCUUCUUCAAUGUGAUCUCCCAAAUUCUCCUCUCUUUUCCAUUUAAAAGUGAACCUAUAGUUUUAAGAGCCAAAGGAAGACCAUCGCAGAUUUUUAGUGCUUUUUUGGAGAGGGGAACGUAUUCUGCUGGAGGAUUGUCUCUUCUAAAGGCAUGUUUGCUAAACAGUUUAAGAGAAUGUUUAAAAUCCAUUUUGAUAAGUUCAUGCUGAAAAUCAACACCUUUGAGAAGUUCCUUGUCUCUUGUAGUAAUAAUAACCUUACUUCCUCUACCGAACCGGCAUUCAUCCGCCCCCACAAGAGCAUCCAGCUGAGUCUUUUGGUCGACAUCAUCAAGUACAAGUAAGACUGUUUUAGAGAACAACCUCUCCUUGAUCUCAGUAAUUCCUUCAUUACCGUUAGUGAUGGACAUGCAACUUGUUCGUAGGACUUUAGAGAUGAGUUGAUCUUGCAAAGUCUCAAUCUUUGUAUCUCGAACAUUUGACAGGAAGCAACAGUUAUAAAAAUCAGCUGAUAGUUUAUUAUAGAUGAUUGUGGCAAGAGUUGUCUUUCCGACACCACCCAUACCAUGUAUACCAAUAAUCUGUGUUUCAGUGGUCCGUUCACCUAUCACUUCCAUGAACUUGUCCACUUGAUUGUCCAUUUCAACCAAGCAAUUAGACACUGCCAAGGAGUUCUUUUUCAACUUGAUCAAAAGCAUCUGGACAACUUCUUUUGUGAACUCGCCUUUGCCUCUGGCAGUAUUGAAGGCAAUAGAACCAAACUAUUAAAUCAAGAUGAAUAGAAUAAUAUCUAAGGUACAAACAAACCAUGCACAAUAAUAAAUUCAAGUACCUUUGCUUGAGUUUCCAUCCCUUUAAUGAUCCAACCUUGUUGAGAGCUGCCUUCCAGUUUUGAAUAGUCUCAUCAGUAUACAGCUGCUUAGUUAUGUGUGACCGAAUGGCCUUGCCGUAACUUGCAAUCUGGUCACGAACCUCAGAUGGUUUAACGUCAUAGAAAAUCUGCAUGAUCUCUUGUCCCCACUUUUCCUUGCACUCCACCAUCUGGACCAACUCCAUUAGGCACCAUUCACUCUCAGCAUAUCUUUCAGAAAAGAUAGGAAUUGAGAUUUUCGAUUGCUUAAUCGCUUGGAGAAGCUCUGGGCCAAUCUCUUUCCCAACAUGAAGCUGUUCAUCAUCUCUAAAUGCUCGUAUUCCGACAUUUGUGAGGCUGUGGUAAAGGUAAUCAGCGAUGUCGUUGCGAGUAUCAGAUCCUCUAAAACUCAAGAAUACUUCAUAAUAAGGCUCCACUGGCUUCUCCAUUUCUGGAAUUUUCAGAGGACUUGCAACGUCUUGAUAUCCCACCUGAAAUAUUCUGUUUUAAGUCAUUCUAGAAAAGAACCUUGAUGACAAAUGCAUGAGCUCCUUCUAGGGCCUUGCACUAGACACCAAAAUAUGUCCAAAUAUUUUAUUAACAGUACGGUAGAGAAGUGGACCCAUCUCGAUUCUAAAGGAAGAACUUUCCAAAGUAUUGCAGAAAUUAUGAAUUUUAGUCACACUCGAAAUUGAUUUGAAAAAAAAAAGAAUAUUUCACGCAGAGAUAAAUCACUGUUAACCUAUUUUUGUCUUGAACUCUUUCUUUAGGUGAUAAAAUUUCUCUUGAAAGAUGACGUUGAAUGUCCUUUGCACAUAAGCACCUAAAGUUGCUUGUAGCUUGACUAACUUUGUCAUUAUCUAAUAAGAAAUUAUAAUAAAACCUUCCUCUAUUAGUUUAACCAAAUUAGAUUGGACAAAGACAUUCCACAACACUCAAUUACUAGCUCCCUCGACCUUUACAGAUGCGGGCAAAGAGUUCAUUCCCCUACGACAAUCUCAUUAGAAAAAUGAAAUCAAGAAAUUACAAUAAAGCAAAUGCAACUCUCACCACCGGACUAGUUUGUAAAGAGCAUAAACCGAUCCCUAAUUACAGCCAUCUCAUAGGAUAUAAAAAAAGAAGAAAAAGAUACACGGUCAUGGGCGAGCAUCAGUUAGGCUUGAAGCUAUUAUCCACAUUUGCCAGAAAGUACCAGCAUAUCAGAAAAAAAGGAUUUAAUUACUAAUAAAUUAUGGAGCUAAUAAGGGUGUGCAUGCAAACGUUUCUGUUUCUCAUGGUUUCUGUUCUUUUGUUCCCCGGAACAAAAAAAGAACAGAAACCUAUUUGCUAACGCCACAUUGUUUUUUUGUUCCCGGGAAUAAAAACUUAGCCCGGGAAUGCUUUGGGAACAGAAACAAGAAGCAAAAAAAAGUUGCUUCUUGUUCCCGGGAACAAUUGCUAGAAAUAAGCUGAUUUUCUUUUUUAAUUUUCUUUUAUUUCCUUUUCUUGCCGCGACCACCGUCAACCGCCCGGAGCCACCGCCCACCGCCGCUGCCGCCGGUCGCCGCCGCCGGUCGCCUGCCGUCCGGCGGCCGCCGGUAGCCGGACGUCGCCGCCGCCGACCGCCGGACGUCGCCACCAUCCGCCGUUCGCCACAGUCACCGGCCGCCGCCGUCCGCCGCCGUCGCCGGUUGCCGCCGGUCGCCGUUCGCCGCCCGCCGGCAGCCGUCUCCGGCCUCCGGUCGCCGCUGCCGUCCGCCGUCGCCGCCGCCUCCGUCCGCCGGUCGCUGUCCCCGGCCCGCCAGCCGCCGCUGCCGCACGACCACCGGCCGCCGACCGUCACCGUCGGGCGCCGCCGGAAGCCCAUCGGCCGCCGACGACGGCCGGUAGCCGACGGUCCCAUGGAAAUAGAAUCUUGAUCCUUCUAAUUUUUAAAUGACCAUGGUUCAUGUCAUACACCAACAUAAUGCCAAUCAAUGAAAUGAUGCAAAUCAUGUAUACAUGAAGAUCAUCUCAAUGGGAAUAUAAAUUAAUAUCCCAGUUUCAAAAUGCAAUGAAAAGAAUCACUAACUUGAUAUACUCAACUUUAGACAANNNNNNNNNNNNNNNNNNNNNNNNNNNNNNNNNNNNNNNNNNNNNNNNNNNNNNNNNNNNNNNNNNNNNNNNNNNNNNNNNNNNNNNNNNNNNNNNNNNNCGGCAAUCCGUCGGCAAGAUUAACAAAUGAAUAAAUACACAAAGACAUUGUUGCGUUAUCAAACGCACUUCUAUUCUUUUUCUAUUUCCAAGAGUAGAAAUUUUGUGUCGUUAUCAAACGGGGUUCUUUUACUCAGAAAAUUGUUCCCCGGAGCAGAAAUAGAAACGAACCAUUUCUGAAAAAAAACUCCUCCCCGGAACAGAAACGUUUGCAUGCGCUACCUAAGAUUUCAACAGAAAAUAGAAGCAUGAAUGGUAUAUAACCGUUUUUCCAGAAAAUAAGUUGGAACACACAGGAGUGUAGGGAUGAGCUAGGUAGCACAGACACGUUCAAAGGGCCUCCGUGUCAUGUUGAACACCCCGACAUGUGUCCGACACGCUCGGACACGCUCGAACACGUGGUCAACACGUGUCUGAGUUUCCGACACGUGGUCAACUCUUUCCGACACGCGCAUCGGAGCGUGUCCGGAGGUUUGUGGGCGGAUCCGCAGGUGCGAAGGGAAGAAAGUGAUGGAGGGUGAAGGCAAGGGUGAGGGAGCUGAGGCGAUGCCGCGAGCGACGACGAGGGAGGGCUCCGACCGUCGACUGCAAGGGCUUCGACCGCCGACUGCAACACUGAGAAGCUUUCUCGAUCGUCUUGGAUGGUUGUGACUGCCAACUGCAACGUCGAGAUGGAAAACGGAAAGGUUGCGAUGGAGGGCUGGAUGCGAGGCUACGACGGCAAAGGGGGGAACGGAGGCGAGGCAGCGGUGAGAGAGGUGGAGACCGAGCGAGGGAGAGGAGAAAGAAGGCGAUCGCCGAUUGCUAGGGUUUUCAAUUUUUGGAAGAAGAACAAGGAGAGAGAGGAUGUGUCGACGGCUAUGUAGCACCAACAUGGGACACGACACGAGUGUCCGACACGACACGACACGUCGACACGUUAUUUCUAAAAAAUAGAGAAUUCCGACACGUUGCGACACGUUGUAUAUUAAAUGAAUAUUUUUAUUUUUAAUUAAUUUGAUUCAAAUUCAUAAAUAAAUAAUUAAUUAAAAAAAGAGCCUAUAAUAAAUUUAUACUAAUAAUAUUAACAAAUCAAUUCAUUUGAAAUUCAAAAGAUAUAUUCAUAAUUAAUGCAAAAUGUUUUUUUAAUUUUAACAAAAGUUAUAUGAAACUAAAAAUUAAUAAGAAAUUAAAAUCAAUUUAUCUAAAUAAAUCCAUGAUUUUCUACCAUAACCAAAAUUUAUCAUUAUUCAAAAUUUAACAUUUUUAUUUUUCGAAAUCAUUUUUUAAUUUUAUUUAUUUAUUUUUCCGGUUAAAAAAAUAAUCCCCAAAAUCCAACCCUUCUUUCGUUCCUCCUUUUCCCUCCACCCCACGUUUAUUUUAAUUUUUUCCCUCCCCCCACUUGACAGUGACAGGUGAGCUGUCACUCCGUUCGUCGCUUCGUCUCGCCAGCGCUCGCGACCUCUGCUCCCUCGCCCUCCCUCGCCUCCACCCUCCAUCAGUCUUCCGGACAUGCGUCGACACGCGUGUCGAUAAAAGUUGACCGCGUGUCGGAAAAUCCGACACGCGUUGACCGCGUGUCGGAAAAUCCGACACGCGUUGACCGCGUGUCCGACCGUGUCCGAGCGUGUCCGACACGUGUCGGACACGACACGGAAGCAUGGACAACGUGUCCGUGCUUCAUAGGUCGACGGCUUCUUGGGGGAAAAAAAGAAAGCCUCGUGCAGUGCAGCGUGACUUUGGGAAGAGACGUGUGCAGGCGGUGGGUGGGGUGGGGGAAAUAAAUGGAUGGGACCAUUUAACCCUAAAAAGAAAUAUUAAAUAUUAAAUAAUUUUAUUUUUUUUGGCAAAAUCUGUAAAAAUUCUCUCUUUCUUUUCAAGACGAUGAGAGAAAUGGAUCGAGAGCCUUUGCGUACGUUGAAUAACUUUAUUAAUACAUGUCACUAGUAUAGAUUUAUUAUAGGCUUAUUUAUUUAUUUAUUUAUGAAUUUGAAUAAAUUAAUUUAAACAUAAUAAUUAAUCAUGUAUAUAUAAAAAUAUUUAUUUAAUAUUUAACGUGUCAAAAUUUUCUAUUUUUUGAGAAAUGACGUGUUGCGUGUCGUGUCGUGUCGCGUGUCCAUGUCGCCGUGUCUGUGCUACCUAAGGGAUGAGAGCUGCAUUUUACGAAAGCAAGAGAGUACCGGUUCACCACAAAGUGCAACAUUGUAGUGUAUUCAAUUGUCUUUACUGUUAAAUACAGAGUUGAGGGUACCAAUGUUCUGCCUAGGAGCAUUCUUACUGCUAAUCACGUGACAAUAAUGUACGAAUUUGUCAUAUCAAAGUCUCUUAAAGAUACCACUAUUUCUGUUUGAGCAAAAAAAGAAUAAAAUCCAAUUCGUAAUUACCAGAAUUUGUCGUAUCAACAGACCCAAUCAAAUUAAUUUAGCUUUUAGCCCCGGCCCAGUUCCUAAAGAGCGUAAAUCCGAUUCCUAAUUACAGAAAUCUCUGAGAUCUGUCGACAAACUAAUGCAUAGGAGUGGCAUUGCGUUUCAGGAUCUGAGGCCUGACAGUUGCAUAGAUGGAAGUGGAUGAGCACUGAGCAGGGUUUUAGCCUGCGACUCAAGUUAGAGGCUAAAGCUAUUAGUGUCAGACGCAACUGGCAGUGAUCAAUCAUGGAGUCAACUGAGGAAAGAACUGAUGCUGAUCCGAGAGUCCCUCUCUUGUUUCCAUCAAAUUCUGCACCUAGUUGCAUUACAGAACAGACCCGAUUUUAUUUAAAAGAAGGCAAUAAACGAGAGGAAAUUGCCGGAGAUGGAGGAGGUGAAGAUGAACAGGAUCAAAUGCUGAGAAGCAGACAAAGAUCCCAAGAAAAAGCAUUCUUUGACAGACCUCAUUCGAUUCAGCUUUCUCGAGGGCCCAAAACACUUAGGGAAAAUAUUAGGCGUUUGGUAAGUAUUUUUAAAAGUCCCUUAGCUAAACGUCAGCAGAAAUGGGAAUGCUGAAAGUAAUGGGAAUGCUGAAAGCUCAACGCAGGUCGAACCUGCUUUUGAGCUUUUAGCAUUUCAAACCUACUUUAUACUAAUCAUCCGCGUCACUGUUCACUUUCUUCCCGUUCAUCUUAAUCUCCACCGAUUUACCACCUAAGAGUUAGGUCUUCUCCGGCAACCACCGCUUGGGGUCGCGCGAUCCGCGACUCAGGCGACGCCACCUGAGUGCGUGACCUCAGGCCGCCAGAUCUGGCGGUUCGGAGGCUAGAUCAGGCCUCCGCGACCUCAAGCCGCCGAAUCUGGCCGUCCGGAGGCUAGAUCUCGUCAUCCGGUGGCCACAUCUGGCGGUCUGAAGGCCAGAUCUGGCCGUCCGGCGAUUAGUCGGCGGCGGCCAACAGCCAACCUACACCGAAUUAAGUUUUUAGAUUAAAAAAUUAAAAAAUAAUAAAAAACCUUUAUAAAUUGGGUUAAUACCUUGAAAAACCCCAAACUGGUACACCUGUGACAAAUUUACCCAAAACUAUUUUUUUAAUCACCAAAAACCCAAAAUUGGUAUACCAUUGACAAAUUUACCCUAAACUGAUAUACUUGUGAUAAAUUUACCUUAUGUUAGUUUUUGUUAAAUUUUACUAUUAAAUUAUUAAGUUAAAUGACACGUAAUAGUUCAUCGGUACACUGAUUUGGGAUUUUACGCUCCGUUUGUCACAGUUUACAAUAUUUGUGAUUUUUUUUGCGGCAUUAAUCCAAUUUAGGGAAUGGUAUAUUUGUCAUAAAUUUAUCAGUUUGGGGUUUUUUGCAAUCGAAUAAAUUAGUUUGGGAUAAAUUUGUCAUAAAUGUAUAAGUUUAGGAUUUUUUAUGGUUAGUCUGGAUAAAUUUGUCACAUGUGUACCAGUUUAGGAUUUUUUAUGGUAAAAAAAAUAGUUUUGGAUAAAUUUGUCACAUGUGUACCAGUUUGUGGUUUUUCAGGGUAUUAACCCUUAUAAAUAUGGAUUUUACAAAAUGAUAUUUAUGCUAAAACUAUUUUCUAAUAUUUGGCUCGCUGUGCCUCAAAAUGGGAGUCGGCUUUGGGCUUACCGUCCCUCUCGCGGUCUCGGAAGGUCGCGGGCUGAGCGGCGCCGAGGACGAUCGGGACUUUCUUCUGCUCGCAGAGGCAGGAGGGAGAGUAACAGCUCGGGUUUUGUUGCGCUUUAACUAGCUUGGGGCUUGGGAAAUGGACGGCCCUGAUUUCUCCGGCUACCAAAUGGAGAAUCCUCGCUGUCAAAUGAGAGGGCUGGUUAAGUUUCUUGGGCCUUGACGUUGGUGAUUGGAGAUGGGCAAGGCCCACAAUCCAUGUGGGUAAUGCAGCGCAUAAAACAAGCAGUCUGGCCCAAGGCCUUAAGAUCCACAGCAGAAGCAAUACGAAAAAACCCUUCUACGUUGGAAGCUUAGCCUGGAUUUAAUGGUAACACAAUCGAGAGAAGAAACAUUUGUACUGAUAUUUUCUGAUUAUUACAUAAGGAGCUUGCAAUAUACAGAGUUUUGAGUUGCUGGCCAACCACUGAAAUCAGGUGCGCAUCCAACAUUUACAUUCUCUACCAUUAACCAAACUCAGAAGUCCAAGAGAUAAAAGUAUCCUGAAAACAACAAAAAGAUACUCGGACAAGCUGGAUUCUGCAAGAUCAGACUGCCUCCUUUUCUUCGUAUCCUCCAUCGAUCAUCAGAACUCAGAGAAUCUUCUACCUUCUCACGCUUGUGUAUAUAAAAAGACUUUAGCUUCUUGAAGCUUGAUGGAUCCUGUUUAGUCUGCCUUGGAUCUCGACCACUUUAGGACAUCACUGCAGAUAAAAUUUCUGGAGCUUCUUCAAGUUGGUCAGGUCAGGCAACUUGUCCAUAGAUGGAACUCCUCCAAGCUUGAAGGCACUUGGGUUCUCCAAAACUCGGAGGCCUCUGAACUCUCUCACUUUAGGGCAAUGGGCAACUUCCAAAUCUGACAGCGCCUUUGAAUUUGAAAGGUCUAUUGAUGUUUUUAUUUCUCUGCAUGAUUCGGUAUUUAAGUACAGCAAAUUUGGGGGAAGGCCAGGUCGGCAUUGCAGCUUCUUGGAGGGGACCAGUUCCUGUUCCUUGAGCUAUGAAAGAACAAUGAUGUGUGAAGAUGGGACGACGAAAUAAUGAGAUUUCAACAGCAAGGAUUCCAGCUUCCCUAACCUUCCAAGCUACGAAGGACUUGGAGCUUCAAUGAAUUUGAAAGCAUCAUCAAAAUUGUCAAAACCUGAAUUUUACAUACAAUUUGAAUAUCGAAGUAAUAAAUAACUUAACAUCAAAUGAAUGUCUACAGUGAGAUCCUAACAGCAAGGAUUCCAGCUUCCCUAAACUUGUACAGAAGAUUCACCUUAAAAAUAUAUGUAGAAGCGCAAAUCUAAACGUCCCUAAACUCCAAACCGACCAAUAUGUAUAAUAUUUUUUAGGGAGUGAGUUUAAGUUCAGUAAAUGAAAGCUCUACUUCCAAAAUGGAAGACUUGGGGCACGUUUGGUAACGUUUCUGUUCAAAAAUUGUUCCAGGGAACAGAAAUAGAAAAAAAGUGUUUCUGUUCCGGGGAACAAUUUUUUACCAGAAAGAUGCGUUUGGUAAAUUUGUUCCGGGAAAAAAAAUGAAUAGAAACACGUUUGAUAAAUUUAUAUUCUUUUUUUGUUUCUUUUAAUUUUUUAAUAUUUUUAUUUUAUUUUUCCUUUUUUCCUUUCUUUUUUAUUUUUUCUUCUUUCGGCCGGUUGCCGGUCUUCGGCGACCGGCCGACGGGGCCGGCAGCCUCGCCCAGCCACGGCGAGGCUCGGCCUCGCCAGGGGCCGGAGACGCUUCGGCGAGGUCGCCGACCCUCGACAGCGUCGCCGGCCCUCGACAGCCAGUCGCUGGCCAUGGCCGAGGCCGGCGACCGGCCAAAGAAAAAAGAAGAGAGAAGAAAAGUGUUUCUUCAAAAGUGUUUCUGGAGCAAGAAACAAUUUUUUUUUGUUUCUCAUUUUUGUUCUUUUUGUGUUCCAGGAACAAAAAAUCUGAUUUUGAACAAAAACGCAAACAAACGCGUUUCUGUUCCUUUUUUUGUUCCCGGAAACAAAAAAAACAAAAUUUCUAUUCAUAAACAAAAAAAAAAGAAUGAAAACAUGCAGCCCAUUGACAACCAUUAUGUUCAAAAAAUAGUUUCUAGAAUAGAAAUAGAUUUUUCAAUUUCUAUUUCUAGAAGAGUUUCUAAGUAAAAAUAAUCGUUUGAUAACAACACAAAAUUUCUACUCUAAAAAUAGAAAUUCGUUUGAUAACGACACAAAUUUUUUUCCUUUCGGACAAUAAUGGACCGACAAUCAGCAAGGAUGGACGGCCGGUGGCGACCGGCGACUGGCGGCCGGCGGCGGCGGCAACCGGUGACUGGCGGUGGCGGGGCCGAUGGCGGCAGCGAGGUCGGUGGCCGGCAGCAGCGGGGGCGAAGAAUUUUUAUUUUUGAUUUAUAUUCAAGAAAUAGAGAAAUAUAAAAUUUUAGCUUUUGAUUUCUCUUCCAAACCUAUUUUUGAAAUAGUAAUCUAUUCCAGAAAUAGAAAAACUGAAUAGGUUUAGCAAACGGAUUUCUCUUCCAAAAACAGGUCUGGAACAGAAAAACUAUUGCUGGAACAGAAAUGUUGGUUAUCAUGCACCCCCUUACUCGCUACUGGACCCGAGCACACAACAAUAACAAUUAGCAAAUAAGGUCAUAUAUUAUUAUCAAUAGGAAAACCAAUAUUCACCUAAGACAGUGUAAUUCGUGCAUUAUAUAAAAAUGACUAAUUAUCUGUGCAAUGAAUAAAAUAGAUGCAAUGUAUGACAUUCAUUUUAACACUCAAAUACACACAAUUAAUUAUACCAAAUCUCAUAAUGCAUAGAUAUCAGUAGCUCAUCGAUAUAAACAAGUAAAUAUUUAUUCCCUACUUAUUACUAGCCACGACUCAUCUCGACUAACUCAACUAAUGAGAUAUCGUAACCACUGAAUAAUGCAAGACAAAAUCAUAAACACAUAUUUACCAUGCUUCAACCCAUUCAUCACAGGUAUCCUCCAACGAUGAUAAAUAUAGUACAAACGCAUAAUGAUGGCUAUCCUAGACUCAUUCUCAUCAAGAUUCAUACCCAUUUUAUUUCCUUUCAUUUCUCAAUCUUGGACCUCAAUUUCAUAAAUUCAUAUAUAGGCUAUUCAAGUCACAUCUGGUUAUACAAGUCAUAUAAUUCCAUGUAUAAAUCAUUCUACUUUAUGUCUUCUCAAUCUUAUAAAGAACGGUAGAACAUCUGUCUUUUCCCAGAAUCUUAUAUACAUACUCAGAAAAAUCAAUUAUAGUGUUGGUAUAUUGCCAACAACACUUGUAGAAUUUCAAUGGAGUUGGUAAUUUACAUGAUAUGGGAAACAAGCACACUUGGAGAGCGCACCGCAACAGAAAGUCGUAUGCUGUAUUCGAAAGUGGUGUUACUAAUUUACUUAUGAUACUGGUUAAAUUUCGAAUGAGUUGAUAAUUUACUACUUCAUUGAAAUAUUAGUAAAUUUCUGAUAAGUGUUAGUAAUUCACCUACGACACCGGAAAGUUUUUAACAGACUUGGUAAUUUACCAAUCUAGUGUUUCAAGAGCAUUAGACUUGGUUAGGCUAAAAGCUAUUACAAUUAGAUGCAGAUUGAAGAGUUCAAUUGAGUCACAGCUCAUGAAGGAGUUCAAUGGGGGUCAUUAAUCAUUCAGAAGCCCCCCGUAGAAAUCUGUUUUAAGUUAUCAAAACUAAAGGACCUUUGUGACUAUUGCACAUGAUCAUUAACUAGGGAAGGUUAUGUUCAUGCUAGACACAAUGUUUUGCCCCUACUUCUUCAUUUCCUCAGCGUGGAAAUUUUCAUGGGAAAUGCACAACAAUUCAGUGAAUAUGGUCGCUGAUGUCUAAUUGAAUACGCGACAUUGAAUGCAACACAUUGAACAUUAAUCUCUGAGAAUGAAUUCUGGAGCAAGUCAUCUUGAAUCCUCAAUGAAUUUCUCCCAUGACAAGAUCAAUUACUAAUUGCACCCUCCAAAAAUUUUAGAAGUAAGUAGGACCACAGCAGACCAAAAAAGGGAAGAAAGAAAUUGCAGAACCAAUCGAUUAUAGUAAGGUUUCAUGCUUUCCAGGACAAUAAUAUUUCGGUUUUAGCUAGACCUUGAUAAUCAGAAGAAGAAUCGAGUCCCAGUCGACUAUAUUACAUAAGAUAAAUGAAAUCAGAUAAAUCCCUCCCCCCACCCAAAAAAAAAAAAACUGAUUCCCGAUGCAUGUUCUGAACUAGUUCCUAAGGAGCGAAAAUCGAUCCGCUAAUUGGUGCAGAAGUGAACUGACGCACAGGAGUUGCGAUGUGUUUCAAUAGAAUGUGACUUGGUUAAGGCUAAAGCUAUUAAAGAUUCGAUGCAGUUACGGAAGAAAAUCAAUCGAGUCAGCUCCCGAGUGAGUUCAUCAAAAGGCUGUUUUCAUUGCGUCUGUAUGAUAAGUCAUGACUGAAAAUAAUAAAAACUAACUCAAUCCGUUCCAAAUCUUUUCCUAAUCCGUCACUGAUUGCAUCAAAGAUUCGCACGCGGACCCAAUCCAUGCAAAUGAGAAGAGAAAAUUACCAGAAAAUGAAGACGGGUGAAGAUGAAGAAAACCAAAUGAAGAUGCAGAGCAGGAAGAACCCUCGUUGGCCUGAGUCAGCUGCAACCAAAAUGGAAAAGGAAGACCACAAUCUAUUAACCCCUCGUGGAACAGAUCGGCGGGCACGAAGACGUGGUCGCAGUCCCCGUAGGGAGAUCUCCGCCAGGCCAUAUCGCGUCUUGUGCUUCCGCUCAGGGUCGCCGUCGCUGCUGGCUCUGGGCGAGCUUCUCGCUCGGGUCGUCGCUGACGAGGGAGGAGAAAGAAUAUGAGAAGAGGGGGGGGGGGGGGGGGGGGGGGGGAGAGAGAGAGAGAGAGAGAGAGAGAGAAAGAGAGAGCAACGGGAGAAAAAACGAAACAAAAAAACAGAGAGAGAGAGAGUUGAAAUUUCUCAAGAGUGGGUCUCCCGACUCUCCCCUACACCUAUACGCACCGUUUCGAGAAAAUAUUCCUCACUACUCUGGUAGGUAAUCUCUUCCCCGUGAUUUCCUGUCCGGUGGUAUUCUUACCUCAAAUACUGCGAAGGGUCCUCUCACUUUUUUCAAAUCUCCAUACUCAUCAGAUUCCAGAAUCUCCAAUCUCUCACAUUCUUUUAUUGCCAAUUUCUCUAGCUUCUUGAAGCUUGAAGGCUCCGAAAACUUUUGCAAAGACCUGCAGCCUUCAAUAGAAAGCCUCUCCAGUGAUUCUAGCCUACCUGGAAUCUCAAUCAAACGAGGAAAAUGACCUAAAUUAAAAUCAACAAGCUCCUUGGCAUUGGUCAAGUCAGGCAACUUCUCUAGCAACGGAAGAUUCCUCACACAUAAGUAACUCAAGUUCUUUGAAUAUUCCAGGCCUUGAAUCUCGUUGAGCUUCGAACAGUGACUUAUCAUUAAUACUUCUAUAUGCUUGAAGGUUAAUGGAUCAGGCAGCUUUUCAAGUGAUUGAUAGUGCCAUAAAUUGAGAAGCUUCAACGAAUCUGGCUCACAUUGAACCUCAACCAAUUUAGGACACUUACUUAUAUGAAGUCCCCGAAACUUCUUCAAGCUGGUCAGGUCGAGCAACUUCACCAACAACGGAAGACGAACAAGAUGAAGGGCUGCCAAGUUUUUCAAAUGUCGGAGGCCUUGAAUCUCCAUUAGUUGUCUACAGCAAUGGAAUUCCAAUCUCGAUAACUUCUCCAAAUAUGAAAGAUUUAUCGACUUUUCCAUUAACCCACGCCCACGAAUAAUGAAGUAUGACAAAUUUUGGGGAAGCUUAGGUAAGUAUUCUAGGUUAUGUGCGAUGAGUUCAAGCAUCCUGAGCUUCAAAAGGAGAUUAAAAUCUAAAGGUAAGAAGAUUAGACCAUCAUAACGCAACCACAAGGUUUCUAGCUCUCUUAAUCCUACGAUCCAAUUGAGGCUUGGAGCUAGAGGGGAAGGGGUUUGAUACUCUAUAUCCAACGUCAAAUCUCUCAAAUUUAAUAGGUUUGAGAGGUCUGGACAUCUCAUCUGUAAAUUAUGGCGCAAGUAUAUAUUGGUCAUACUUUCAGGAAGCUUAGGUACAUCGGAAAUUCCCGUGCUCGUUAAUCUCAAGAUUCUCAAAGAUGAUAGUCUUCCAAUCUCACUUGGAAUUUCCCCACACAAAUAUUCACAGUCAUAAGCUUCAAUCUCUUCAAGCUUCUCCAACAUCCCAAGGGCGCUAGGUAGCUUUUCUAAGAUGGUGCCAGAGAUCCUUAGUACUCUCAAAUUCUUCAUUGUCUCUAUUGAAGUGGGUAACUCUCCUAUCCUCGACAGAGAAAGAUUCAACUCAACGAGAGAACCAAAAUUCCCAAUUGGAAAUUCACUAAUACUUGUACUCGACAAGCGAAUAUAUAACGGUGAUGUUGAGCAACCAACUAAAUUGCAUUCACUCAGUAAUACACAUGAACUUGCACCGAGAGUUUCCAAUUUCUUCAUUCCUUUCCAUUCAGGAAUUCUGGUAAUAGAUGUCUCGUCAAGAAGAAGUUCUGUCAAGGCUUCCAGUUCCUCCAUCUCGUAUGGCAAUGUAUGAAGUUUCGUACAACCUUCCAAGUUUAAAAACACCAACUUCUUUAACUUACCAAUAGACCUAUCAACUUGAACCAAUUCCUUGCACCCUUGAAGAAUUAGUUGCUCUAAAUUUUCAUGAGCAGCAACGUUAGGAGUUUUACACAAGUUUAUGCAUUUAGUCAAAUUUAGAACCUUCAAAUUCUUUGCCAUUUGUAAUGAAGAGAAGAGGUUAAUUCUAGAUCAUUUUGAGAUACAGGACAAUAAAGUUAAUAUAGCAAAUUCAAGUUGAAAUAAUACCAUACCUUGAGGUGGUUCCAUCCCUCCCAAUCAUUUGUAAUCUGACUUCGUGAUAGAUCAAGAAUCACUAUCUUCUCAAGGGAAAACGCAGUCAACUGGAAAAAGAUGGGAAACUCAUGCCAAGAGAGAUAUCUCAAAUUCGGAAGGAUGAGCGGAUUUUUACAGAACUGCUUGGUUGAAGGACGAUGCUGAACAAAUUUAUGCCAUGAGAGCCAUCUCAACUUUGGAUGGUUGAUAGAUUCCUUUGGAACCAGUUGGUUAAAGAAAAAUGCUGGACAUUUUUCUUAUCCAAGUCUCCACAAUUUACUUGAAGAAACCUUAAAUUUGAUAAGCUUUCAAAUUCUUUCUUCUUAAAGAAGUGUUGAGAUCGAUGAUCAAACUUGAGACGUAUUGCUUCAACAUUUUCUGCUCCCUGCCAAAGCGGAAAAAAAAAAUUAAACAGAAGCUAAUGAUCACAUAAUUGCCUGUCGAAGGGAUUCAAAUUGAAGAUACUUUAGGAAUGUGCAUUUUAUUCGUACUUUCAAAUUGAUUUAUAAUAUGAUUUACAGAUAAGCAUGUCAUCAUGGUAAGCAAACAAGUAACGACUUGGUUAAGAUAGAAGUAAAUAGCCAAAAUCAACGUGUAUAACUCGUCCCUCUUUGAAUAGGAAUAACAUUGCACACACUUUACCUUUACUAUGAGGAUAUCAUUUGCUUGUUCAUGAUCCCACACUUGACUUUGUUUCUUUGGUCUAGAUGUACCAAACCGACGAACGAAAUGUCACCCAAGGUCUCUUAGCAGAUUAUGCAUCCACAAUUGGUCACGUUUUGUAAUCUUUAUUAACGACAUCUGUUGGAGGACAUCAAGAUAAUAGUCAGGUAAAAACCCACAGCUUUUCCACAUGUGCCUCACAAUUUUCACAUCAAACCCAACGAAGAAGCAACAAACAUUGAGAAAUAUUUCCUUUGCAUUUGGUUGUAAUGCCUCGAUACUGAUGUUUAGCUUUUCUUCAACAUUUUCAUCGGGAAUAGUUUCUAGCUUCUCUAAUGUGGUCUCCCAAAAUCUUCUAUCUUUUCCAGCUAAAAAUGAACCUAUGAUCUCGAGAGCCAAAGGAAGAUGACCACAGACUUUUACCACUUUUUCGGGGAGAGGGGCGUAUUCUGCUGGAGGAUGAUCACUUCUAAACACAUGUUUGCUAAAUAGUUGAAGAGAAUGAUCAAAAUCCAUUCCAAUAAGUUCGUGCUUCAACUCAACAUCUUUGAGAACUUCUUUGUUUCUUGUGGUAAUAAUAGCCUUACUUCCAUAGCCAAACCAACAUUUACCCAUUCCCACAAGAGCAUCUAGCUUAGCCUUUUGAUCGACACCAUCAAGUAGAAGUACGACCUUUGUAAAGGAUAACAACUCCUUGAUCACUUUUUUCCCUUCAUCGAUAUCAUUGAUGGUCGCUUGUCUCUUUCCUAGGACAAUGGAGAUAAGUUGAUUCUGCAAACUUUCAAUUUUCAUAUCUCCAAUGUUGGACAUGGAGCAACAUUUAGUGGAAUCAGUGGUCUGUUCACCUAUCACUUCCGUGAUUCUGUCCACUUGAUUGUCCAUUUCAACAGAGGAAUUAGACAAGAUGUAAUCUUUAGUAGAAUCAGACAACAGUUUGUUAUAGACGAUUUUGGCAAGAGUUGUCUUUCCAACACCACCCAUACCAUAGAUACCGACAAUCUUUGUUUUAGUGGCCUCACCUAUUAAUUCCAUGAUUCUGUCCACGUGAUUGUCCAUUUCGACCAAGAAAUCAGGUACCGCCAAGUAAUUCUUUUUCAAUUUGAUCAAAACCUUCUAAGCAACUUCUCUUGUGAACUCACCUUUGCCUCUGAUAGUAUUGAAGGCAAAAGAACAAAAUUAUUAAAUCAAGAUGAACAGAAUAAUAUCUAAGGUACAAACAAAACAUGCACAAUAAUAAAUUCAAGUACUUGUCCUUGAGUUCCCAUCCCUUUAAUUCUCCAACCUUGUUGAGAGCUACCUUCCAAUUCUGAAUAGUCUCAUCAGUAUACAGCUGCUUAUUAUGUGUGACUGAAUGGCCUCGCCAUAAGUUGCAAUCUGGUUACGAACCUUGGAUGGUUCAAUGUCAUAGAAAAUUGGCAUGAUCUUUUGUCCCAACUUUUCCUUACAUUCCACCAUCUGAACCAACUCCAUAAGGCACCAUUUAUGCGACAUCCCGAUUUUCCAAUUCUAAUUUUAAUAAAUUGAGACGGGCAUUUCGUUGGUAUGCAUAUAGUUCCUUUCCUUGAGUCAGCCACUCAUGUGAAAAUUAGUCUAUCAGGUAAAGCCGUUAAGAAAUUCUAAUGCAUCAGACUCGAGAAUUUGAUCAGGAAGCGACCUUUCGACCGAGAUAAUCUGCAAGGGUCAUUACGGCACAAAUAAAAAUCGAUUAGAAAUUGGAGAUAGGUCGGCUCGACAGAGGCAUGUGAUCAGGUGUGGGUGAUUCCACUGGAUCGCACAAUUCUUGUCGAUCGGCACCGGACCGACUUUUCUAUUGAUUGGGUACCCUGUGCCCGUAUUUGAAACCUUGAGAUUUCCCCUACAACAGAAAGUUGCGAAUGUGCCAAAGAUGUAUAUUGUGGCUUGAAUUGAUCAACCACAUGUCAAAUGCACAAAAAUUUCUAAAAACUACUCGGUAGGUUGAGCCGCGCUAGUAUCGUGCCAAAGUGAAAUUAACCGUGAAAUUGAGAUCGAAUUCUGAAAUUGGAAGUCCUGGUGUGUCACAAAUUCUAUUAGGAACAUUGGAUUAAAUUAUGAAUUUUAAUUUGGACUCAAUCGGAAGAGAAUUGAUGGGAAUUGAAGAAAUUGAAUGUACAAGAAUUGGACCCCGACGGAAAAUGAAAUUUGCACCCAUUGGAAGAGGUUGUAGAGGAUUGAGUUAGUGGAGUGAUGUCAUGGUGUGGGGACAAGAGUGACUAGGAUCUUGACAAGUGGAGGGAUGAGAUGGGCUCUUGAAAAGGUGGGCUUUCACUUCAUCUUCUUCCUUGAAUCAAGGGAAAUUGUUGGAUUUUGAAGAGAGAGAGAGAGAGAGAGAGAGAGAGCAGCCGGCCAUCAGAACCUCCUUCAUCCGCCCUUCUUCGCUGCUCGGUUGCUCGCUCGGCCGGCCACCGUCUCGCCCGCGUUCCUCGUCGCUCGCCGUUCGUCGGAGCUCGCACGUUGCUGUCCCAUGUGCGAGCUGCCUUGUCUCCAUCCGCCGAGCCUCCCGCGUUGUCGUCUCUCCUCGCCAACAGCUAUUCGUCGUCGCCGGAGUCUCCAUCACCGCCGUUCGUUGCUGUUAGCUGCCGUCCCGAGCCUUAGCUGCUUCCGCCGGUCUUCCUCCGCCUUUCCUCCACCCGAUCAGCCACCGUGCCGCCUCCCUCCAAGCUCGGUUAGUUGCUGGAAAAUCCAGCAAGACCCAGCCCCUUCCAAGCUCGAUUUGGUCUCCUAUUAGUUCUCAUUUGGUGUUGAUCCGUGUAGGUUUGUCGUCGACGUCGUCGUGCUCUUCGCCGGAGACUCAUCGAUUCUGGUGAGUUUAGCUCACUAAACCUCGAUUAGUGGGUUAAUCAUGCCUUAAGUGUGUUUAGCUUGGGUUGAUUGAGAUUAUGUUGUUAGAUUAGUUUAUUUAGAUGUGGAUUAGAUUAAGUUGUUUAAUUAAAGUAAAGUAUGUUUAGUUUAAGGGUUAAGUAGGUUUAUUUUAAAAUAAGCCUUGAUGUGACUUAAAGGAAUUUAUUUAUGAUUUAAAUAAAUGUUUCAAAAUUGUUAGAUUAUUUAAUAAUAUAUCAUAUUCCGAAAAUCAUUAAAAUAUUAUUUAAAAAAAAACUUGAAAAAAUUAUUUUUGAUCCUAAUUGCUCAGAAUUUCGUGCCGAUCGCCGCUGUAUAGUUAGAAUUUGAAAUUGAUGAAUGGUUAAUGCAAAUUGAGUGUUGAUUGUGGAAAAUAUGGAUUUUAUUUAAAAAAUCUCAAAUGUCGGGUUUGACAUCGAAAUUGGAUUUUUAAAGAUUAAUAUUGUAAUUGGGGUAUGUGAGUGAUGUGCAAAGUGCCUUGGGUUGAUUAUGAGUUGCUGCAUGAUAAUUAUGAGGAAUUGUCUUGUGCUAUUAAGCUGGAAUUGCCCCUAUAUGGGAUGCCACAUACAACGGAUGCAAGUCGCAGUUGAUUCUGGGCCCAUGCUCCUUUAGGAACGCCGCCGAUGUACUGACGAAGCCACGCUCCAAGGUGGGGAGGCGAUGCCUGGCUAUAUGUCAGUAGAUAACCGAACUGUGAGUAGGCUAUGCCUUUGUGUGGCAGUGAACAAUGAUUGGAAUGCUUGUUGUGAUUGCGAAUUAAGUGAAAUUGAUUGUGUUCCAAUGAUUUAAGUCCCUGUUGUUACCUGUGAUUGAGUGAUAUGAAUUGUACUAAUCUGCAGGAAGGCAAGAAGGUGAGGUAAGUCUUCUGUGCUAUGUGGCUAGACCACUCUAGGGCGUAUUUUCUUUGUAAUAGGGGUUUAGGAGGGGUGAACUUGCUGAGACAAUGUCUCAUCCCGGUUUGGGGAAAAUAUUACAGGACCGUAGAUGGCGGGACCCCCAGAGACGAAUGGCAUCCCAAUGUAGAUCAUCGAGCAGGUGCACAACUUCCCUGAUCCUGGGAGCCAUUGGGUCUACGAGCUGAUCAGGACUACCAUAUGGAUCCAGGAGCCUGAAGAUGUUAGGGUGCCCCAUAAGUAUAGGGCUUGGUUCCGUUUUUGGGCCAAUGGCUUUAUGAUUGGUCCACUUGACAGUUUUGAUAUUCCACUGGCCGUGAUGGAUGCUAUUCUGGGUGAGGGUGUAGCUGACCUUCCUGAUGGUAGGGUGGAUAACCCAUCGUCUCCGGACCCAGUGCAGUCAGAUGUGGAGGAUGUGGGAUCGACGAACGAGUCCGAUUAGUAGUUAUAGGACCGUUCCUCUUUUUGGUGACCGAUCCAUGUUGCGUAAACUGACCCAUUUUGAUGCACAUAAACUCUGACUUAUUUUUGGUGCAUAUAGUCUCUGAAUCCUAUUUGUGUAUGUAAACUCUGGAAUGAUGAUAUGUGAAAGUAUGUGGUUUGAUUUUGAAUUGAUCUUUCCUGCUGUCCUAUCCCAUAUGAUUUUGAUAGGAGUUUCUUAGCACGUUCCGCAUGCGCAAUAAUAUAUGAAUGGGGUCGGCAACACUACCUGGGAAUGUCGCAUAUUCAUGACCAUAGCGGGUUGUUCACGUGUCUCGAGGUUCGGGGCGUGACAAUUUACUAGCAGCGUAUUCUUUAGAAAAGAUAGGAAUUGGGAUUUUCGACUGCUUAAUCGCUUGGAGAAGCUCCGGGCCAAUCUCUUCCCCAACGUGAAGCUCUUCAUCAUCUCUAUAUGCCCGUAUUCCAGCAUCAAUGAGGCUAUUGUAAAGGAUAUCAGUGAUGUCGUGGCGAGUAUCUGGUCCUCUAAAGCUCAAGAACACUUCAUAAUAAGGUUCCAUUGGCUUCUCCACUCCCUGAAUUUUCAGAGGACUUGCGACAACUCGAUAUCCCACCAGGAGAAACGUUUACUAUGAAAGUGGAGUGAUGAUUAUCAUGAAUGAGAGGAGAUUACCAAAGAUGGAGGAGUGAAGAUGAAGAGUCCGGAUCAAACGCUAAGAAGCAUAUAAAGAUCCCCCAGAUCAAUCGUUCUUGGGUUUGAGCUCCGCUGAAGAAAGACUUUUCGCAAGAUGGCUCGCUCGCCCUCGCAUGCAAUGCUCUUCUAGGAAGGUGAGGACUUGCGAGUUGCACGUAUACUUAAAGCCAGCCGUUGACUUGCCAAUGAUUUGUUGGCGCAAACCACCAGAGUUCAAAUAGACGAGAUUUUAACGCAUGUUAUUAGUUUGGAAAUCAUAUAAUUAUAUUGAUUGAUAUUCUUUUAACGACGAUGAAACCAUUCUUUAGUUGUAGGUGAAACCCUAGGCCCAUUUAAAUUCAACAUAAAUUGAAUCUACAAUUGUAGAAUCCACACUUGUAAGUCUUUGAGAUAAUUUAUAUUAUUCAUAGUAAACUUAUAAGACUGGAGUUAGUUUUUAUGCUCUGUUUGUUUCGUAAAAAAAUAAAUAAUUUGAAAAUAAUUUCUUAAAUAUGAUUACUUGUAUCGCGUGAAAUAAUUAACUAAUGAAAUAUACUUUCAUUGUGAAUGACAAUUUAUGUCUAAAUAAUUUCGUGAACGAUAAAAAUAUCUUUUGUUUAUUCAUUUUUGUAAGCGAUAUAAGUGAUCAUUUUAAAAAAAUCCGUUUCAAAUUAUCAACUUUCCGCAAAACAUACAUACCUUUGAAAAAGUUACAGUGCAAGUGGAUGGUAAUCAACAAUCAUUUUUUAAUUGGCUAUAAAAUCUUAUUAAAUUCAUUAAAAAAGAGAGUACAUCUUGGAUCGCCCCUGGGAGCGGAGAAAUACAACGAUCUUCCAAAAGAAGUAUUGAAAAUCCUAAUUCUAACCUAAGUCUAAAUUGGAAAAUUACGUGAAAAACAUAAACCUUAGUCAACAACCCUUUGGGAAGAUGUGCAUAGCUCAUCAUGCACGGCGCACGGCACAUGUAGAGCACUUGCAUGCCACAUGUAAGACACAUGGAAAUUUCAACGACUGCCGAGGAAAAAUGCGUCGGAAUUGCAUAGGGUCGAAGGCUCAAAUGGGCUAAAUUUAAGAAUUCAAUGAUUUAAAGAGUGCAAUUUGAAUGAAAUUCAUAAAAUCGACUCGGUUUAAAAUUAAUACAUUGAAAUUAUUGUGGAUCAAAUGCUAAGAAGCAGAUAAACAUGCCAGAACAGAAGAAAGACUUUCAUUAAAGAGUCUACUCACCUUCAAGUGCCAUACCCUUGGAAGGUAAGGACUUGCUACUCAUCCUAGACGCAUUAUAAUUUUACAUACAUUAAACCUAAAAAUAUAGAACUGAUACAUAUAACGUAUUUGAGAUGGAUUAUGUUAGACUUAUUCACAAUAAAUUCAUAGACAAGAAUUAGGUUUUAAUUUCAAAAGCUGCAUUUGGCCACAAAGGAAUAACGCUCCAAAAAAUUUACAACAAGCCUUCAAAAAUAGCUAUAGUUGAAAUAUUCCAGAUGAGUUUACCAUGAGGCAGCAAUGCUCUUUUUACAUAUAUAUAUAUAUGGUUUUGUCCCAAUUUAUUUCUCAUAUGCGGGUAAUGGAAACGCUUUCAAAAUAGACAUCUCUCCAAACUGUUCAGAAGCCAUUUGAGUUGCUAAUAAAUCAAAGUUUCCCUAAGCAUGGAGAGCAGAGGGAGCGUAAGUUCUAGACACAAGGUUUGCAGUAAACAUGACCUCUAUGGUCUUUGGCCAAAGCGGCAAUGGAGGUAUUAGAGUCUUGCAUCAAUGUUCACUUGAAGUAAGGGGGAAGGAGUCCAUUUUGGAGGUUCAUUGUUCACAACUCGUGACUACGAGCAACGUUCCAUCACAACUCAUGAUAGAUGUCCUGUAUGUGUCGAAUUACUGAAGAAAGAUCCAUUGGGGAGCGAGCUUCCAGAAUUUUGUUUCGACGCUUCCAUAAACCCACUAAACUAUCUCGACCAUAUCGCAAAAAUCUUCGCAAUAAAUGUCAGGUGGAAGGCCGAAAGCGAGGAGGCGCAGAGAUCACAUAGCACACGUGUAAAAAACAGAACCGCAAAAGAAGUUGAUAUGUCCAAGCCCCAGCCAACUCGACUCCAUACAAUUCAGGUCAUCCACUCUCUUCCCCUUUUGUCAGGGCGAAUUUGACUGAUCAUUAUUUUUCGAAGUAAAAGAGCAGUUUUGUUCUAACUAGAUCUUAGGGAGAGAUAUGACCUUUACCUAUUUAUGGAAUAAAUACGACAUCUUGCCCAUGGAAUGUUGACAAGACAUCGAAUGCAUUUUGUGCAGAUCUCAACAACCGAGAGCAGAUUCUUAUGAAGACUGUACUUCUGAUUAACUUGGAGGUAAAGGACAACCAUGAGGAGGCAGCAACUGGAGCUCAGCUUGCUUUAAAUCUUUGUCGAGAGGUCUUUGACUGUUUGUACUUUAUGUAUUAAUGAUAGUAAGCUUAAUUUCUGUAUGCUGAGAAAUUGCUUAUUGUAAUUUCUGGUCCACAGAUAGAAGCAGCCGAGGAGGAAUCCAUUGAUGAAAUUGUUUCUAAUUUUCAGAACCAGAACAGGCGGAAAUUUUUAUUCAGCAUUUCCUUCUAUUGAUGACCGUGGUGAGGGCAAGACUCUUGCUCUGAAAGCUUUAUGAUCCAUGUCGUUGUUCUGUUAGUAUUUUGUCUGCAAAUUUAUAUGUCGAUGUUCUGUUAGUAUUUUUAUUCUGUCUGUCCAUCUACUUGCACAAUUGGUAAUAUACUUAAAUACAUUACCAGAUUUCUUCCAACGCUGUUACUGUUUGCUUUGCACGAAGCCUUCCCUAGAAAUCUUACCUUUCUAAGCCCAGCGAGCCCUAUUUAAUCCAUUACACAGCUAAUCAUUUCAAUAUACCCUAUCCUGAAUUUGAUCUCUUCUUAUGUCAGGAAGACUGAAUCAGGCUCUCCCAUGUUUCUACGCCUUUGCUUGAUCUUGGUAUUCCAUGCGAAUUGUUGGGUUUGAUGAGCACUUUCCUUGACUACUCGUUAGAGGUAGGUCAUUUUGCAACAGUAUCUCUAUCUGCAUAAUGAGAAUUGUCAUUCUCACGCUUUGAAUUUAAUUUGCUAGAGAAGCCUAUUCUUUGCUGUUAUCGCCAAGCCUAUCAUACUAAUGCGCUGCAUCUAUCCACUUUCAGAUAACACUGCAUCGAUGUGGAAAAGAAAUUCUGAGUCGAACCCUUUUACACUCACCUUAUCUCUGGAAUGUCGACGCAUGAUGAUGUAUUAGUAAUUAGAAGCAAGCCAUGUAUUAGUAAUUAGAAGCAAGCCAGUCUUGCUUAGGAGUGAAAAUUCUAUUAUUUCUUGUAGUUUUUUUUUUUUUUUUUAAGUUUCUUUGUACUGCAGAACUAAUUCUGCGAUGGUACUCAUGUCGAGAGAGUGGGAAGAAAAGGGAUUCCGGCGUAUUGCAUAUAAUUUCUUUGAAUGCAACAGGUUCAAAACCGCCUCUAUUUUCAUUUUUUCUGUAUCGUGCAUAUGAAAAGAAAAACAAGAGAACAGAACCAACCUGACCUGGUCAGUCAUUUGAUGAUUUGGUCCUGUGUUUUUGGCAGGGUUUACAAUUCAAUGGAUCCUAUUUAUUUGAGAUGAGUUGGUUUUUGAAAAGAAAAUUACUAAAAAGCAGAAACUUCUAAUUUGAGUUCAUAUAGAGAUCGUCAGUUUUCUUGCUGGCUUGUUGGUCAUUCCUAGGAUCCUGUCCUUCAACUUGCUUUCCUCACUUCCUGGAUAAAAAUUCCCUUGCGUAUUCAUUUAAAAUAAUAAGCUCUGAUAAUUUGUCGAGAUUACCUAGUACUGACACACAAAAGUCAUCUCCAUGUAUGGCUUGCACCAAGGUUUGCAGUUUCACAUCUCAAAGGGGAGGAUGCUUUCUUGACCUCGGCGCAAGUGUCUUUUUCGGAAUGUUCAAAUGCCAGUCUCUUGAGCCAGUGAAUUCUUCUAUUCUGCUGUUACUUUGAGCCGGUGAAUUCUUCUUCUUCUCUGCUGUUCCUUCGGGAAGACAAUGCAGUCCAUUGAUCCGUCUGUGGAAAUAAAAUUUCUCCUCUUUCUGAACCUUCAAUCUCCUCUGCAUUAAUUUGUAUAACACCGAACGCUCCAGUUAGUUGUGGUAUGCUCUACCCUAAUGCAGAUCUUCUGCUCCUUAUGUACAAAUAGGCUUGUGUUUGCAUCGUGUCAGCUACAACCCAACAGUGCCAGUGAAACUUGGCCAAACAACAGUGCGCAUUAGACACAGAAAAGAGAGCUCUUCUGCUCACACAUAUGAUCAAAUGUUACUAUGGUAUGAAUGAUGAAGAGAAAUUGAAGGAUAAUGACUCUCCAUGAACUAACAAACAGCGGCAUCAGCCAGCAUUUCCAUUUCAGAAUGGCGACAUACCAAUCUCGCUUCAUCUGUCCUAAGAGAUCUUAACAAAGAAUAAAUAUCACCCUUAUGAGUGUGCCUCUUGUCCUUGACAAUGAAGACAUGAACUUGACCCUGAAUUUCUAUCCAGCUACAACCAGGCUGCUUGACUACUCCUCGUUGCCUCAUCAGCUUCCUUAUUCUGACGACAUCGCCCCAUUUUUUGCUUUCCACGUACAUGUUUGAGAGCAGAACAUAAGGUCCAGAGUUCGAAGGGUCAAUCUCUAAGAGCUUCUCCGCUAUGUGCUUUCCUAGCAUUAUAUCCUUAUGAACUUUGCAGGCUGCGAGCAGCGAACCCCAAACGACAGCAUCGGCUUGCAUGGGCAUUGCCUCUAUUAAGUCCUUUGCUUCACUGAGACAACCAGAUCGGUUGAGCAAAUCAACCAUGCACGUAUAAUGGUCCUUUACCGGUGCCAGACCAUACUCCUCGAUCAUCCGCUUGAAAUAAUGGCACCCCUCUUCGACCAGCCCUGCAUGGCUGCAUGCACAUAGAACCCUGAUCAUAGUGACACAGUCUGCUCUCUUGCCAGAUACCAACAUUUUCCUGAAUAUUUCAAGCGCCUUUAUCCCGUAACCAUUCUGCGUAUAUCCGACAAUUAUGGCAUUCCAUGAGACCUUGUCCCUCUCCAACAUAUUUUUGAACACCCAUAAACCAUCUUCCACAGCUCCACAUUUAAAGUACAUGUCUAUAAGAGAAUUUCCAACAAAAAUAUCAGAUUCUUCUCCAGACUGGAAGCGAAAUCUGUGCUUCAAGACAUGAGCAUGAGCCUGCAGCCCCAACUGCAGAUCAGCAAGAUUUGCACACGCAUUGAGCAAAUUUCCAAAUGCGUAGUGCGUCAGCACAAUGGCUUCCCUCUUCAAAAGGCGGAAUAAACCAAAUGCUUCUUCAUUCUCUCCAUUCUGGGUAUACCCUGCAAUAAGGGCAUUCCAAGAAACUACAUUCUUCUCCAUCAACCUUUGAGACUUGCUGCCUUUGCAUACCCACUUACCAUGGAGGUGGCUGACACUAUAUCCCUGGUAGGCAUGCUGUCAAAAACUGCUCUGGCCUCACUAAUUCUAGAGCACUUAGAAUACAUAUCAAACCAAUGCAUUUCCUAAAACGACAUCAUUUCUAAAUUUGUCACAUUUUACAACAUGGGCUUGAAUUUGCAUCCCUUCCUUAAGUGCCGACAGGCUAGCGCAUGCGCUGACCACACUGGCUAAAGUGACCUCAUCUAUAUCAAACCCACAAUCCAUCAUGCUCACGAAAACCUCAAGAGCUUCACUGGCUGGACCAUUUUGUUCAUAACAUGUAAUCAAGCUGUUCCAAGAAACUACGUUUCGAGAACUCAUUUCAUCAAAAGCCCUCUGUGCACAAGCCACGUUGCCACACUUGGAGUACAUGUCGAUAAGAGCAGAGCCCAUAUGAACAUCGGACGAGCACUUGGACUUCGAUAUCAAAGCCUGGAUCUGCUGGCCCAGAUCCAUAUCCCCUAACCCGGCGCAUGCACUAAGAGGACUACGGAAUGAGUACUCAUUAAGCACAUAAUUCUCCCUAUGCAUCUUACCAAAACAUCGCAAGGCUUCUUCGAAUCUUUCAUGCUGCACAUAACCUGACAGCAUCGAAUUCCAUAAGCACUGGUCAGGUUCCGGCAUUGACCCGAAUAUCUUUUCCGCUUCAUCAAGAGAACCCAGUCUGAUCAACCCUCCUAAGAUCGCAUUCCGCGUGAAGGUAUUCUUCUCAGGCAUUCUAUCGAACAUCCUGUGGCCGUCGUCGAGGCACCCGCAUCUCACAUAGACAUCGAUGAGCCGGUUCUGGAUGAAAACCUCGGCGGAGAACUGGGUCUUAAUGAUCCGAGCGUGGAUGUGGCACGCGUCGCGCGCUGACAUGGACAGACCGCAGCCGUCCGGGAGCUUGGCGAAGGGGGACGAGGUGGCGAAAGACAGAUAGCCCGCCAGAGCCUUGACCUGCGCAUGCCUCGCCAUUCCAUCAUAUCAUCGUAAGAAGGGAACUCUCUCGGAGAAGAUUCGCAAAGGUGCAAAUUGAAUGCGAUGGGGAGUUUCUGUUGACCGUUAUAUGCUUCCCCGCUUCAGCCAGACGCGCGGGAACAUGACACGAGCGCUCAUAUGAAGUGGGGCAAAGUUGCAGUGGCAAAAUGGUAAUUUAGCAUAACAGUCUACUAAUUAGACUCAUGACUAUGAAUUAAAUUUUUAACUAUGAGUAAAUCUAAGCUAUAAAUUGAAAUAUGUCACCCUUAAUGGGUAUCUUGUUGUAAGUCACUAAAUUAAGAUUAGUCAUAUUUAAAAUCUAUACUUAUUGCUUUAUCAAUUAUAGUCAUAAGCUUAAUAUAUGACAAGUCAAUUUUAUUGAGAGAUAGCUGGAUUAUUUACAAAUCAAACAUAAAUUCUUGUUUAGUAAUUUUGAUCAUUCUAAUUAUAACUCAUUCUGACCAAAACAAAAAAAUUGUAACUCAUCAUUGAAAAAAUGCAAAAACCAAUUCUAGAGAAUGAAAAUUAGAUCUAUGCUGGAUUAGAUGGGAUAUCUUUUCAUCGGCCCCCUCCCUCGAGGAAUAGCUAACCUUGAUUUUAAGAGAAUAGCUAUUUCUUUGAUGGAGCUAAUCUUGAUUUACUUCUUAACCAACUAAGGACUAUCUUUUCAUGAGUAGAUUGAGAAUAAUGUAGCUAUUGUGAUAUUUUUGUAUUAACUCACAAUAUUGGUAAUGUUCUAACUUAAUUGCGCUUAACUUUAGAGUAAAACUACCAAGAUAGGUGGCUGUACCUUCAUGAGGUCACUUAUCUUGAUAAUGCUCUAACUUGACCACGCUUAACUUUGGAGUGGAAAUAUUUAUUGAUCUCAUGGGGAAGUGCUUGUCUGCAUGCCAAAUGAUAAAAUCGUGAAGUUUGAAAUGGGAUGGGUCUCAAUAGAUUAUAUCUCAAGUGAAUUAACUCAAAAACAUCACAGUUAUCUGUCCUAGAACAAAAGGUGCAGUUGGAUUUUCAAUUAAGACGCUUCUUGUUCAAGUAAGGUUUGUCCCUUUUGUUUUGUUUUGUUUUUUCGCUUUUUAUUUUUAUUUUUUAUUGUUGAAUGAAUAAUUUGGACAUCGUCCUGUUAUGGUAAGAAAAAUCAAUUGAUCUUCUAAAAUGUGCGUUGCUGUGAGCCUUUGUGAGGGAGAGCUUCAUGAUAAGAAAUGAAGCCCAUCUGAACGCACAUCCAAUCUGUCAAGGCUUUGAAACUCUUUCGGCUUUAUGCGACCAAGAACCGUCACAUCUGGGAGUUGUCUCCGGUUUUAGAAAGGUCUAUUGAUGUUCUUAUUUCCUGGUGAAGUAGGAUAUGUAAGACAGACAAAUUCCUGGGAAGCCUAGGUAAGAACCUGAGGUUCUUAAAAACUGAGGACAAGUUUCCUGAGCAGAGGAAGGAGAAUGAGAUAUGAAGAUAUGGUGGUGAUUUGCCGGGCUUUCAAGACUCUAGUUUGCUUAACCUUCCAAUCCACCAAGGAUCAUGGAGCUUCUUUAAGUCCGUAAGUGUCCUCAGGAUACCUCAACGCAUAUAAACACAGCCCAACUUGGACUGAGGUGCAAUAAUAAAAACGAACAUAUUCAUAACUUAUCUUUCUGUAACUCACCUGAACUUCAAGUGCCUCCUCGUAAUUUCCUAUACUACUUAGCUUCUCGAGUUUCAUAUCAUUUGCUUCACGAACGGUAUCUCUCCCAAGGUCUCUUAACCAAUCACGCAUCUGCAGUCGAGAGUCUUUUCUAAUUUUUAUUAGUCAUCUGCUGGAGAACUUGAACAGCUUCUUCAGAGAAGAGAUUACAGCUCUCCCACAUGUGACACAAUUCUUUUAUCAAACGCAAUGAAUAAUCGAGCAAUAUCUAAGAAUAUGUUUUCUGUCAAGAAUCUAAUGCCUCAAUCCUGAUCAUCAACUUCUUUUUAACAUCCUCAUGAGGAAAUUUUUCCAACCUUGUCAAUAUGGUAUUCAGCUUUGUUAUGGUUUUCCCCGACAAGAAUGAACCUGCAACCUCAAGUGCUAGAGGAAGACCAUCGGAAAUAUUCACCACUUGUAUUGAAACAAGGAUGUACCACUUUGAUGGAUAAUCUCUUCCAAAGGUGUGUCUGCUGAAACGUUGGAAAGAAUGAACAAAAUCCGUGCAAGUAAGUUCAUAAGUGCAAUCAACCAUAGUCGCACUGAGUACUCCCACGUUUCUUGUGGUAAAACCAAUCAUGCCUUGCCACGAGAGCGUGUAAGUGUAUUCUUAUGUCGACAUCAUCAGGAAGUAGAACUCUUCCGGAGGAUUACCUCUCCUUAAUUGUAUUUAUCCCUUCAUCACUAUUAUUGAUUUCUGACCAUUUCCAUACUAGAGAUGAGUUGAUUCUGCAAAUACUCUACACUCUUUUGCUUUGACGUUUCUCGAAUGUCAGCAAGGAAGCAAUGGCAAUUAAAACCAUCUCAAAAUUUAUUGUAGACAAUUUCGGCAAGUGUCAUCUUUCCAACACCACCCAUUCCAUAAAUUCUGAUCAUGCUUGUUUCAUUCGUGCGAGCGCCAAUCAUCCUCAUGACUUCAUUUACAUAACUAUCCACUGCAACCAAGAAAUCUGAUAUUACCAGUAGGCCUUUUUCAACUCCAUCAAAACCCCCAACCAAAAAACAAAAAACAAAAAAAAAAACUCAAUGAACUCCAUCAAAACCUUCCUGACAACUUCCUUUCAGAACUUACCUUCCCUCUGAUGGCGUUCAAUGCAAAAGAACCAAGAUGUUGAAAUGAGUUAAACAAAGUUCCUUCCAGGAAACAAACAAGUCAUAAGGGAUGAAUUUAGUUACCUUUUGGGAUUGUUUUGGAAGUCCCUUCCCUUUAUUGCUUUAACCUCAAUGAAAGCAGCCCUCCAAGUGUGGAGAGUCUCAUGAUCAAGCCGCUUCUUGUUUUCAUGAGAAUCAAAGGCUUUGUUGUAGAAGCCAGUUUGAUAUCAUACCCCUCAUGGUCCAACAUCAUAGAAAUUACGUCCUCUUCUUUUCCUGCACUCUGCCAUCUGCACCAAUUCGUUGAGGCACCAUUCACUGGCAGCAUAUCCCUUAGAGAAGAUGGGUAUCAAGGAUUUUUAACUGCUCCAUCGCUUGAAGAAGAAGCCCUUCAUCAUCUUUACAUACUCGAAUUCCAGCAUCGUUCAUGUUGGUAUUCAGGAAAUCAGGUAUGCCAGAGCAUAUCUGGAUCUCUAAAGCUGAAGAAUGCUUCUUAAUCAUAUUUUAUUGAUUUCCCCCUUUCCUGAAUAGUAAGGUGCAACAAUAGCACAUCAAUAUCUGAAAUUACAUAGUCGAUGGUCAUGAUGCGUCAUCAUAAUUAUCUUCUCUUCCUUUUUGGUACAUUUCUGUCACCAAGACUUACCCCAAGACAUUCAUACUGCACCUGAAAAUGUUAAAUACGUAGAUGCAGUGAUGAUCAGGCUAAUUUCUUUCAGAUGCCAAUGCAGAAAUCUAUUCUGGUAUAGAGAACCUCUUUGACAAAAGCAUAUUUUUUUUUCUUGGCAUUUUGUGCGAGCAAUUAGUAAAGCACAGCACCCUCUUUCUUUACGGGCCUCGUAACAGUGAAAGGGGUAAAAUGAAACCUAUAUAAAUGAUAUGUAACGAUUUUCUCUGGAAAGAUGAGCCAUUUCAACUACUCAGAUUUACUAUCCAGACUGCCCAUAUUAGUUUGUUAUAUAAAUGGAAAUACAGUCCUAUUCACUAAAAAGAUGCAAACACUAUUCUGAGUAAUGCUCCAAAUGGCCAAUGAAAUAAGAAAACAAAGAAAAGUGGAGCAACAUUAGUAGUCUGUUUAUUGUUUGACUUAUUUCUGUUUUGAUGCACUACUAAGUGUGAUUAUAAAAAAAAAUGACUUAUUACCUGAUGAUGACUCCUUUGAUUUCAAGUGACGAGGAAGUGGAGUUCUGCAAAAACAUUGUCGCUCAUUACAAAGUUGGAUUCUGAAGCAGAAAUAACAAAGACAUGAGACACUACUUAAUACAGAGGCCAAGAGUUCAACAAGAAGGAAUACGUAUUACUUGGUCCAUCUUAAAUUUUGGUCAAGGCUUCACAACUUUCUUAUCAGAAAGCACUGCUCAAAGAUUGCCUUCCUCCGCAUUCUUUUUCAUUUUAUGCAAUUGAACCUAUAAUUGCAGGUCAAAAGAGAUUAAUCAUAAGUGCAAUUUGCCGCAAAAAAUGUCCCAUCUUUCUGAGCGGCUUAAUUGAUUCUUACUAGGUCAUAGAAAGGAAGUGUGAAUCUACAUCACAGUUAUCUUCAUAACCUCCCUUCUUUGAUGUUAGCCACAUAUUUGACAGACAAAUUAUGUCAAAAGAACAACAUUCAACUAGAAAUUCCGUCAAACAACUCAAAAUCUGCAGGUUAGAUACCAUUUCUAGUUCCCAGAGGAGCUUGGAUUCAUCAUAAGGAAUUCUGCAGAAAGGCAGAAAACAAGGGAUUAUUGAUAGCCAACAUUCAGCUUUGCUAUCCAUAUAAACUCACAAAUCAGCAGACAAUUUAGCAUUAAUUAGCUCAGGUAAUAGUAGAGACACUAACAUUCAUUCAUGAGAGAAUAGGAAAGAAAUAACAGUAUGAUGGUUGACUUGCAACUGAUGGAAAAUCAGAGAUUGGUGUACUGAAGUUCGAAUAAAGUGAAUAAAAUCAAUGGCUUUCCUGUCUCUCUCAUGUGCUUAAAGUUCUCCAAGUUGGCUAUUAUCUCAUCUCUCCAUUUCUGUCCUUAAUUUCAUCUUCUUGAAUCACUAUGUACUAACUCAGAAGAGACUGUGUCAGGCUAUAACUAAAUCCCAUUAGCCAAAUGAAAUCAAAUAAUUCCAAUAUAACUAAUUUAAAGGUUACCUCGGAAACCAUCGAGGAUGUGUGGUGCCAGGCAACACGACGUCGAGAUUGUGCGACCUCUGCAACCACUGCCGAAGGGCUGGAUUUGGGUCGAUCGACCCUCAACCUCAACACACAGUGGCUCAGGCAAAGACAGCAGCUCGACAGUCAGUGCGGCCCAAGUGAGGGCCAUUAGGGCUUCUCGAUGCCAGGUGAGGUGACACCGAGGUUACGUGGCCUCCCCAACACCUGUAUAACUCCACAUUUCUUCCUUUUUUGUGAAAAAAAAAAAGGACAACUAGCCAAAAUGUUGACUGCUCUGCAUGUCUCAUUUGCUAAUGUCAAUGAUACACUGGCUUCACAGUUGCUUCCUCUCUUCAAUGCGUGGGCCAAAAAAUGGUUCAUUUUUCCCCCUUCCACGCUGAUCAACAACUCCAAAUAAUAUAUUGCUUUAAGAUCCUAAGAAGAAGAGAGAUUUGAAAACUGAUUGAUUCAUCAUGAAAUCUAAAGCAGUAAUCAUUACACUUUUCACAGAUCAAUUUGCUGGUUAAUUCCAAUCGGUAAAUAGACUCUCUCUUUGGCUGAUUCCUUGGCUCGACCUAUUUACUUCCUUGGCUCAGACUUGGUGACUUCCUUCAAAGUCCUCCAAUCAUCAGAUCCCAGCAAAUAUUUUAGCUUCUCACACUCAUGUAUCCUCAAAUAUUUUAGCUUCUUGACGCUUGAUGGAGCCGGUAGCUUUUCCAGAUCUCUGCAGAACUCUAUACGAAGUAUCUCCAGUGAUUCUAGUCUGCCUUGAAUCUCAACCAUUUUAGGACAAUUAUACAGUUCAAGUUUCGUGAGCUUGCUUAAGGUAGUGAGGUCAGGCAAUUUUUCCAGUGAUGUAACUCUAACAAACUUCAAUGAUCUCAGGUUCUCCAAGCCUUCGAGACCUUGAAUCUCUGUUAUUUCACAACUUGUAACUUCCAAAUCCGCUAGUACCCUCAAGUUUGAAAGGUCUAUCGAUGUCUUCAUUUGCCAACAACCUUUUAUAACUAAGCUCAACAAACUCGCAGGAAUCCUUGGAAGGCAUUUCACGUUUUCGCACCUGAGCUCAAGUUCCUUGAGUUCAGAAAGGAGAACGAGGUCUGGAGAUAGGGUGGUCAGGUAAGGAGAUUCCAGCCAUAUAGCCUCUAGUUUGUGUAACCUUCCAAUCCACCAAGGACUGGAAGUUUUCUCAAGUUCAGAAGGGUCCAUCCUAGAACUCCACAAGACCAAACUCAAAUCUCUUAAGUUCAAUAGGUUUGAGAGAUCUGGGAAUGUCUUCAUUGACCAAGUGCCAAAGUAAAGACUGGUCAGACUUUCAGGAAGCUUGGACAAUCCCGAAACUCGAGUGUAUGUCAGUCUCAAGACUCUUAGAAACUUUAAUCUCCCGAUAUUGCUCGGCAUUUCCCCUUCCAAACAUCCACAGCGGUCAGCAUCUACCUCUUCAAGCUUAUCCAAUAGUGCUAUGGCACUGGGUAGUUUUCUCAAGGUACUGCAGCAUAUUCUCAGUACUUUCAAAUUCUUCAUAUUUCCUAAUGAAGAAGGUAGCAUUUGAACCUGUGAGUGGGAUAGAUCCAACUCGACUAGUGAUUGCAAGUUCCCAAUGGACUCUGGAAGUUGAGUAAUCUCAGUUGCUACCAACGAAAGCUUCAAUAAUGAUGCUAAGCAGCCAACUGAACUACAAUCAUUCAAAUUUUUACAAUUACGAACACUUAAGAAUUUCCAGUUUCUUCAUUCCUCUCCAUUCGGGAAUUUCUCUUAUUGAUGUGCCAUCCACAAGAAUUUCUGUUAAAGCUUCUAGUUUAGCAAUCUCAUCUGGCAGCUUGCUGAGUUUAGUGCAGAACUUUAAGUUUAAGAAAACUAACUGCUUUAGCUGACCAAUAGAUCUAUCAAUAUGGACCAACUUCUGACAUCUUUCAAGAAUUAAUCUCUCUAAAAAUACAUGAGAUGAGAAGUCAGGCGUUCUAUUUAACUUUCUGCACCCAGUCAGAUUUAGAACCUUUAAAUUCUUUGCCAUCUGUAAGGGAGAACAACAAAAUUUCAAUCCCAUUAAGGAAAUAGGUAAUUAAAAAAAAUAUAUUGAAAUUAUUUUGAAACACCUCCUAGGCUUCUACCUUGAUGUGGCUCCAUCCACUCCAUUUUUUUUUGUAAUUUUACUCCAUGAUAGAUCAAGAAUCACUAGCUUUGUCAGGGAAAGAGCGGUCAGCUCAAAAGUUGCCGGAAAGUUAUGCCAUGAAAGCCAUCUCAACAUUAAAAAUAUGUAUGGACUCCUUCGGAAAAAAACUGGCUGGAAGAACAUUCAAGCAGCAACCACACCGAAAAGAACUGACUUGAGCAAAACAAUGCAGAUUUGUGCUUGUCUCAUUGGAGUUUAUGCCAUCUACUUGCAAGAACCUUAGGUUUGAUAGACUGGCAAAUGCUUCAUAUGUAAUGUUGUAUUCGCAACUACUUUCAAACUUGAGUCAAAUUGCUUCAACAUUUUCUAAUCCCUGGCCAUACAAAAAGGGAAAUAGCAGUUAGAAAGCACAUAGUUCUUGUUUGGAAAAUUAUAUUCACUUGGGGUGCUAUCUUUCCUCGAAAUUUAUAUAUUACUUUAGGAGAUGUGUCGGUACUGUGAGCGGAAAAGAAAUAAUACACAAGAAAUUCUUUUAAUUGGUGAGUAGUUAAAUAGAACGCUCUUGAGAAUGAAUUGACUUUGUACACUCACCUUCGUCCUCAUAAGCAGAUCAAACACUUCAUCAUGAUUCCAUACUCUGCUUUGCUUCUCUGAUUUCAUAGCACACUCUUGACGAAUGAUUUCACGUCCAAGGUCUCUUAGCUGAUCAUGCAUCCAAAGACAGUUGUCUUCUUUAAUCUUUAUUAAAGACAUCUGCUGGAGGACUGCAAUGGCUUCUUCAGGAAAAAGCUCGCAACUUUCCCACAUAUGGAUCACAAUUCUUUUAUCAAAACCAAUGAAGAAACAGGCAAUAUCAAAGGAAUAUGCUCUUUUGUCUAUCAUCUAAUGCGUCAAAACUGAUCUUCAACUUCUUUUUUAUGUCCUCAUGAAGAACUGUUUCCAGCUUCUUUAAUGUGAUAUCCCGUUGUGCUUUGCUUUUUCCAGAUAAAAGCGAACUCAUAACCUCCAGAGUCAGAGGUAGACCGCCACUAAUGUUCACGGUUUUUGCGGAGUAAGGGAGGAAUUCCUCCAAAGGAUAAUCUCUUCUAAAUGCAUGUCUGCUGAAAAGUUGCAGAGGAUGCUUAAAAUCCAUGCAGGGAAGUUCAUAAGUCCAAUCAACUUUGGGCUCAUGAAGAACAUCCUUGUUUCUGGCGGUAAUGAUAAGCUUGCUUCCUUUGCCAAACCAUUUGCGCUUCCCCAGGAGAGCAUCCAGUCGAAUCCUUUUGUCAACUCAUCAAGUAGAAGUAGAACUCUUUUAGAGAAUAACCUCUCCUCAAUUAUCAUGGUCCCUUCAUCCACAUUAUCAAUGUCCAGCCAUUUCCUUCUAAGGAGUAUAGAGAUGAGCUGAUUCUGCAAAUACUCAACACCCUUCUGCUCGGAAGUUUCUUGUAUGUUAAGCAACAACCCUCAAAAUGAUGGGAGAGUUGGUUGUAGAUGAUUUUGGCAAGUGUCGACUUCCCAACACCAUCCAUGCCGUGGAUUCCAACAAUCGUAGUUUCAUCAGUCUCGGCAAACACCAUUCUCAUUAUUUCACCCACAUGAUUGUCCAUUUCAACCAAGCAAUCAGAUACGACUAAGUAGGCCUUUUUCAACUCAAUUAAAACCUUGUUGACAACUUCUUUUACGAACUCACCUUUACCUCUGAGCAUUAAAGGCAAAAGAACUUAGAUACUAGAUUAAGGUGCAAAAAAACUAACCAAAAAAAGCAAUAACAGAAAUUCAUCACUGGAGCAAAACACAUAAUAGACCAUGAUGAAUAGCAAGACCUGUUCGGAUUGCUCUGGAAAUCCCAUCCCUUUAACGCUCCUACCUCAUCGAGGGCAGCCUUCCACCCAAGGAUGGUAUUCGCAUCAAACUGCUUCUUCUUCAUGUGCGAAAGAAAGGCCUCACCAUAAUCCCCAAUUUUGUUUUCGAACCUCGGAUGGCCUGACAUCGAAGAAAAUGGGCAUGAUCUUCUGCCCCGUAGCUCUCUAGCACUCCAACAUCUGUACCAAUUCCAUAAGACACCACUUACUGUCAGCAUAACCUUUGGAGAAGAUGGGUAUCAAGAUUUUGGACUGCUCAAUUGCCUGGAGAAGCACUGGACCGAUCUCUUCCCCAGAACGGAGCUCUUCGUUAUCUCUGUAUGCUCGAAUUCCAGCAUCAAUGAGACUGGUAUACAGGAUAUCAGCGAUGUCCAAGCGUGUAUCCGGUCCUCUAAAGCUCAAGAAUACUUCGUAACAUGUUGACAUGGCUUCACAACUUCCAGCGUUUGAGAUGAUUCGUUACUAGACAAGCAGCAGCAGAAUCACCGACAGCUUCUGUGAUCCCGUUGUCUGUUUUCACCUCUUCACUGGGUCGUACAAAAAGAUGGAAACAAUGGAAGCGACGACCAAUGCCAAGUGCGAGGACCAACCUGGGUACACCCUCUAAACCUAUGAAAACGAUGCUGUGAAGAUUUCUGUCGGGAUGGGAAACAAAUGUACGUGAGAUCUGCUCAGGUCAAUGAUUGCUGUCAGUCUUUUUCUGGUUAACCUUGUAUCUAAUGUAUUCUAUUGUCUUCAAAAACUUGAGAAGGAAGCUUCCUCUUCACUUCAAUCGAGGCAUACACGGUUUGGUUAUUUUUCUUGGCCAUGAACACACACAAUUAAAACGCGGCCUCUCUAUGGCAGCCACGAGGGAGGUUAGGAUAUCCUCGACGGAGCAUGCGAACAAAAUAGACAGCUUUUGCCGUAUUAGUGAUGACUAACUUGGAUUGUUACUAUUCUUCAUAUACAAAAGCUACUUAUUCCCGAUACGUUGAUGAGUCCGUUAAAACUUUGAAAAUUACUUACCCCAUAGAGGUGGAGAAGUUGCUUAUUACAAACAUUGAUAUGUUAAUUAAAUGUUCUUAUUAUAAUAGAUAGAGCUUGAAAAGGGGUUUGCUUCAACCAAAAUUCAAGCCCUGAAGAUUUCAAGCCACAGAUUCCGAAACCUCGAUAUACUCCAUCUCAUAGGCAACCUCAACAGGGCAUUGCCUCAUACUGGCUAGGUGCUUUGCUCCUGAAGUGCUUCUAAUGAGGUUUGAACCUACACCACGAGAAAAAAGGCAAACUAACUCCCUUGCUAAUUUCUAUAGGCCAAGAGUAACUUUUCCAUGAAAACUCUAGCAAGUGAUAGAUAUGCACUUGCUUUUAGGAGCAAAUACUAAUCAUGAUGAAAAGAUCCCUUCUUAAAACAAUUGACAUAUAGAUAAAAAAAAAUUAUGAAGAGUUACUGACUAAUGGAAGACUAAUAGACUAAAGACUAUUUAUCUUUAUGCAAACAUAGGAAAAAAGGUUACUGAGUACUAAUGAUUACUUAUUUUCUUCUAAUCACCACGGUAAAUUUACUAAUAAAAGUACCUAGCACAUUGACACUUACUUUUUCGAGUGAUUUGACAUAAACCAAGUGGAGGUCUUACUAACCGAUUAAAAAUAUAUUAUAUCUUAAAUGAAAAUCAUGUGAUAAAUAACUUCUCAUGAGUAUCUAUAUUCUCUUCUCCAAAGUCUAGCAUAUAUAAGUAGUUAUAAAUUUUAGGCCAAUUACCAUUUAAAAAAAAAAAAAAAAAACUCCCAACUCUACACUUCUGUUAAUUUCUUUUGCGGAGUAUAAAGCAUAUGAAAAAGACGCCAGUACUUAUUCUUUUGUGUACAAUCUACCCUUUGUUAGUCUGUUAGCCGGCAAAGAAAAAAAGGUCAUGGCCUUAUUGAUGCGGCAACUAAGGUGACUCAGUAUCACCAUCAAGUGUCAUUAACAAGUAAUUAAUAGAAAUUGAUUGUUAAAGAAGCUACUUAUAAAGAUUAGAGAAAAAGGCAACAGAGGAAAAAAGUGCGAGGAAAAUCGAGAGAGAGGGAGAGAUGAAAAGAUGACUGACUCAAUUAUCAUGCAAUCACAAACAGUAACGAAAGCAGAUCAAUGUAUAUUAGUUGAAGUUAACGACCAAUUUCAAAUAGUACUCAGGUCUCAGCACGACCACAUCACUACUCAAUCUCAAGCUCAAUCUUUCGGCUUCUCAGUAUUGUUCAUGAUCAAACAUGUUGGCUUCUUGAAGCUGGUAAGGUUGGGUAGCUUUUCCGAGGCAGUCAAUACGGUACAUCUCCAGUUGUUCUGGUCUGCCUUGAAUCUCAAACAACUUAGGACAACUCCACGGGAGAAGUAUAGGACGCCGUCUCUAUUGAUAGCAAAGCUGCAAGUAUUAACGAUAGUCAACAAUCUCUCGCAUCUAAAUGGCUUAGUGGUCUUUUCGAUUAAAUAAUUUCUAUCAGCUCAGUUCGAAAAAGAUUAUGCUGGUAUUUUACUAGGUACACUAUCGAGGGCAUGCAGCUGCCAUGUUGAAAGGUGAUAGGUGGUACACAUGGCGAAGUUCUUAGAUACAAUCGAGAUUGACUUUAUGGACAAAAAAAAAAAAAAGAGCUAGUGCAAAGUUUGGUUAUCGAAAUUUCCAUCACCUUGGUCCUUCAAAAGUUUGUGUUCUUUGGACUCUCUAAGCUUCUUCCUACAGGUGGGAAAUUCGAGAUGAAUCUUUAUACUCCUUCACUCUCUCUCGACCGCUACAUGACAGAAUACGAACUGUGGAAGAGAAGAAGACUUCAAAUCAUUGAUAGUCUGUAAGUGAGAAAACGGUAGGAACAAAAGAUGCACAGCAGAAGCAAUAUGAAAAACAAUCUUCGAGCCCUCGCUCUUACACAAUAUCAGAAUAACAGUAAUAAGGAGCUUGCAGUACUUAGAGCUUCUGAGAUGCCGCCCAGCCACUGAAAUAAGGCGCAACCAUCGCCUACAUCCUUCCAUCCACCAUACUAAAGUCCAAAAGAGAAAAAAUAUCUUAAAAAAUUACUCUGACAAGUCGGAUUCAACAAGAUCAGACUGCCUCUCUGCCUUCAAAGUUCUCCACCGAUCAUCACAACUCAGAGAAUCUGAUAGCUUCUCACACUUACGUAUAAGCAAAGAUUUCAGCCUCAUGUGGCUUGAUGGAUCGGGAAACUUUCUGACAGAUUUACAGGACACGAUCCAGACUGUCACCAGGGAUUCUAGCCUGCCUUUGAUCUUGACCGCUUUAGGACAGCAGUGCAGAUAAAGUUUCUGGAGCUUCUCUAAGUUGGUUAGGUCAGGCAACUUGUUCAAACAACUCCUUCAAGCUUUAACACUCUCAGGUUCCCCAAACCUUGGAGGCCUCUGAACUCACUUUAGGGCAAUGAGCAACUUCCAAAUCUGACAGCCCUUUCAAAUUUGAAAGGUCUAUUAAUGUUUCCUGCAUGAUUCUAUAUUUAAGUACAACGAAUUUGGGGAAGGCAAAAUGGGCGUCGCAGCUUCUUGCAGUGGACCAGUUCAAGUUCCUUGAGCUGUGAAAGAAGACUAAUGUCUGAAGAUGGGGAGGUGAAAUAAUGACAUUCCAACCGCCAGGACUCCAGCCUCCCUAACCUUCUGAUCCACCAAGGACUUGGAGCCCCAUUGAAUCAGAAGCAUCCUCAAAAUUGUCAAAACCUGGAUUUUCCAUAGAAUUUGAAUACCAGAUAAGUAAGUAAUUUAACAUCGAAUGACACACAUUCUUUUGUUACUUUACAUAAUCAAAACCUUGUACAAAAGAUCCACCUAUGUAUAACACUAAUCUAAAUGUCCCUAAACUCCAAACCCAACUAAUAAUGGACAAUAUUUUGGAGGGGCGGGUCUAAUCUCAGUAAAUGAAAGUUCUAGGUCCACCUCCUCACCAGUCAAUCCAAGAACACAACAGUAUAGUAACAAUUAUUGUCAAUUGGAAAACAAAUACUCACUUAAGGUAUGCAAUUCAUGCAUUAUAUACAAAUGACUAUAAUUAUUUGUGCAAUGAAUAAAAUAGAUGCACUCCAAUGCACACAACUCAAUUACUAAUCUGAUGUGCACAAUACCCAUUGCUCAUCGAUAUACACGAGUUAUUUUAUUCCCUACUUGUCACCGGUCGUAACUCAUCUCAACAAGACAACAUCACCACCAACUCAUGAGAUGAGGUCAUACUACAGUCACAUGAUGAUGGCUAUCCCAUAGUCAUUCUCAUUAACAUUCAUACCCAUUCCAUUUUCUUUCUCAAUCUUGAACCUCAAGUUCAUAAUAUCACAUAUAGGCUAUUUAAUUCGCAUCAUGUUACACAAGUCAUAUCAUUUCAUGUAUGAAUCACUAGACUUCAUAUCGUUUCAACCGUAUAGAGACCCGUCUUAAACGGUAGAAUAUUCGUUUUUUCCAAGAGUCUUAUAAACAUACUCAGGAAAAUUAAUCGUAGUGUUGUUAUAUUACUAACAACACUUGCAGAAUUUCCAUGGAGUUGGUAAUUUACUUAAUUACUAGAAUAUUGAUAAAUUCCCAAUAGUCUUGUUCAUUCACUCACGACAAUGGUAAAAUUUCAAAGGUUUUGAUAAUUUACUACUUCCUUAUAUUGAUAAAUUUCUGAUAGUAUUAGUAUUUAUUUAUUAUACAGGUAGAAUAUAAGAAGAUUUGGUCAAUUUAGUGGAAAUUUUAUAAAUUUCUGAUAAUAUUGAUAAUUUACUGCUGAUUUACGUAACAAGCAGGUAACUUGAAAUGCGGUCAUUAAUCAUUCAGAAGCCCCUGUAGAAAUCCAUUUGAAGUUAUGAAAACUAAAGGACCUUUGUGACCAUUGCACAUGAUCAUUAACUAGAGAGGGUUAUGUUCAUGCUAGACACAAUGUUUUGCCCCUACUUCUUCAUUCCCUCAAUGUGGAAAUUUUCAUGGGAAAUCCUUAACAAUUCUGUGAUUAUGGUCACUGAUGUCAGAUAGAAUUCACGACACUGAAUGCAACCAAGAACAUCAAUCUCUACAAAUGAAAUCUGGAGCAAGUCAUCUUGAAUCCUUGAUGAAUUUCUUCCAUAACGAGAUUUAAUCACUAAGUACACCAGCUAAAAUAUUAGAAGUAAGUAGGACCACAACAGACCAAGAGAAGAAGAAAGAAAAUUGCAGAACCAAUCGAUUAUAGUAAGAUUUCAUGCCUUCCAGGACAAUAUUUCGGUUUUAGCUCGACCUCGACAAGCUCAGAAGAACAACUGAUUCCCAUUUCCCCAUGUAUGGUUUGAACUAGUUCCUAAGGAGCGAAAAUCAAUCCCCUCACGGGUGCAGAACCGAACUGAGGCACAGGAGUAGAGAUGUGUUUCAAUAGAAUGCGACUUGUGGUUUAGACCAAAGCUAUUAAAGAUUAGAUGCAGUUAUGGAAGAAAAAUCAACUGAGUCAGCUCCCGAGCGAGUUCAUCGAAAGGCCGUUUUCAUUUCGUGUGUAGGACAAGUCACGACUGAAAAUAAUAAAAAAACAACUCAAUCCGCCCCAAAUCUUUUCCUAAUCUAUCACAGAUUACAUCGAAGAUUCGCACGCGGACCCAAUUCAUGAAAAUGCGAAGAGAAAAUUACCAGAAAACCAAAUAAAGAUGCGAAGAAGGAAAAAGCAAGACCUUGUUUUAAGACUCGUGGGAACAGAUCGGGGGGCAGGAAGACGGGGGUGGCAGUCCCCGGAGGGAGAUCUCCGCCUGGUCGAAUCGCGUCUCAUUCUUGCGCUCGGGGUCGCCGUCGCGUUCCUUGACAGUCGGAGUCCGUCGCUGCUGGUUCUGGGUGAGCUCCUCGCUCGGGUCGUCGCCGAUGACUGAUGAGGGAGGAAGACGAAGGAAGGAGAACGAAAGAACGUGAGAAGACAGAGAGGGGGGGCAACGGGAGAAAAAACGAAACAAAAAAAAAAAAAAAAAAGAAAGAAGAGAGAAAAAGUUGAUAUUUCUUAAAGAGUGGGUCCCACCUUUACUCGCGUCAUUUGGAGAUAAUAUUCCUCACUAAUCUGAUACGGAAUCUUCUCUCCGUGAUUUCAGUCUCUAAACCAAAAUUCUUGAAAGGCUCUCCUCACUCUUCCUCCAAAAGUUCUAGAGUGGCUCUUCUCAGUUCUUUGAAAUGUUCGUACUGAUCGGAUUCCAGAGUCUCCUCCAGAGUCUCCUCCAAUCUCUCACAUUCCUUUAUACGCACGUGCCGUAGCUUCUUUAAGUUUAAAGGACCAGAAAAUUGAUGCAGAGACCCGCAGCCUUCUAUUUCAAGCAUGCCCAAUGAUUCUAACCUACCUGGAAUCUCAACCACACGAGGGCAAUCUUUUAAAGACAACCGGAAAAGUCCUUGGCAUAGGUCAGGCAACUUCUCUAGCAACGGAAGAUUUUCUAUAUAUAAAGCUAUCAACUUCUCUGAAGCUUCCAAACCUUGAAUCUCUUCUACCUUCCAACAACUACUUAUAAUAUAUACUCGUAUAUGCUUGAAGCUCAAUGGAUCAGGCAACUGUUUGAGUGAUUGACAGUACUCUAAACAAAUAGACUCCAAUGAUUCUAGCUGACCUCGAACCUCAACCAGUUUAGGACAAUAAGAUAUCAAAAAACUACGGAGAUUCAAACCGGUCAGGUCGGGCAACUUCACCAAUGACGGAAGAUGCAAAAGAUUAAGCGAUCGCAGGCUUUUCAAAGGUUCCAGAACUUGAAUCUCUAUUAGCUGUUCACAAUAAGAGAGUUUCAAUUCUGAUAACUUCUCCCAAUAUGAAAGAUUUAUCGACUUUUCCAUUAACCCACGCCCAUCCAAAUGGAAGUAUGACAAAUUCUGAGGAAGCUUAGGUAGCCAUUCUAGGUUAUCUGCGACAAGUUUAAGCUUCCUGAGCUUUGAAAGGAGAUUAAAAUCUAAAGGUAGGGUGACCAAAUCAUCACAAUACAACCCCAAGGACUCUAGCUUUCUUAACCCUCCAAUCCAAUUGAGGCUUGGAGUUGGAUGGGAAGGGCUUUGAUGCUCUAAUUUCAAUGUCAAAACUCUCAAAUUUAUUAGGUUAGACAGAUCUGGGCAUCUCAUCUGUAGAUUAUUGGUUAGGACUAGUUCGGUCAAACUUUCAGGAAGCUUAGGUAUAUUGGAAAUUCUCGUGCCCGAUAACAUCAAGAUUCUUAGAAAUGAUAGCUUUCCGAUCUCACUUGGAAUUUCCCCCCUCAAAUAUCUACAACUGCUAGCAUGGAUCUUUUCAAUCUUCUCCAAUGAUAGUCUUCCAAUCUCACUUGGAUUUUCCCCACUCAAACAUCCAUAACUGCAGGCAUAGAACUCUUCAAGCCUCUCCAACUUCCCAAGGGCGCUAGGUAGCUUUUCUAACAUGGAGUCAAAGAUCCUUAGUAUUCUCAAGUUCUUCAUCGUCUCUAUUGAGUAUGGUAACUCUCGUAUACUUGAACAAGAAAGAUCUAACUCGACAAGAGAUCCAAAAUUUCCAAGUGGAAGUUCACUCAGCAAGCGACAUGACACUGCACUGAGAGUUUCCAAUUUCUUCAUUCCGUUCCAUUCAGGAAUUUUGAUAAUAGAUGUCCCAUCAAGAAGAAGUUCUCUCAAGUCUUCCAUUUCUUCCAUCUCGUCUGGCAAUGUCCGAAGUUUCCCACAAUAUUUCAAGUUUAAUAACACUAAAUGCUUCAACCUACCAAUAGACCUAUGGACUUCAACCAGUUCCGUGCACCCUUGAAGAAUCAGUUGCUCUAAAUUUUCAUGAGCAGAAAGGUCAGGAGUUCUAUGCAAGUUUCCACAUCCAGUCAAAUUUAGAACCUUCAAAUUCUUUGUCAUCUGUAAUGAAGAGAAGAGGUUGAUUCUGAAUACAUUUUGAGAUACUGGACAGCAAAGUCAAUAUAGCAAAUUCAUGUCGAAAUAAUACCGUACCUUGAGGUGGUUCCAUCCCUCCCACUCAUCAGUAAUUUCACUCCUUGAUAGAUCAAGAAUCAUUAGCUUCUUAAGACAAAUUGUCAUGAAUUUGAAAUAGACAGGAAAGUUAUGCCAUGAGAGCAUUAUCAAAUUAGGAAGCAUGAUCGUAUUCCUCUGGCACAAGUUGGUAGAAGGAAAAUGCUGACCGUUGCUCUCAUCCAAGUCUACACAAUCCACUUGAAGAAAUCUUAAUUUUGAUAGGCUUAUAGGUUCUUCCUUCUCAAUUAAGUCUUGAAAUUGAUGAUCAAACCUGAGACAUAUUGCUUCAACGUUUUCUCUUCCCUACCAAAAAAUAAAAAAUAAAAACAUUAAACAAAAGAUAGUGAUCCCAUAAUUGCCAGUUGAAGGCAUUCGAGUUGAAUAUACUUGAGAAUGUACUUCUUACAUAUAAUUUAAAAUUAAUUUGCAAUAUAAUUUACAGAUGAGCAUGUGAUCUUACUAAGCACACAAGUAAUGACUCGGUUAAGAUAGAAGCAAAUAAGCAAAGUCAAUGUGUAUAACUCAUCUCUUUGAAUAGGAACAACAUUGCAAAUACUUUACCUCCUUUAUUUCAAGGACAUCAAUCGAUUCCUCAUGAUCCCACACCCGACUUUGCUUCUCAAUUUUAAAAUGAGCUCUUUCACGAACGAUGUCUCGCCCAAGGUCUCUUAGUUGUUCAUGCACCCACAGUUGGUUACCUUCGACAAUCUUCAUUAACGAUUUCCGUUGGAGGACUUCCAGAGAACAUUCAGGGAAAAGUUUACGGCUGGCCCAAAUGUAAGUCACAGUUCUCACAUCAAACCCAACAAAGAAGCAACAAACAUCGAGAAAUAUUUCCUUCUCUUGAGGUUCUAAUGCCUCAAAACUGAUGUUCAGCUUACUUUUAACCUCUGUAUUGGGAAUAGUUUUCAAUUUUUCUAAUGUUUUCACCCAAAAUUUUCUGUCAUUUCCAGCUAAAAAUGAACCUAUAAUCUCUAGAGCCAAAGGAAGAUUACCGCAAAUUUCUACCGCUAUUUCCGAGAGGUAAAUAUAUUCUGUUGGGGGAUGAUCUCUUCUAAAGGCAUGUUUGCUAAACAGUAGAAGAGAAUGAUCGAAAUCCAUUUCAGUAAGUUCGUACUUAAAAUCAACAUCUUUGAGAACUUCCUCAUUUCUUGUGGUAAUAAUAACCAUACUUCCUCUGCCAUACCAGUAUUCACCUGUCCCUACGAGAGUGUUUAGUUGAGUGCUUUGGUCGACAUCAUCAAGUACAAGUAAAACCUUUUUAGAGGAUAACCUCUCCCUAAUCGCAGUAAUCCCUUCAUUAAUAGUAUUGAUGGAUGACCAUUCCAUUCUUAGGACUUUAGAGAGAAGCUGAUUCUGCAAAAUCACAAUCUUUGUCUCUCGAAUGUUAGACAGGAAGCAACAGUUAUCAAAAUCAGCCAACAGUUUAUUAUAGAUGAUAGUGGCAAGAGUUGUCUUUCCGACACCACCCAUACCAUGGAUGCCAACAAUCUUUGUUCCAGUGGGCUGUGUACCCAUCUUUUCCAUGAUUUUGUCCACAUGAUCGAAUUUUGUUCCAAUGGUCUGUGUACCUAUCUUUUCCAUGAUUUUGUCCACAUGAUCGUCCAUUUCAACCAAGUAAUCAGGUUCUGCCAAGUUUUUCUUUUUUAACUCGAUCAACAGCGUCCGAACAACUUCUUCUGUGAACUCCCCUUUGCCUCUGACAAUAUUGAAGGCAAAAGGACCAAACUGUUAAAUUGAGAUGAACAUAAUAAUACCAAGCUACAAACAAUCAUGAACAAUAAUAAUUUCAAAUACCUCUUCUUGAGUUCCCAUCCUCUUAAGUCUGCAACCUUGCUGAGAGCUGUCUUCCACUUCUCAAUAGUCUCAUUAGUGAACCGCUUCUUAUUUUUGUGUAAAGUAAUGGCCUCACCGUAACCUCCAAUUUGGUAACGAACCUCAGAUGGUGCUAUGUCAUAGAAAAUUGGCAUGAUCUUUCGUCCAAAGUUUUCCUUGCACUCCACCAUCUGGACCAACUCCAUGAGGCACCAUGGACUGGCAGCAUAUCCUUUAGAUAAGAUAGGAAUCGAGAUUUCUGACUGCUUCAUUGCUUGGACAAGCUCCGGGCCAAUCUCUUCCCCAAUGGGAAGCUCUUCAUUAUCUCUAUAUGCCCGUAUUCCGGCACGAAUGAGGCUGGUGUAAAGGUAAUCAGCAAUGUCAAGGCGAGUGUCUGGUCCUCUAAAGCUCAAGAAUACUUCAUAAUCAGAUCCCGUUGGCUUCUCCAUUUCCUGAAUUUUCAGAGGAUUUGCAAUCACCUGAUAUCCCACCAGAAAAAUGUUUACCAUGAAAGCGGAGUGAUGAUUAUCACGAUUUCUCUUAGAAACUCUUCUGUUUCAAGUAUCUCUAGGAAGAAACCAAGAUGACAAAUGCAAGAGCUUCUGUGCUUUGCACUAGACACCAAAAUAUAGUAGAGAAGUAGACCCAUCUCAAUUCUAAAGGAAGAAAUUUCCAAAGUAUUGCGGAAAUAUAAGCUAUGGUUCACACUUGAAAUUGAUUUGAAAGAAUAAUAUUUUGAGAAGAUAAAUCACUAUCAACCUAUAUUCGUCUUAAACUAUUACUUAUGUGAUAAAGUUCCUCUUAAAAGCUGACGUUGAAUGUCCUCUGCACAUCAUGCCUGCUUCUGCUUGUAGAUUGACUAAUUAUCUUAUUGUCUGAUAAGAAAUAAUGAUGAAACCUUCCUCUUUUAUUUUACCAAAAUAUAUUUGACAGACAUUCCACGACCCUCAAUUAGUGUUCUCUUGGCCUUAACGGACGCAGGUGAAGAAUCGCCCCCAAUGAAGAUCUCUAAUUGGAAAGGCGAAAUCAAGAAAUUACACCGGAGCUACUUCAACCCCCUCCGUUGGACUAGUUUCUAAAGAGCAUAAACCGAUCUCCAAUUACAGGCACAGGGUCAAAGGCGAGCAUUAGAAGCUAACGUUCGCAUUUGCCAGAAAGUAUCAGCAUAUCAGAAAAAGAGGGGUGAACUACUAACCGAUAAUGUAGUUGAUGAAAUUUCAACAGAAAAAAGAAGCAUGAAUGCUAUAAUUGUUUUUCCAGAAAAUAAGUUUGAACACGCAGGAGUGCAGGAACAAGAACUGUACUUUACGGAAGCGGGGACAUUACAGUCUAUUCAAUCUGUCUCUACUGUUGAAUACAGUGUUAAGGGUAUCAAUUUCUGCCUAGGAGCAUUCUUACUGCUAAUCACUGGACAAUAACGUAUGAAUUUGUCGUCUGGAAGUCUCUUAAAGAUACCACUGUCUCUGUUCGCACAGAAAUUAAAAGAACAAAAAAGUCCCAUCAAACAAAUGAAAUCAACAGAUCCACUCAAACUAAUUUAGCCUUGAGCGCCAGCAAUCCACGCGAAAACUCAGAGAGAGAGAGAGAGAGAGAGAGAGAGAGAGAGUACGCGGGUGGCGAGCGCGUAAGACUGAGCGUUGUCGAUGAUGGAACCGGACUUGCCUCCUCCUUCGCCGCCGCCGCCGCCGCCGACGAGCUCACUCCGAGGCUCGACACCGCUCGCCUCCGCUUCACCUUCGUGCUGUGUCUUCUUCUUCGCCAUUCCCGCUCUCUGAUAUCAGAAAGUUCCGAUUUUUCGACACGGUACGAGGUCGAGUGGUCAAGGGUUCAGGCGUCGAUCUUGGCGGUGGUAUUGCGUUUCAGGAUCUGAGGCCUGACAGUUGCAUAGAUGGAAGUGGAUGAGCACUGAGCAGGGUUUUAGCAUGCGACUCAAGUUAGAGGCUAAAGCUAUUAGUGUUAGACGCAACUAGCAGUGAUCAAUCAUAUGAAGUCAACUGAGGAAGGAAUUUGAUGCUGAUCUGAGAGUCCCUCUAUUGUUUCCCUCAAAUUCUGCAUCUAGUUGCAUUACAGAACAGACCCGAUUCAAUAAAAAGAAGGCAAUAAACGAGAGGAAAUUACCGGAGAUGGAGGGGGUGAAGAUGAAGAGUCCAGAUCAAAUGCUGAGAAGCAGAUGAAGAUCCCAAGAAUAAACAAACGCUCUUGGCUUUUGAGUUCAGCUCAAGAGAGGCGAGACUUCUAUGAGACGGUGAAUUCACCCUCCCUCGCCGUGCCCCCUUCUAGGAAAGUGAGGGCUUGCUAGUUGCAGGGAAAACUUCAGGCCGACCGAGAAAAAGUGAAUACGCGUUUUGCUCUCGACUUUUGAGCAAACGAGGUGAGUUACUGGGAAAUUUCUCGAAGUCCGGAGACUUUUUGGCACGAUGGGCGAGAGUACAAGAGCGUUUUCGUUGCAUGUUAUUAGUUUAAAAAUCAUACAAUUUAUAUUAAUUGAUAUUCUUUUAACGACGAUGAAGGUGAAUCCUAGGCCCGUUCAAAUUUUACAUAUAUUAAAUCAAAAAAUGUAGAGUUCAUGUAUUUUAAGUAUGUCAGAAGUACACAUAAUGAGUUUGAAAAAUAAAAAGAAAUCAGAAAAAAUAGCGUCGCAAAUGUUAUAACUUCCUCAUAAUACUUAACUAAAUACUAUAACUUGUUUGAGAUUAAGUAAUAUAAUUUUCGUUUGAUGCUCACUUAAAUACAAUUUUUUUUUUUAUCACUAGUGCCAUGACUUGUCAAAAUUGUUCACCCAAGAAUGAAUGUUCCCGUGAGGACCGCUGGCCUACCUCUGUCCUUCUAGGUUCUCCACUUUUGACGCUUCCUCUUUUCUCCAAAUUUUUACUUUAUUUUUUUUAAUUUUUUCUUAAAAUCUGCUGACACGGCAGCUAUAUCAAUGCCUCCAUCUUCAAGGAAAAAAAGUCAUGAUCAUUUUUCCGAUUAACCAAAUUUGAUGGAAUUAAUAGCAGGAUUUGAUCGCACUAAUUUAAUAAAUUUUAAAAUUUUCAAAAAAUGCAAUCAAAUUUUAAAAUUUGAAGGCACUUUCCCAACAUAUUUUAAGAUUUAUGGAGCAUUUAUUCCCUCUUAUGAGAUAAUAAUACAAAUAAUAUUUAAACUUUGGCUUAAUAUGUAAUGUUAUUCUUAAUUUUUUAAUUUGUUCAAUGUGAUAUCUAAAAUAUUGAUAACUGUUCAAUUUAGUCUUUAGAUUAAAUGCAUUAUUUCCAUAUAGUUUAACGACUAGAUUGGAUAUCUGUUAAUAGUUCAUGGAUCACAUAAAAUAAAUUCCAAAUUCAGAGACAACGUUUGAUAUUGGACAAAAUAUAAAGAUUAUUUAUGUCAUUUUUUUCAUUUUUUAAAUCUAAAAAUUUAGAAACUUAAGGAUCGACAAAUAAUUCACAUAUAAUUUUUUUUGAUAAUUUUAUGAGAUUUGAACAAUAAUUUAAAUUUUGACAAAAAGGUAAAAGAACUAUUAUUUAAGUCCAAGCAAAGAGGCACUAGAUCAAUUAAAUUUCGCCAUUUCUUUACGGUGUCCCUUCGUGUGGGCACCAUUUUCAUGGGAGAGACGACUGGUGCGUUGACGCCAAGGAAAGUGAGGACCUGUUGGUUGCAGGGAAACUUCAAGCCGACCAUGAAAAAGGGAAUACGUGUUUUGCUUUCGACUUUUGGGGAAAUUGAGUUGAGUUUCUGGGAAAUUUCUCGAAGUCCAAAGAUUCUUUGGCGCGAAAGGCGGGAGUACAAGAGAUUUUCCCGGGUGUUAUUUGAUUAGAAAUCAUUCAAUUUAUGCUAAUUGAUAUUCUUUUAAUGACAAUAAAACCCUAAUUUUGUAGGUGAAACCCAGGCCCAUUCAAAAUUUUUUUUUUUUGGUAAAGGUAAGUAGCAGGCCCAUUCAAAUUUUAUGUACACCAAACCCAAAAAUGUAGAAUUCAUAUAUUUUAAUUAAGGAAAAAGGCCACAAUAAACCCCAAACUUUAAUAACCGCGACACGUUUAUUUCACCAAUGACAUUUUUUUCUUAUUUUUUCCGUUCUUCCUUUUUCUUUUUCUUUUUCUUUUCCUUUUUUUCUUUUUCUCUCUUCCCGCCGCCAUGGCCAGGAGGGAAGAGAGAAGAAGAAGAAAAAAAAGAAAUUUUUUUUUUAAAAGUAAAAGAUGAAAAUACCCUAUAGUUCAGAGUAAAUGUGUCACAUGAAUACAAGUUCAGGGAUUUUUGUGUCACAAAAAAGUUUAGGGUAAAUGUGUCAUGGUUAACAAAGUUUAGAAUUUUUUAUGUUAUAAAAAAAAAUUGUAAAUUUGUCACUUUGGGCAAAAUUUAGAGUUUUUGGUGGUUUUUGAGUUCGUAUGACAAAAAAGUUAGAAAAAAUAACACCAUAAAUGCCAUAACUUGCGUACAAUACUCACUUAAACACUAUAACUAUUUUUUUUUUUUUUUGUGGAUUGAGUGAUAUAACUUUUGUUGGGCACUCACUUAAAUGUUGUAACCUUUUUCUUUCAAUCACUUGUGCCAUAACUUUUUAAAAUCAUUCACCCAAGUGUUAAAAAUUCAACAUGAUAUAAUAUUCUUGAUGACCGUUUUUAAAAGUCAUAGCAGUUAAGUAAAGUUAUGACACUCAAGUGAAUUCAUUUUAAAAGUUACAGCACAUAAAUAAUCGGGAAAAAAAAUUAUGGCAGUCAAGUAAAUGUCGUACGAAAGUUAUGACAUAUGGGGUAUUUUAUUUGUCAAAAGUUGCAUUUAGUCAUAUGAGGCGGUUUCCACCGCGGUUUCUCUCCCCCUCGCAUGUGAUUCCGAGGGUCAGCUUCCACCGCGCGUGAUGGUGGCUGUAGUGUCAACACCGAUGAACACUAAUAAGGCGGCGGUAGCAAGGGUGGCAAGGGUGACGAGUCGAGGAGGAGGAGGCGGUGCAAGUCGCGUGAGGCUUGCAAGGCCGCCGCUCUAGCGAGGGCUCGCCUCGUGCCUCGACAACAAGGCGAGCCUUCGCCAGAUCCGGCGGGGGCUCGCCCUGCCGUCACUGGGCACGUGCCAACUAGCAAGGUGAGCCCUCACCAAACUCGGCGAUGGCGAGGCCCCCCUCGCCGGAUUUGGCGAGGGCUCGGCCCGCCAACCGCCUCAGUCCGGCAAUCAGCUAGCCCUCUCCUCUGGCCGAUCGCCGGAGCUAAGGGAAGAAGGAGGAGAGGAGGAGGAAGGAGGGAGAGGGAAAAAAAAUAAUAAAAAAUUUCAAAAAAUAAAAUAUUAUUAAAAAAAUGUUGUCGGCACCAACCGGCCAUUUUUAGCCGGAUGGACCGAUCGGGAAGAAUUGUAAAAGUUUUAGGACUCAAUUGAUCAAAAAAAUAAGUUUAUGACUGAAUUGUCACAAUUGCAAUAUGUUUAAGACUGUUUUGGUAAUUUUCCCAUAAAUAAAGCUCCAAAAAUAUUUGCACUACUAGUGAAAGCUUACCAACUAUAUAUGGUUUGAACAGAACUUCCAAGAUUGGGGACAUCAAUAUGUGCAACCAUAGUAGUGUGUUUGGUCAACAUUUAGCAAGUUGGGUAGCCACCUGACCGUUGUGUAGUUGGAAUAUUUGGGGUGAAAUGGUAAUGUCCAUAUCACCACUAGAAGGCAAGGCAUCCAGAAACUUAUUUUUUACCAAGGAAAGUUUUAAGAGAAAAUCAAUUAUCCUAUAGUCCAAAAAUUGGAAAUUACGAAAUUAUAAGUAAAUCAUUAACUACAAAAUGCAACUUAAUUUACAUUUAUAAAUUAUUUAUGAUUAAACAUAAAUUAAUAAAUAUGUUGAUAUGCAUCGAUGAUGAUUGAUCAACAAAAAGAAUUAUUACAUUGUUUUUAAAUAGUGACGGGUAAAUUAAUUUAAAUAACUAUCAUGAUAAUGUACUAUGGAUAUCUAAAUCUAAAGGAAAUGCAAUCAUACUGUAAAAUCUAUGUUAAAUAUUGUUAUUUUUAUUGCAUUUUAUUCUCAAAUUGGUUUCGUGCCAUUUUUCAUUUGUGUUUAUUUUAAGAGAGGCGCUCAUGCGGUUGCUAAUGCCAAAUGUUCAAUUUUCUAAUCAAGAUAUGAAAAAUUGUUUGAAAAUUUUGGAGAAAUAAAGAUCUUGAAAAAAGGAUAGAAAAAUCAAACGAGAAAUCAUCCUAAAGAGGUGCAAAAGUCUCCAUCAAGUACCUUGGAACAUCAUUUAUUUAAAAAGAAAAUUGAAAAGAAAAAAAAGCUCCAAACAGUGUUCAUGACGGUGGAGAUUGCAUUUGUUGUUGCAGGAAUUCAUCCUACCAUAAUCAAAUUUAAUUCGUGAAAUUUAAUCUGCUUUUGGUUUCGUGUGAAAUUUAUUUGCCCACGUCAUUGAUGGAGCUCUUGAAGAAGCAUGGGAAGGUGGUAGAGAGGGCCAAGUUGGCUUUGCUGGAGUCCGACGAGGAACGUUGGCCAACCACCGUCCUUCUUGGUUCUCCACUGUUUGACUCUUUCACUUUUUUCCAAAUAUUUUUUUCAGGAUUUUAUUUCUAGAAAUCUUGGAAUCAAUUUUUUUCCCUUUUUCUUUUUCUUAAAUUUUGCUGACAUGGCAGCCAUUUCAAUGCCUCUAUCUUCAGGAAAAAAAAAAAGUCAUGUUAUUUUCUCCCAUUUACUGAAUUGAAAGGAGUUAAUAGCGAGAUUUGAUUAUACAAAUUUAAUAAGUUUUAAUAUUUAAUUACACUUUUUCAAAUUUAUAAAAUAUGAUUCCACCUUUAUAACGUACUUUAAGACUUAUGUUUAUCCUCCCUUAAAGAUAAUAAUACAAAUGAUCAUUGAACUUGACUUAAUGUGUAAUAUUAUUCCUAAAUUUUUAAUUUGUUCGAUGUGAUCUCACAAUUAUUUAUAGAUGUUCAAUUUAAUCUUUAGACUAAAUUUGCCAUUUCCAUAUAAUUUAAAAAUUAGAUUGAACAUUAUUAAUAGUUCAUGACCGCAUUGUAGAAAUUAAAGCUUAAAAACAAUAUAACAUAUUUGGACAAAGUUCAUCAAAUUAAACGAAUUAAAAAUUUGGGGCUUAUUUAUGUCAUUUUUUUCAUUUUUUAAAAUCUAAAACUCUAGAAACUUAAGCACAACACAUAGAUUCACAUAUAAUCUUUUGAUAAUUUUUUGAAAUUUGAACAAUAAUAUAAAUUUUAACAAAAAAGUAAAAAAAAAAUUACUUUUUACUUUUAAAAAAAAAAACUCCAGACAAGCAUUAAAUCAAUUACUUUUCGCCAUUUCUUUACAAUGUACCUUCGCGUGCCGGAUGUUAAGAGUGAUAAGAUGCAGAGGACACCUUUUUCAUGGGAGAGACGACUGAUGCAUUGCCAUGUUCUUCAGCGAUAUCGUCCCAUCCAUCCAUCACUAUGUCUCUUUCAUCGCACGAUGCGUCGCCAAGAAACACCUGAAGCUCGGCAUGACCGUCCACUCCCACCUCAUCAAGACCGCACUCGCCAGCGACUCUUUCCUCGUCAACCAUCUCAUUGGCAUGUACUCCAGAUGCUCUUCCAUCCGAACCGCCCACAAGGCUUUUGAUGAUCUCGAUACAAAGAACAGUCACUCUUGGAACACCAUCAUAUCUAUAUAUGCUCGGAUAGGCGAUUUCAAGAAGGCCCUCGUCUUGUUCGAUGAAAUGCCGCAGAGGGCUCUUGUCUCUUAUAAUUCCUUGAUUUCUGGGUUGUCCCGUCAUGGGUUUUAUGUGGAGUCUCUGAGUAUCUUCACGCAGAUGUCAAAAGAAUAUGAUUGUCUAUUCGUGGAUGAAUUUACUAUUGUGGGUGUUGUGGGUACCUGUGCUGACCCGGCGCAUUUGAGUUCUUACGCCAGGUUCAUGGAGUUGCCAUCAUAAUGGGCUUGGAAUUUACUAAGAUUACUUAUAAUUCCCUGAUUGAUGCUUGUGGGAAAUGUGGUGGAGCCGAUAUAUGCUGGGCCUUGUUCGACGUUAUGCCUUAAAAGGAUAUUGUGUCGCGGACUUCCAUAGUUGUUGCUUGUACAAGAGCUCAUAACAUAAAUGAUGCUUGUGUAAUAUUCAACAAUAUGCCAGCGAAGAACAGAGUCUCCUGGACUACACUGGUCGCAGGCUUUGCAACAGAACUUGGACUUCAAUAUCUGCAACCAAAAUUGUAAGUUAGGUUAGCACUUAGCAGGUGCGGCGGUCAUCUAUCCAACCUUUAUCUAGUUGGACCACUUGGGGUGAAGUGGGGGUAUCUCUAUUAACCCUAGAAGGAAUCCUGAAAUUUUUGUUUUGCCUAAGAAAAUUUGAAGAAAAAUUUAAUCAUCCUAUUAUUUAAGAUUUGAAUAGUCCAAUCAUUGGAAAUUACGAUUGGUUAUAAAUAUUAUAAAAUGAUAAGUAGAUGACGAAGCACAAAAUAUAAGUCAACUUAAUUAUAUUCAUAAAUUAGCUAUGAAUAAAAAUAAAUAAAUAACAGAUUGGUAUAUUGAUGCUAAUUAUUCAUAUAAAAAUUGUGCCAUUACGAUUUUUUUUUAAAACAAUGACAAAUUAAAUGAGAUUUCUAGUAACGCAAUAUUGUACUAUAGGCUAACUUUAAUUUAUAGUAAACACAAUAAUAUGGUAAAAUCUACUUUAAAAUCAUAAUGCACGUGAUAAAUUACUGAUAGUGUUGGUAACUUACAACAAUAGUUAAAGUUCAUUAAAAUGUUGGUAAAUUUCUGAUGGUGUUAGCAAUUUACUUACAAUACUGUUAAAAUUUCAGAAGAAUUUGCAAUUUACUAAAUUAAUGAAAAACUGAUAAAUUUCAGAUAGUAUAGGUAUUUUACUACGAGUGUACCUAACAAGCAAGAACAGGUCUUUUUUUUUUUUUUUUUUUACCAGCACGAUUGCCAGCAAAAUUGCAAUAUUACCAACAGGGAAGACUUUUCAAUUCUCAAGUCCUGCGGGACCGUAGACUUUCGCCAAAGAUUCAUACAUCUCCGUCCCUGCGACAAAAACUUAAAAGCCCACUAAAAUUUCAAAUGGUGAAAUUUGAAACGCAGUCAUGAAUUCACUCUAAAGCACAUGUAAAAAUCCAUUUUGAGUUAUCAAAACUAAAGAAGCUUUGUGAUCAUUGCACAUGAUCAUUAACGGGAUGAUUAGCCCCUACUUCUUCAUUUCUUCAGUGUGGAAAUUUUGUGAGAAAUCAACAACAAUUCUGUGAAUAUGGAUAUAGUUGCUAAUGUCUACUUAAAUUCGUGACACUGAAUGCAAGACAUUCUCAGGGUAUUGUCUCAAGAACAUCAAUCUCUGUGAAUGAAUUCUGGAUCAAGUCAUCUUCAAUCCUUGAUCAAUUUCACCGAAAGCCAAAAAUUGCCCUUCAUAUCAAAUGAGGCGACAAUGCCGGAAGAGUGCUACUACCAAGGACGGAUAGAGCUGUCGCUUUUCAAAGAAAUUAUUACAAACGAGGGAAAUUUCAAAUCACCUACUCGUAGAAGAAUCCAUUUUGAAAUCAUCUCUCGACUCUAAAUACGUUUCUAACGAUUUUCUCUAAGUUGCCUCUAAUUGAAGAUAAUUUUUUUAAGUUCAAAUCUGACAGGAAGUUUUUCUGCUUGUCGUAGAAAUAUAUUGAUAUUCACAUCACUUAGUCAUACAAGAACUUUACAUUACAAUCAUGGGAUGUCUUCUCAAAUAGGUUGACAAAGUGAAUGUUGCUCAUUCAUAUGAAAAGUUGAGGGUAGGUAGUUGAUACAAUCCGACGACGAGGAACGGAGGUAGGUCGAUACAAUCUCCCUCCCUCCCCCCUGACGUAGGUAUCCAAAGUGAGCUGACAAUCAGAAAAGAACAGGCGAAACAAAGAGAGAUGACCAACAUCACGCCCUCGUGGAACAGAGCAAAGCGCAGGAAGACGUGGUCACAGACUCACAGUCCCAGAGAGAGAUCCCCGCCAGGUUGAUUUGCACAUCGUGCUUCCACUCGGGGUCGCCAUCGCAUUCCUUGACGGACAGAGUCCCUUGCUGCUGGUUCUGGGCGAGCUUCUUGCUCGGGGGUCGUCGCUGACGAUGGAGGAAGAAGGGAAAAAAAAAUGGAGUGAGAAGAGAGACGCAGCUGGAAGAGAGAAGAAAAAGGAGAAGAAAGUCGAAAUUUCUCAAGAGGGGGUCCCAUUUGUACACGUGGCCAUCGAUUUACGGUCUCAAGUAUACUCUAUACAUGGCACAACGUAUUACCCUCCCAAGUUCUUUUGUCGGCCUUGCCAAUUUUUUCAGAUUUGUGCACUCAUCGGAUUCCAAAGUCUGCUCAAACUUCUCAGAUUCACCUAUAUAAAAACUUGCCAGAUUCUUGAAGCUUGAAGGAUCAGUUAACUUUUGCAGAGACCUGCAGUGAUAAAUAGAAAGCCUCUCCAAUGAUUCUAGCCUACCUCAAAUCUCAACCAGAUCAGGGCAACUUACUACAUUAAGUGGCUCAAGCUUCUUGCAAUUGGUCUGACGGAAGAUUCCUAAGAUUUAAGUACUUCAGGUGCCCCGAAUCUUCUAGGCCUUGAAUUUCUUUUAGCUUCCAACAGCCAGAUGUAAGGACUUGUUCUAUAUUUUUGAAGCUUAAUGUACUAGGCAACUUUUCAAGAGAUUCACAGGACAUAAUAUAAAGUAUCUCUAACGAUUCUAGCUGACCUCAAACCUCAACUAGUUUAGGACAAUUUAAUAUCCACUUUCCUUUUAUUGAUGACCAUGGCGAGGGCAAGACUCAUGCUCUGAAAGCCUUAUGAUCCAUCUCUUUGUUCUGUUAGUAUUUUGUCUACAUAUUUAUAUGUCAAUGAACUGAACUUUGGGUUUCUGUUUGUCCAUCUACUUGCGCAAGUGGUAAUAUACUUAAAUACAUUACCAGAUUUCUUCCAACCCUCUUCCUGUUUGCUUUGCAUGAAGCCGUCCUCUAGAAAUCUUACUUUUCUAAGCUCUGCGAGCCCUAUAUAAUCCAUUACACAGCUAAUCUUUUGAUUAUACCCUAUCCUGAAUUUGAUCAUUUCUUAUGUCAGGAAGAAUGAAUCAGGCUCUCUCAUGUUUUUAUGCCUUUGCUCGAUCUUGGUAUUCACAGUCCAUGCUAAUCGUUGGGUUUAAUGAGCACUUUCCUUGACUCCUCGUUAGUGGUAAGUGAUUUUGCAACAAUAUCUCUAUCAGCGUAAUGAGAAUUGUCAUUCUCACGCUCUGAAUUGAAUUUGCUACAAAACCUAUCCUUUGCUGUUGUCGCCAAGCCCGUCAUACUGAUGCACUGUGUCUAUUUACUUUCAGAUAACAUCGCAUCGAUGUGGAAAAGAAAUUCUGAGUCGAACACUUUUCCACUCGCUUUAUCUCUGGAAUGUCGACCCAUCAUGAUGUAUUAGUAAUUAGAAGCAAGCCAGUCUUGCUAAGGAGUGAAAAUUUUUUUUUUUUUUUGGUAGUUUUUUUUUUUUUUUUUAUAUAAGUUUCUUUGUACUACAGAACUAAUUCUGCGAUGGUAUUCAUGUCGAGAGAGCGGCAAGAAAAGAGAUUCCGGCAUAUUGCAUAUAAUUUCUUUGAACGCAACAUGUUGGAAACCGCCUCUAUUUUCAUUUUCCUGUAUCGUGCAUAUUAAAAGAAAAACAAGAGAACAGAACCAACUUGACCUGGUUAGUCAUUUGAUGAUUUGGUUCUGUAUUUUUGGCAGGGUUCACAAUUCAAUCGAUCCUAUUUAUUUAAGAUGAGUUGGUUUGUGAAAAGAAAUUUAUGUAAAAAGCGGAAACUUCUAAUUUGACUUCAUCUAGAGAUCGUCAGUUUUCUUGCCGGCUUGUUGGUCAUUCCUAGGAUCUUAUACUUUCACUUGCUUUCCUCACUUCUUGAAUCAAAAUUCCCUUGCGUGUACAUUCAAAACAACAGGCUUUGAUAAUUUGUCGACAUUUCCUAGUACUGACACACAAAAGUCAUCUCCAUGUGUGAUUUGCACCAAGAUUUGCAGUUUCACAUCUCAAAGGGGAGGAUGUUUGCUUGACCUCGGCACAAAUGUCUUUCGGGAUGUCUCAGAUGCCGGUCUCUUGAGCUGGUGAAUCCUUCUCCUGUUCUUCUGUUCCUUUCAGCUGGUGAAAUCUUCUACCCUGCUCUUCCUCCAGGAAGGCGUAGCGGUCGAUUGAUCUGUUUGUGGAGAUAAAAUUUCUCCUCUCUCUGAACCUUCAAUCUCCUCUGCAUUAAUUUGUAUAACACCGACCACUCCAGUUAGUUAUGGUACGCUCUGCCCUCAUGCAGAUCUCCUACUUCUUAUGUCCAAAUAGACUUGUCUUUGAAUCGUGUCAGCUACAACCCAUCAGUGCCAGUGAAACUCGGCCAAACAACAGUGUGCAUUAGACAGAGAAAAGAGAGCUCUUUCUGCUCACACACAUUUUAUCAAAUGUUACCAUGGUAUGAACGAUGAAGAGAAAUCGAAGGAUGAUGACUCUCCAUGAACUAACAAACGGCGGCAUCAACUGGCAUUUCCAUCUCAUAAGACUUGAAGUCUGAUUCACUCAGUUCCUCAUAAUAAGACAUUAAGUCCGAUUCACUCAGCUCCUCAUAGGCCUUGUAAUCAUCCGUAAUGGCGAUGUACCCAUCUCGCUUCAUCUGUCCUAAGAGAGACCUUAACAAAAAAUAAAUAUCACCCUUAUGAGGGUACCUCUUGUCCUUGACAAUGAAGACAAGAACUUGACCCUGAAUUUCUAUCCAUCUACAACCAGGCUGCUUGACUACUCCCCGUUGCCUCAUCAGCUUCCUUAUUCUGAGUUCUGACAACUUCGCCCCAUUUUUUGCGUUCUGCAUACAUGUUCAAAAGCAGAACGUAAGGUCCGGAGUUCGAAGGGUCGAUCUCUAAUAGCUUCUCUGCUACGUACUUUCCUAAUGUUAUACCUUAUGAACUUUGCAGGCUGCAAGCAGCGAACCCCAAACGACAAUCAGGUUGCAUGGGCAUUGUCUCUAUUAAGUCCUUAGCUUCACUGAGACAACCGGCUCGGCCAAGUAAAUCAACCAUGCACGUAUAAUGGUCCUUUACCACUGCCAGAUCAUACUCCUCAACCAUCUGCUUGAAAUAAUGGCGCCCCUCUUCGACCAGCCCUGCAUGGCUGCAAGCACAUAGAACCCCGAUCAUAGUGACACGGUCUGGUCUCUCGCCAGAUACCAACAUUUUCCUGAAUAUUUCAAGCGCCUCUAUUCCAUAACCGUUCUGUGCAUAUCCAACAAUUAUGGCAUUCCAUGACACCUUGUUCCUCUCCAACAUAUUCUUAAACACCCAUAAACCAUCUUCCACAGCUCCACAUUUAACGUACAUGUCUAUAAGAGAAUUUCCAAAAAAAAUAUCUGAUUCUUCUCCAGACUGGAAGCGGAAUCCAUGCUUCAGGACAUGAGCGUGAGCCUGCUGGCCCAACUGCAAAUCGGCAAGAUUCGCACACACAUUAAGCAAAUUUCCGAAUGUGUAGUGCAUCGGCUCAAUGGCUUCCCUCUUCAAAAGGUGAACCAAAUGCUUCUUCAUUCUGUCCAUUCUGUGUAUACUCUGCAAUGAGAGCAUUCCAAGAAACUACAUUCUUCUCCACCAUCCUCAUGAACAUUACUCUUGCAGUUUUGAGACUGGCUGCUUUUGCAUACCCGCUCACCAUGGAGGUGGCUGACACUAUAUUUCUGGUAGGCAUUCUAUCAAAAACUGCUCUGGCCUCACUAAUUCUGGAGCACUUAGAGUACAUAUCAACCAAUGCAUUUCCUAAAACAACAUCAUUCCUAAAUUUGUCACAUUUUACAAUAUGGGCAUGAAUUUGCAUCCCUUCCUUAAGUGCUGACAAGCUAGCGCAGGCGCUGACCACACUGGCUAAAGUAACCUCAUCUAUUUCAAACCCACAAUCUAUCAUGCUCACGAAAACCUCAAGAGCUUCACUGGCUGGACCAUUUUGUUCAUAACACGUAAUCAAGCUGUUUCAAGAAACGAUAUUUCGAGAAUUCAUUUCAUCAAAAGCCCUCUGUGCACAAGCCACGUUCCCACACUUGGAGUACAUGUCGAUAAGAGCAGAGCCCAUAUGAACAUCAGAUGAGCACUUGGACUUCAAUAUCAAAGCCUGAAUCUGUUGGCCCAGAUACAUAUCUGCUAACCCGGCACAUGCGCUAAAUGCACUACCAAAUGAGUACUCAUUAAGCACAUAAUUCUCCCUAUGCAUCUUACCAAAACGUUGCAGGGCUUCUUUGAAUCUUUUGUGCUGCGCAUAACCUGAGAGCAUCGAAUUCCACAAGCACUGGUCGGGUUCCGGCAUUGACCUGAAUAUCUUUUCCGCUUCAUCAAGAGACCCCGAUCUGAUCAACCCGCCUAAGAUCGCGUUCCACGUGAAGGUAUUCUUCUCGGGCAUUCUAUCAAACACCCUGCGGGCGUCGUCAGGGCACCCGCAUCUCGCGUAGACGUCGAUGAGCCGGUUCUGGAUAAAAACCUCGGCGGAGAACGGGGUCUUGAUGAUCCGAGCGUGGACGCGGCGUGGGUGGCGGGCUGACUUGGACAGGCCGCAGCCGUCCAGGAGCUUGGCGAAGGAGAGGUCGCCCGCCAGAGCCUUGACCCGCGCAUGCCUCGCCAUUCCAUCAUAUCAUCGUACGAAGCGAACUCUGUCGGAGAAGAUUCGCAUAGAUGCAAAUUGAGUGCGAUGGAGAGUUUCUGUUGACCGUUACAUGCUUCCCCACUUCAGCCAGACGGACGGGAAUAUGUCGAGAGCGCUUAUAUGAAGAGCGAUGGCAAAGUCGCAGUGGCAAAAUGGUAAUUUCGGCAUGACAAUAUAUUAAUUAGACUCGUGACCAUGAAUUAUAUUGUUGGUUAUGAGUAAAUCUAAGCUACAAAUUAAAAUGUGUCAUAGAUUUAAUAUCUUGUUGUAAGUCACUAAAUAAAAAUAUUUCAUAUUUAUAAUCUAUACAACUUAUUGCUUUAUCAAUUAUUAUUAUAAGUUUAAUAUAUGACAGAUCAAUUUUAUAACCGAGUUAUUUACAAAUCAAACAUAAAUUCUUGUCUAGUAAUUUUGAUUAUUUUAAGUAAUUCAUCAUUAAAAAAAUGCAAAAAGCAAUUCUAGAGAAUGAAAAUUGGAUCUAUGUCGGAUUACAUGGGAUAGCUUUUCAAUGGCCCCCCUCCCAUGAGGAAUAGCUAACCUUGAUUUUAAGAGUAUAGCAACUUCUCUGAAGUAACUAAUCUUGAUUUACUUCUUAGCCAACUAAGGACUAAGUGUCUCAUCAUGAAUAGGCCAGGAAUAGAUAGUUACUGUGUCGUUCUUGGAUUAAUCCAAAGUACUACUCACUUUGGUCCGUCCCAUUUUGAGUCUCAUGGUUUUGUCCUUCAAGCAUAUGGGCAAACACUUUUUCAAUAGACUAUUGUGACAUUUUUGGAUUAAUUCACUUGAAAUAUUAUCCGCUUUUACUCAUUUCAUUCCGAGUCUCACGAUUUUGUCUUUGGGCAUAUAGGUAGACACUUUCUGAAAAGGUAACCCAUGUUAAUAAUAUUCUAGUCUAAUCACACUCAACUUUGGAGUGGAAUUACAGAUAGGUGAAGUGCCUACCCAUAAGCAGGAGAUCGUCCUGUUUUGGUAAGAAAAAUCAAUUAACCUUCUAAAGUGUGCGUUCAUGUGAGCCCUUGCGAGUAGGGGUGAGCAUGGUCCGGGUUGGUCCGGGCCACCCCCUAAGCCUAGGACCAACGCGUACAGUGUCGGUCCUCAAUUUUUAGGACCGAGGACCGACCCUAUUAAGCUUGGGACCAAGGACCGGACCGACCCAAUGGGUUCGGUCCGGUUCCAGGGUCAACCCGGGACCGAUCAAUGAUUUUUUUCGUCUUAUUUUUUGUACUCCAUAAAAAAGCAAACCUACAAAUUCAAAUUACACAUCUAUCGACAAUGCAACAUUGUGCAACUAAACUAUAAUUAUCAAUAUAUAUUUAGCAAAUUUAAGAUGACACAAUAAUAAAAAUUUCGUACAUGCUAACCGCUCAUGGAGAUAUGGGACAAGAUGGAAAGUUUUUGUAAUCAUCACUUAAUUAGCAAAUCACCGUAGAAUUGCAAUACUACUCUACUCUUCAAAAACUUCUACUAUUUGACACAAAUUGAAAAGCAAAGUGCAGCUGAAAUUUAUUAGUAGAAUACAAUUAAAUUAUAAAGAGUUCAAAAUACUUAAUAUAAACCAUAAAUAUAUAACUUCACAUAUUGUUAAUUCACCUUAAUUUCUAAAAACCUGAAAACAAAACAAACGACACAUAAUUAAUACUCAACAAAAGUUUUAAAUUUAAAUUACUAUUAGUGCUAUUGAUAGAAUAUCUCAAUAUAAUAUAAUAUAACAAACAUUUUACUUAGGUUUGAAUAUAUAAAAGAAUUAUAAAUAAUAUAAUAUAAUAUACAGGGUUGGUCCAGGGUUGGACCAACCCAAAACUCUUAGGACCGAGGACCAACCCACACAGUGUUGGUUCUGGAAUUUCAGGACCAAGGACCGACCCAGUCCCCUUGGGAACCGGACCAGGACCGGCAGGGUUGGGCCGGUCCAGGGUCGGUCCAGGGUUAACCCUAAACCACUGCUCACCCCUACUUGCGAGGGAGAGCUUCGUGAUAAGAAAUGAAGCCCAUCUGAAUCCACAUCCAAUUUUUCAAGGCUUUGCAACUCUUUCGGCUUUAUGCGACCAAGAACCGUCAUAGCUGAGAGUUGUCUCAGGUUUUAGAAAGGUCUAUUGAUGUUCUUAUUUCCUAGCGAAGUAUGAUAUGUAAGACGGACAAAACUCCUGGGAAGUCUAGGCAAGAACCUGAGGUUCUUAAAAAUCGAGAACAAGUUUCCUGAGCUUGCAACUCCAAGGACUUCAGAUGGUGUAACCUGUCAAUCCACCGAGGAUCAUGGAGCUUCCUCACGCCCGUAACUGUCAUAAGAAUACCUCGACACAUACAAACGCAAGCUUCUCGGAUUUAAUUGGUAUGGGAGAUCUGGAAAUCUGUACAUUGAGAAAAUUACAAGCACAGAUUAAUUCCAAGCCCACAACACCGUAGAAUUUUGCCCUAAAGAUUCAUACAUUCUCUACUUCUGCAACAAGAACUUAAAUCCCAAUUGAUAAUUUCAAUUGUUCAAACAUGAAACACAGUCAUUAAUCAUUCAGAAGCCCCUGUAGAAAUUUGUUCUAAGUCAUCAAAACUAAAGGACCUUUGUGACCAUUGCACAUGAUGACUUAUCAAAACCAAAGGACCUUUGUGACCAUUGCACAUGACCAUUAAAUAGUGAGGGUUAUGUUCAUGCUAGACAAGAUGUUUUGCCCCUACUUCUUCAUUUUCUCAAUGUGGAGAUUUUCAUGGGAAAUCCGCAACAAUUCUGUGAAUAUGGUCACUGAUGUCUAAUGGAAGUCACGACACUGAAUGCAACACAUUGAACAUUAAUCUCUGCGAAUAAAUUCUUAAGCAAGUCAUCUUGAAUCCUUGAUGAAUUUCUCCCAUGAUGAGAUUAAUUACUAAUUGCAACCGCUAAAAUUUUUAGAAGUAGGACCAUAACAGACCCAAAAAGGAAGAAAAAUUCCAGAACCAAUCGAUUAUAGUAAGUUUUCAUGCCUUCUAGGACAAUGAUUCGGUUUUAGCUAGACUUAACAAGCUCAGAAGAAGAACUGCUUCCCAUGUAUGUUUUGAACUACUUCCUAAGGAGCGAAAAUCAAUUCUCUAAUUGGUGCAGAAGUGAACUGAUGCACAGGAGUUGCAAUGUGUUUCAAUAGAAUGUGAUUUGGUUAAGGCUAAAGCUAUCAAAGAUUAGAUGCGCAGAUGGAACAAUAUCAAUUGAGUCAGCUGCCGAGUGGGUUCAUGGAAAGGCUGUUUUCAUUCCGUAUAUAUGAUAAGUCAUGACUGAAAAUAAUAAGAACAACUCAAUCCGUCCAAAUCUUUUCCUAAUUUAUCACUGAUGCAUUAAAGAUUUGCACACGGACCCAAUUCAUGCAACAGCAAAGAGACAAUUACCAGAAAAGGAAUACAAGUGAAGAACUGCGUCUAUACAGAGUUUUGAGUUGCUGGCCAACCACUGAAAUCAGGUGCGCAACCAACAUUUACUUUCUACCAUUAACCAAACUCAGAAGUCCAAGAGAUAAAAGUAUCUUAAAAACAACAAAAAGAUACUCUAAGUUGGAUUCCGCAAGAUCAGACUGCGUCUAUUCCUCAAGUACUUCACUGAUCAUCAGCACUCAAGAGAACAUUCUACCUUCUCACGCUUGAGUGUAUAAAAUGAUUUUAGCUUCUUGAUCCGGUAACUUCUCCAAAGAUUUAAAAGGAACCUAUCGAAAGUUGCCUCCAACGAUUUUACUCUGCCUCGGAUCUCAACCACUUUAGGACAUCACUGCAGGUAAAAUUUCUGGAGCUUCUUCAGGUUCGUCAGGUCAGGCAACUUGUCCAUAGAUGGAACUCCUUCAAGCUUGAAGGCAAUUGGGUUCUCCAAAACUUGGAGGCUUCCGAACUCUCUCACUUUAGGGCAACGACCAACUUCCAAAUCUGACAGCGCCUUCCAAUUUGAAAGGUCUAUUCACGUUUUUAUUUCCUUGCAUGAUUCGGUAUCUAAGUACAACAAAUUUGGGGGAAGGCCAGGUCGGCAGUGCAGCUUCUUGGAGGGGACCAGUUCAGGUUCCUUGAGCUGUGAAAGAAAAAUGAUGUCUGAAGAUGGGGUGAUGAAAUAAUGAGAGUCCAACAGCAAGGAUUCCAGCUUCCCCAACCUUCUGAGCUACAAAGGACUUGGAGCUUCAAUGAAUUUAGAAGCAUCAUCCAAAUUGUCAAAACCUGAAUUUUACAUGCAAUUUGGAUAUUGAAUUAGUAAGUUACUUAACAUCAAGUGAAUGUACAUAAUUUUUUUUUUAUUACUUUACGCAAUUAACCUUAAAAAGAUAUGUAGAAGUGCUAAUCUAAACAUCCCUAAACUCCGAACGAAUCAAUAUGUAUAAUAUUUUUGAGGGAAUGAGUUGACGUUCAGUAAAUGAUAGCUCUACUGCCAAAAUGGGAGGCCUACCCACUACUCGACCUGAGAACAUAACAAUAACAAUUAGCAAAUAAGGUCAUAUAUUAUUAUCAAUAGGAAAACCAAUAUUCACCUGAGACAGUGUAAUCCGUGCAUUAUAUAAAAAUGACUAUAAUUAUCUGUGCUAUGAAUAAAAUAGAAGCAAUGCAUGACAUUCGUUUUAAUGCUAAAAUGCACACAAUUGAUCAUACCAAAUCUCAUUAUGCAUAGACAUGAACAGCUCAUCGAUAGACACAAGUAAAUAUCUAUUACCUACUUGCUACUAGCCAUGACUCAUCUUGACUAACUCAACUAACAAGACAUUAUGACCACUAAAUAAUGCAAGAAGAAAUCAUAAAUACAUAUUUACCACGCUUCAACCCAUUCCUCACAGGUAUCCUCCAACGAUGAUAAAUACAGUACAAACACAUAAUGACAGCUAUCCUAGACUCAAUUCUCAUCAAGAUUCAUACCCAUUCUAUUUUCUUUCUUUUCUCAAUCUUGGACCUCAAGUUCAUAAUAUCAUAUAUAGGCUAUUCAAGUCACAUCAGGUUACACAAGUCAUAUAAUUUCAUGUAUAAAUCAUUGUACUUUACAUUUUCUCAAUCUUAUAGAGAACGGUAGAACAUCUGUCUUUUCCCAGAAUCUUAUAUACAUACUCAGAAAAAUUAAUUAUAGUGUUGGUAUAUUGCUAACAACACUUGUAGAAUUUCAAUGGAGUUGGUAAUUUACUUACUAUGGGGAACAAGCACACUUGAAGAGUGCAGCACAAUGGAAAGUUGUAUGUCGUGUUCAAAAGUAUUGUUAUUAAUUUACUUACGAUACUGGUUAAAUUUCAAAUGAGUUGAUAAUUUACUACUUCAUUGAAAUAUUAGUAAAUUUCUGAUAGUGUUAUUAAUUCACUUACGACACCGGAGAGUUUCCAGAAGACUUGGUAAUUUACCAAUCUAGUGGGAAAUUGCUAAAUUUCUGACAGCUUUGGUAAUUUACUACCUCUUUACCUAACAAGCAAGUAACCAGUCAUUUUCUUUUACCAAACAAUUCCAAUUUUGCUGGUAAUACCACCAAAAAUUUCAAAUGAUGGAACUAGAAACGCAGUAAUGAAUCCACUCAGAAGCACCUGCAGAAAUCUGUUUUAAGUUAUCAAAACUAAAGAACCUUGGUGACCAUUGCACAUGAUCAUUAUCUAGGGAGCGUUUUAUGUUUAUGCUAGACACAAUGUUUUGCCACUACUUCUUCAUUUCUUCAAUGUGGAAAUUUUGAUGGGAAAUCAGCGACAAUUCUGCGAAUAUGUUUGCUGAUGUCUGAUAGAAUUCGCGACACUAAAUGCAACACAUUCUCAGGGUAAUGCCUUGUGAACAAUAAUCUCUACGAAUGAAAUCUGGAGCAAGUGAUUUAAUCACUAAGUAAAGUAGGACCACAACAGACCAAGAGAAGAAGAAAGAAAUUGCAGAACCAAUCAAUUAUAGUAAGAUUUCAUGCCUUCCAGGACAAUAUUUCAGUUUUAGCUAGACCUCGACAAGCUCAGAAGAACAACUGAUUCGCCAUGUAUGUUUUGAACUAGUUCUUAAGGAGCGAAAAUCAAUCCCCUAAUUGGUGCAGAAGUGAACUGACGCACAGGAGUAGCAAUGUGUUUCGAUAGAAUGCGACUUGUGGUUUAGACCAAAGCCAUUAAAGAUUAGAUGCAGAUGGAAGAAAAUUAACUGAGUCAGCUCCCAAGCGAGUUCAUCGAAAGGCUGUUUUCAUUUCGUAGGUAUGACAAGUCACGACUGAAAAUAAUAAAAAACAACUCAAUCCGUCCCAAAUCUUUUCCUAAUCUAUCACAGAUUACAUCGAAGAUUCGCACGCGGACCCAAUUCAUGAGAAUGCGAAGAGAAAAUUACCAGAAAACCAAAUAAAGAUGCGAAGAAGGAAAAAGCAAGACCUUUUUCUAGACGACCUACAAAACUCUCGUGGGAACAGAUCGGGGGGCAGGAAGACGGGGUGGCAGUCCCCGGAGGGAGAUCUCCGCCUCGUCGAAUCGCGUCUCGUUCUUGCGCUCGGGGUCGCCGUCGCACUCCUUGACUGUUGGAGUCCGUCGCUGCUGGUUCUGCGCGAGCUCCUCGCACGGGUCGUCGCUGAUGAGGGAGAAAGACGAUGGAAGGAGAACGAAAGAACGUGAGAAGACAGAGAGGGGGGGCAACGGGAGGUAAAACGAAACAAAAAAUAAAUAAAUAAAUAAAGGAGAGAGAAAAAGUUGAUAUUUCUUUAAGAGUGGUCCCACCUUUACGCGUCAUUUGGAGAUAAUAUUCCUCACUAAUCUGAUACGGAAUCUUCUCUCCGUGAUUUCAGUCUCUGAACUAAAAUUCUUGAAAGGCUCUCCUCACUUUUUCAAUAAGGCCUCGUACGUUUUUAUUUCUCGAAUUUGUUUAAAAAUAGAUUUUGUGAUUUUUUAUUUCUGUAAACAAAAAAAGAACAGAAACGCGUUUAUUUGCAUUCCUGUUCUUUUUUUAUUUUUUCGUUCCCGAAACAAAAUUGAAACAAAAAAAAGAAACAAAAAAAACUUACUUCUGGAAUCCAGAAACACUUCUUGAAGGCCUAAAAAGAACAAAAAUAAAAGAAUAAAACCGGAACACUUCUGGAGAUGGGUUCGUUCGUGCCUGAAGGCUUUCGUUCAUGUUCUCCCUUUCCCGGCGUCUCUCCCUUCUCUCCGGCGCCUCCCACUCGGUCGACUCUUCGGCGACUCCCCACUCCGCCGACUCUCCAGCGCCUCCCCACUCAGCUGACUCUCCGGCGCCGACAGGUGGUGCUCCUUCAUCGGCUGAAGCUUCCGAAUCCAGGUAAGUUUCUGCUGCUCCUCCUUCUCUGUUCGAAGAGGGCUUCAGCGAGAGCCACCCCUUGCAAAUCUAAGCCACCUUCGCCGACAACCGGGACGCUCGCUCCAGCGACAGCUCGCUCGAGCCUCAAGCGAGCGUUGCUCGCCCAGAUCUAUGGCAGAUUUGGGCGAUGGUUGCUCGCUUGAGGCUGCUCUACCGAGCUCGAGCUGCUGUGGUUGCUCGGCAGAGCAGCUCGGGUUGCUCGAGUGGCAAAGCAGCCUCUCUGCCAACUCGAGCGAGUGACGCCGAGCCCCAAGCGAGCCAUCGCCCAGAUCUACCAGAUUUGGGCGACGGCUGCUCGCCGGAGCUGCUCUGCUUGCUCGGUAGAGCAGCGCAGCUCGAUCGAGCGAGCUACUCUGCCGAGCGAGCUGCUCUGCUGAGCGAGCAGAGCAGCGUAGCUCGGUCGAGGGAGCUGCUAGCUCGCUCGACCGUGGCUGCUCUGCUGAGCGAGUAGAGUAACGGAGUAACGCUCGCUCGAGCGAGAUUGACUAAUUUCAACUUCGAGUUUCGGCAUUUUUCCCUUCCAUCUCUCCUCCUGCUCGCCAGCCGUGCCCUCACACAUUCUCUCUCUCUCUCUUCCUCAGCUUUGAUUUUCCGAGUGAUUCCGUCGGAUUUUCCCAAGAAAAUUUGUCCAAUGAGGUAACGCUUUCGGCUCCCCCUCAAUUGUUUCCGCUUCCCCUCCUCUCUCUUUUCUCUAUUUCUUUUCGUCUCCGUUGACCCGCGGAAAUGCAGGCUGCAGGAAGAGCUCUCGCCUCGGGCCCCGUUCGAUUCGUCUCCGGCUCAUUCUCGAGGGAGUCCGUGGAGGGCUAAGUGAAAGCGCGCUCCUUCCCGCGGUACAUUCGAUCUCAAGGUGGUAAUAAUCCGAAUCUCGGAGUCUGCAGCGUGCCGCGUCAGUUUCAAUAGGACCCUAGAGCUUGCACUUGUUCCGCGGCGAGCGAAGGGUGAAAUCUAGAGGCGAAAAACUUGAGCUUUUGAAUGAUUUGGUGGUUUCCGUUGUCGUUUGUUUCGUUGUGUGUCUUUUAUCAACUAGUGAGUGAGACGAUGAAAGACUGAUGCUUGGGGGUAUCGUACGCCAACCCUUUGUCACUUUUCUUGAAACUCUUCACUUUUUGGCUUGGUUGGAGCAUAGUUCUCUCUCUCUCUCUCUCUCUCUCUCUCUCUCUCUCUCUCUCUCUGAUGAUUCCUUCAAGUUGCCAUUUUGUCCCAUGUUGUUGCAAUAUGAUUCUAUGCUUGAAAUUUCGAAACUUGAGUAUUGUCCAUAAAUUUGGCAAUUCCAAUUGGUCUUUUGGUCUGUCGAUCAGUAAUAUGUACCGCAGCCCCAAAAUGUGACCUUGGACCAGUAAUUCUUGCUCCAACCACGUGCUUUCUUUAUUUCAUUCUUUUGUGUGCUGAAACUACUAUAGAUGCUAUUAGAUAAACAAAAGUUUCCAUUCCUUGGAACAAUUUUGUAGGGGGAGCGAGAUAAAAUAAAAGAGGCUGUAAAAAUUUAGUUCAGGGGCAAGAUAUAAGAAUGUUACAUGAAAUUUUAAAAGUUAAAGUUAACAGAAGGCACUAAGGUCCAUCAUUAUUUGCACGAGUGAAAAAGGUGAAUCUUGUCGUCUAAAUUCCGUUUGAAUUCCUUCUACUUAUUCAAAGAAACCUAAAGUUGAUAAAGAUUAACAAACUGGCAUUUGCCUCAUGGCUUAUUUCGAAAGAAGGUAAGAACCAAGGGUAAUGCUGCCUUGUGUUGGCUGAAAUUCAUAGUUGCAUAUUGUAUGUAACAUUACAAUGAAAUGCUCAGGCUGAUCAUUUGGAUUUCACAGCUCAAAAAUUGGUUGGAGAGAGAGCAUUCUGUUUGAUUGAUCAUUGCUAGUCAUAGUACUAUGUAGUUCUUGUAGCUCAAAUGCAACUUAUGAUCUGUUUUACACAAGUUAGUUCAAGAAUUAUCAUUUUUGAAAGUUAAGUCUUCUUGGCUUGCAUCUCUUGAGAAUGCUUUUGUGUAUGACAUAUAUAGUAUUAUGUUAUUGAUUUAACUGAUAACUCAUAUGCUGCUCAAUCGAUCAAAGAUUAAAUGGCAUCUGAGGCACAGAAAUUCAGUGCAAAGUGGACCAAGUUGGUGACCAACCUAUUUAUCGGUUUGUUGGUGGAUGAGGUCAAAAAGGGAAAUCGAACCUCUUCUACUUUCAACAAAGCAGGUUGGAGGAAUAUCCAGACUGAAUUUGUUAUACAAACAGGAUGCCAAUAUAGCAUGGUCCAGCUAAGAAACAAGGUGAAUAAAUUGAGAAAACAGUAUGGUAGUUUUCGGAAACUUAUGUCUCAGUUUAGAUUUGGUUGGGAUAAUGUCAAUAAAAGAGUUGUUGUCGACAAUCCAAGCAUCUGGGAAGCUCACAUCAAUGUAUCUUUUUUUUUUUUUUUUUUUUUUUUUUUAACUUUUUCGUCAUUUUGAUGUCAUUAUAUAUGUAUAUUUUAAAAUGUAUGAUUAUAUUGUUGAAAUGUCAUUACUGUGAAAAUUGUAGGAGAAUGUAGAGUGGGCCAAAUUCAGGAAGGAUGGAUUUCCCUAGUAUCCCGAGCUAUGUUUUGUAUUUGGUGAUACAUAUGCUGCUAGAGAAUAUGUCAUUAGAAAUGCUCAAGAUGUGACGGUGUCGAAGGAAGAUGACAACGGUGAUGGCAAUGGAGGUGGUGCCAACAGUGGCUACAAUGCAUAUGGUAACAACAGUGGUGGCAAUGCCUAUGGUGAUGCUGGUGGUGCCCAUAUAGAUGACUUCGGUGAUCACCACACUGAUGAGAGAGUCUUCACAUCAGACGAUGUUGGAAUUUCAACUCGUGGAAAGCACAGAUUGGAUAGGACUCCAAACAUUAAGAGGAGAAGGAAGAGUACCCAAAACAGUAUUGAUGACACUUGCAAAACCAUACAAGACUUUUUGAAAGUUAAGUCAAGUCAUCUGGUAGUGGCUCUGUGACCUCCGGGGUUAUGCCAUCACCUGUGGACCCUUUCUCCGUAGAGGCUGUGAUGGAUAUUCUACUUAGUAUGCUCGAGAUAGACUAAGAUGUUUACAACAAAGCAGUGGAUCAAGCAUGCGAUAGUGUCUCAUGGAGGGUGGCUUUCAUUAAAUUCACACCUGAAAGGAGAAAUGGACUUUUUUUAUCAUCUUUAGUAGAUGUUUGGAAAUAUAUUAUGGAUUGAAUGGCCUUGCAUUAGAUUGUAUAACUUUAUGUUAUGUAUUAAUAUUUAGUUUUUAAAGAUAUUAGUAUUGAGACUCUUGGUACUUAUAUAUAAUGGUAUCUUUUAUUGAGACUAUGACUUAUGUUAUUGAUUGUUAUUGGAUAUAUUUUCAAAAUCUAUAUUGAUGUUUGUAUAUUUUUGUGAUGGUAUAGGUACUAUGAAAGAGGGAUCAGAUAGUAUAUGUAGUGAACAAGUAGAACAAGUUCAACAAUUCUUGGAUGAUGAUGAUCUUCGCAUAUUCCUAGCGUGGUUAUGCACGGUUGCGAUUAACACGUCCGUGCAUACAAGAGAACCUAUUAGGGACAGCAAAUUAUUAGGAUCCGAAUGGAUAAUGGAGAUUGUUUCUGGACAUUCAGAUAGGAUAUAUGAAGCCUUCAGGAUGGAGAGGCAUGUUUUUAUGAAUUUAUGUGAUUUGAUGAGAGUAAGAGAUUGGUUAAAAGAUAGUCGAUAUAUUCGAAUAGAUGAACAAAUUGGGAUAUUCUUAUCUUUGGUUUGUCACGGUAGCUCAAAUAGAGAUUUAUGUGAGAGAUUUCAACAUUCUGGAGAAACGAUCAGCAAGUAUUUCAACAAAGUGUUGAAAGCAAUUAUCAAACUUUCAAAAGAGAUAAUCAAACCAUUGUCCUUUGAUGUCAUCCCACAAGAAAUUCUUAUGGAUUCUAGUCAUAAGCGCUACUUCAAGGUAUGAUUUCUAUAUUAACUUUAUAUCGUCAAAUACAUGUUGUUCAUAAUCUUAUAUAAUCUUAGAUUGACAAUAAAUUGACAGGACUGCGUAGGUGCUAUGGAUGGCACCCAUAUAAAUGCUAUUAUCCCGGUAUCUGAGCAGGUUUGAUUUAGAGGCAAGAGAGGGACUACCACCCAUAACGUGUUGUGUGUUUGCUCAUUUGAUAUAAAAUUUACUUUCGUGUAUGCUAGAUGGGAAGGAUCUGCCAAUGAUUGUCGAGUGCUUUCAGCAGCACUCGAAACUCCUCAAUUGCAAUUUCCCCGACCACCACCUGGUAUUUAUUUUGUUUAUAUAGACAUUUGUGAUUAUAUUAUGGUUGAAUAUCACAACAAAUUUAUAUAUAUCAUGUUGUAGGGAAAUACUACUUGGUAGAUUUUGGUUAUGCAGUACUUCCGGGAUUUUUAACUCAAUUUAGAAAGGAACGGUAUCAUCUCAGCGAAUAUAGAGGGAGUGGAAGACGGCCAAGAACAGCAAAAGAGUUAUUCAACUAUAAGCACUCUUCACUAAGAAAUGUAAUUAAGAGGUCAUCCGGGGCAUUAAAGAAUUGCUUCACCAUUUUGAGACAUAUGCCUCCAUUUACAAUUCGGAAGCAAGCACUUGUUGUAAUUGCAUGUUGUGCUCUUCAUAAUUACAUUCGUGAUCAAGAUAAGAUGGAUAUAAAUUUUUCCAUUUAUGGAGAUCCGGAGUAUCCAUUUGGACUUACAGAAGUGGAGGUUGCAGAUCCUAGUCAUGAGCAGGAAUCUAGGAUAAACAUGCUUAGGAUAAGUAUUGCAAAUAAAAUGGCAAUGGAUCACAAUAUGCAUGAGAUUUGUUGACCUCUGUAAUAUUGUUUUUAAGUAUUCACUGUGAUAAAGUUGAACAAUGAACUAUAUUGCUUCAUUAUUGUGAUGUCAUGUAUGGAAGGGUUCAUGUUGAGAUGUAUAAGAUACUAUUCUUUUUGCUAGUUCUUAUUGUACGAACUUUACUUAUAAUUUUUUUUUUAAGUAUGCACAUAUGACUAUGUUGGAAAUAUUUUUCUUCACUCACCAUUAUCAAAAUUAAAUUGAUGAGCAUUUCAUGAGAAUGAGAAUUCAAUAUCAAGUUUAUAUGUUAUAAAAAUAAAAAAUAAAAAAAAGUACUUGAAAAAAAUUUGAUACAAACUUUACUUACAAAAUUUUCUACCAAGUAUGCUAUAUGAUCAUGUUCAAAAUGUUUGUUUUCACUCACCAUGAACAAAAUAAAAUUAAUGAGCAUUACAUGAGAAUGACAAUUCAAUAUCAAGUUUAAACUUUAUUUUAAAAAAAACAUUUUUUUUUUAAAAUUUAAAAACAGAAAUUUUGUACAGUUUACUAAACGUGUUUCUGUUCUUUUUCUAUUCUAGGAACAGAAAUUGAUUGCAGUUACCAAACGUGUUUUUGUUCUUUUUUUAUUUCAAGAACAGUUUUUUUUUUUACACUUACCAAACGCGUUCUUUUGUUCAAAAACUGUUCCCCAGAAUAGAAACACUUUUUUUUUUUAAUUUCUGUUCCCUGGAACAAUUUUUGAACAGAAACGUUACCAAACGUGCCCUAAGAUUAUAGAAAGGCUCUUCUCACUUCUUUCAAUCGUCCAUUCUCUAGGGCAUUCGAAAGGGUCUCCCAUGUUUGUACUCAUCGGAUUCCAGACUCUCCUCCAAUCUCUCACAUUUCCUUAUAAUACUCCCCAAACAUAGAUUCUUUAAGCUUAAAGGUUAAAAAAAUUGAUGCAAAGACCCGUAGCCUUCUAUAACAAGGAGGUCCAAAUGAUUUUAACAUAUAUGGAAUCUCAACCACACGAUGGCAAUGUUGAAAAUAAAAAGUUUGAAUGUCCAUGGCAUUGGUAAGGUCAGGCAACUUCUCUAGCAUUGAAGAUCAUGUAAAUAUAACUAUUUCAAGUUCUCCGAACCUUCCAGGUCUUGAAUCCCUUCUACCUUCCGACAACUAAUUAUAUUAUAAAAUUCUAUAUGCUUGAAGCUUAAUGGAUCAAGCAGCUGUUCGAGUGAUUGACAACACAUUAAACUAAAAAGCUUCAACGAUUCUAGCUGACCUCGAACCUCAACCAGUUUAGGACACUCAUUUAUCAAUAAACAUUGGAGCUUCUUCAAGCUGGUUAGGUCGGGCAACUUCACUAGCAACGGAAGAUACCCAAGCCUAAGCAAUCGUAGGCUUUUCAAAGGUUCCAGAACUUGAAUCUCGUUUAGCUGUUCACAAUAAAAGACUUCCAAUUCUGAUAACUUCUCCCAAUAUGAAAGAGUUAUCGACUUUUCCAUUAACCCACGCCCAUCAAAAUGGAAGUAUGACAAAUUCUGAGGAAGCUUAGGUUGGCAUUCUAGGUUAUUUGCGGGGAGUUUAAGCUUCCUAAGAUUCGAAAGGAGAUUAAAAUCUAAAGGUAGGGUGACCAAAUCAUCACAAUACAACCCCAAGGACUCUAGCUUUCUUAACCCUCCGAUCCAAUUGAGGCUUGGAGUUGGAUGGGAAGGGCAUUGAUACUCUAAUUUCGACAUCAAAACUCUCAAAUUUAUUAGGUUCGAGAGAUCUGGGCAUCUCAUCUAUAGAUUAUUGGUUAGGACUAGUUCGGUCAAACUUUUAGGAAGCUUAGGUAUAUUGGAAAUUCUCGUGCCCGAUAAUGUCAAGAUUCUUAGAAAUGAUAGUCUUCCGAUCUCACUUGGAAUUUCCCCCCUCAAAUAUCUACAACUGUUGGCAUGGAUCUUUUCAAGCUUCUCCAAUGAUAGUCUUCCAAUCUCACUUGGAUUUCCCCCACUCAAACAUCCAUAACUGCUGACAUAGAUCUCUUCAAGCCUCUCCAACUUCCCAAGGGGGCUAGGUAGCUUUUCUAACAUGAAGUCAAAGAUCCUUAGUAUUUUCAAGUUCUUCAUCGUCUCUAUUGAGUCGGGUAACUCUCGUAUGCUUGAACAAGAAAGAUCUAACUCGACGAGAGAUCCAAAUUUUCCAAGUGAAAGUUCACUCAGUAAGCGACAUGACACUACACUAAGAGUUUCCAAUUUCUCCAUUCCGUUCCAUUCAGGAAUUUUGGUAAUAGAUGUCCCAUCAAGAAGAAGUUCUCUCAAGUCUUCCAUUUCUUCCAUCUCGUCAAGCAAUGUCUGAAGUUUCCCACAGUAUUUCAAGUUUAAUAACACUAAAUGCUUUAACCUACCAAUAGACCUAUGGAACUUCAACCAUUUCCGUGCACCCUUGAAGAAUCAAUUGCUCUAAGUUUUUAUGAGCAGAAAAGUCGGGAGUUCUAUGCAAAUUUUUGCACCUAGUCAAAUUUAGAACCUUCAAACUCUUUGCCAUCUGUAAUGAAGAGGAGGUUAAUUCUGAAUCAUUUUGAGAUACUAGACAGCAAAGUCAAUAUAGCCAAUUCAUGUUGAAAUAAUACCAUACCUUGAGUUGCUUCCAUCCCUCCCACUCAUUAGUAAUUUCACUCCUUGAUAGAUCAAGAAUCACUAGCUUCUUAAGAGAACGUGCGGUGAACUUGAAACAUACAGGAAAGUUAUGCCAUGAGAGCCAUCUCAAACUUGGAAGCAUGAUCGGAUUCCUUUGAGCCCAGUUGGUAGAAGGAAAAUGCUGACCGUUGUUCUCAUCCAAGUCUACACAAUCCACUUGAAGAAAUCUUAAUUUUGAUAGGCUUAUAAAUUCUUCCUUCUCAAUGAAGUCUUCAAAUUGACUAUCAAACCUGAGACAUAUUGCUUCAACGUUUUCUCUUCCCUGCCAAAAAGAAAAAAAAAAUUAAACAAAAGCUAGUGAUCACAUAAUUGCCUGUUGAAGGCAUUCGGGUUGAAUAUACUUGAGAAUGUACUUCUUACAUAUAAUUCAAAAUUAAUUUCCAAUAUAAUUUACGGAGGAGCAUGUGAUCGUAUAAGCACACAAGUAAUGACUCGGUUUAGAUAGAAGCAAAUAAGCAGAGUCAAUGUGUAUAACUUGUCUCUUUGAAUAGGAACAACAUUGCAAAUACUUUACCUCCUUUAUUUCAAGGACAUCAAUCGAUUCCUCAUGAUCCCACACCCGACUUUGCUUCUCUAGUUUAAAAUGAGCUCUUUCAUGAACGAUGUCUCGCCCAAGGUCUCUUAGUUGAUCAUGCAUCCAUAGUCGGUUACCUUCGACAAUCUUCAUUAACGAUUUCCGUUUGAGGACUUCAAGAGAAUAUUCAGGGAAAAGCUUACGGUUGGCCCACAUGUAAGUCACAGUUCUCAUAUCAAACCCAACAAAGAAGCAACAAACAUCAAGAAAUAUUUCCAUCUUUGGAGGUUCUAAUGCCUCUAAACUGAUGCUCAGCUUACUUUUAACCUUUGGUUCGGGAAUAGUUUUCAACUUUUCUAAUUUGGCCACCCAAAAAUUUGGGUCUUCUCCAACUAAAGAUGAACCUAUAAUCGCUAGAGCCAAAGGAAGAUGACCACAAAUUUCUAUCACUUUUUUCGAGAGGGAAACGUAUUCUGCUGGGGGAUGAUCUCUUCUAAAGACAUGCUUGCUAAACAGUAAAAGAGAAUGAUUGAAAUCCAUUUCAGUAAGCUUGUACUUAAAAUCAACAUCUUUGAGAACUUCCUCGUUUCUUGUGGUAAUAAUUACCUUACUUCCUCUGCCGUACCAGUGUUCACCCGUCCCUACAAGAGUGUUUAGUUGAGUGUUUUGGUCGACAUCAUCAAUUACAAGUAAAACCUUUUUAGAGGAUAACCUCUCCCUGAUCACUAUAAUCCCUUCAUUAAUAGUAUUGAUGGAUGGCCAUUCCAUUCUUAGGACUUUAGAGAGAAGCUGAUUCUGCAAAAUCACAAUCUUUGUCUCUCGAAUGUUAGACAUGAAGCAACAGUUAUCAAAAUCAGCCGAUAGUUUAUUAUAGAUGAUAGUGGCAAGAGUUGUCUUUCCGAUACCACCCAUACCAUGGAUGCCAACAAUCUUUGUUCCAGUGGUCUGUGUACCUAUCUUUUCCAUGAUUUUGUCCACAUGAUCGUCCAUUUCAACUAAGUAAUCAGGUUUUGCCAAGUUGUUCUUUUUUAACUCGAUCAACAACGUCUGAACAACUUCUUCUGUGAACUCACCUUUGCCUCUGACAAUAUUGAAGGCAAAAGACCUGUUAAAUUGAGAUGAACAAAAUAAUAUCCACGCUACAAACAAUCAUGAAAAAUAGUAAAUUCGACUACCUCCCAUUAAGUUCCCAUCCUCUUAACGCUCCAACCUUGCGGAGAGCUAUCUUCCACUUCUCAAUAGUCCCAUUAGCAAACCGUUGCUUAUUUUUGUGUAAAGUAAUGGCUUUACCGUAACUUCCAGUUUGGUAACGAACCUUUGAUGGUGCUAUGUCAAAGAAAAUUGGCAUGAUCUUUCGUCCCCAGUUUUCCUUGCACUCCACCAUCUAGGCCAACUCCAUGAGGCACCAUGGACUGAUAGCAUAUCCUUUAGAUAAGAUAGGAAUCGAGAUUUCCGACUGCUUAAUCGCUUGGACAAGCUUCGGGCCAAUCUCUUCCCCAAUGGGAAGCUCGUCAUUAUCUCUAUAUGCCCUUAUUCCGGCACGACUAAGGCUCUUGUAAAGUAUAUCAACAACGUCAAGCCGAGUGUCCGGUCCUCUAAAGCUCAAGAAUACUUCAUAAUCAGAUUCCAUUGGCUUCUCCAUUUCCUGGAUUUUCAGAGGACUUGCAAUCAAUUGAUAUCCCACUUGAAAAACGUUUACUAUGAAAGCCGAGUGAUGAUUAUCACGAUUUCUCUUAGAAACUCUUCUGUUUUAAGUCUUUCUAGGAAGAAACCAAGAUGACAAAUGCACGAGCUUCUUCUGCGCUUUGCACUAGACACCAAAAUAUGUUAAAAUAUUUUAUUAAUAAUAUAGUAGACAAGUGGACCCCUCUCAAUUCUAAAGGAAGAAAUUUCCAAAGUAUUGCAGAAUUAUAAGCUAUGCUUCACACUUGAAAUUGAUUUGAAAGAAUAACAUUUUGAGAAGAUAAAUCACUAUCAACCUAUAUUCGUCUUAAACUAUUACUUAUGUGAUAAAAUUCCUCUUAAAAGCUGACGUUGAAUGUCCUCUGCACAUCAUGCCUGCUUCUGCUUGUAGAUUGACUAAUUAUCUUAUUGUCAGAUAAGAAAUCAUGAUGAAACCUUCCUCUUUUAUUUUACCAAAACAUAUUUGACAGACAUUCCACGACCCUCAAUUAGUGUUCUCUUGGCCUUAACGGACGCAGGUGAAGAAUCACUCCCAGUGAAAAUCUCUAAUUGGAAAGGCGAAAUCAAGAAAUUACACCGGAGCUACUUCAACCCUCUCCAUUGGUCUAGUUUCUAAAGAGCAUAAACCGAUCUCCAAUUACAGUCAAAUCUUAGUUUAUUAACAUACAGGCACAGGGUCAAAGGCGAGCAUUAGAAGCUAACGUUCGCAUUUGCCAGAAAGUAUCAGCAUAUCAGAAAAAGAGGGAUGAAUUACUAACCGAUAAUGUAGAUGAAAUUUCAACAGAAAAAAGAAGCAUGAAUGCUAUAAUUGUUCUUCCAGAAAAUAAGUUUGAACACACAGGAGUGCAGGAACAAGAACUGUACUUUACGGAAGCGGAGACAUUAUAGUCUAUUCAAUCUGUCUCUACUGUUGAAUACAGUGUUAAGGGUAUCAAUUUCUGCCUAGGAGCAUUCUUACUGCUAAUCACUGGACAAUAACGUAUGAAUUUGUCGUCUGGAAGUCUCUUAAAGAUACCACUAUCUCUGUUCGCACAUAAAUUAAAAGAAGAAAAAGUCCCAUCAAACAAAUGAAAUCAACAGAUCCACUCAAACUAAUUUAGCCUUUAGCGCUAGCAAUCCACGCAAAAACUCAGAGAGAGAGAGAGAGAGAGAGAGAGAGAGAGAGAGUACGCGGGUGGCGAGCUCGUAAGACUGAGCGUUGUCGAUGAUGGAACCGGACUUGCCUCCACCGCCGCCGCCCUCCCUCCUCUUCUUCUUCUUGCCGCUCCUCUUCUUCGGAUCGUCGUCGCGAGGGACGCCGCCGCCGUUGAGGAGCUCACUCCGAGGCUCGACACCGCUCUCCUCCGCUUAAGCUUCGUGCGCUCUCUUCUUCUUCGGCAUUCCCGCUCUCCGAUAUCAGAAAGUUUCGAUUUUUCAACACGGUACGAGGUCGACCGGUCAAGGGUUUAGCCGUCGAUCUUGGUGGUGUAUUGCCUUUCAGGAUCUAAGGCCUGACAGUUGCAUAGAUGGAAGUGGAUGAGCAGGGUUUAGCAUGUGAGUAGAGUUAGAGGCUAAAGCUAUUAGCGUUAGACGCAAAUGGCAGUGAUCAAUCACGGAGUCAAUUGAGGAAAGAAUUUGAUGCUGAUAUGAGAGUCCCUCUCUUGUUUCCAUCAAAUCUGCAUCUAGUUGCAUUACGGAACAGACCCAAUUCAUUCAAAAGAAGGCAAUAAACGAGAGGAAAUUUCCGGAGAUGGAGGGGCUGAAGAUGAACAGUCCGGAUCAAAUGCUGAGAAGCAGAAUCGUUCUUGGCUUUCGAGAUCGGCGGAAGAAAGACAGAGACUUCUAUGAGACGGUGAAUUCACCCUCCCUCGCCGUACCCUUCCAGGAAAGCGAGGGCUUGCUUGUUGAUUUUAAUCAUCCUAUUAUUUAAGAUUUGAAUAGUCCAAUCAUUGGGAAUUACGAUUGGUUAUAAAUAUUAUAAAUUGAUAAGUAGAUGACGAAGCACAAAAUAUAAGUCAACUUGAUUAUAUUUAUAAAUUAGCUACGAAUAAAACCAAAUAAAUAUCAGAUUGAUAUAUUGAUGCUAAUCAUUCAUUGAAAAAUUGUGCCAUUACGAUUUUUUUUUUUAAACAAUGACAAAUUAAUUUAGAUUUCUACUAACGCAAUAUUGUACUAUAUCUACUAUGAUUUAUAACACAGUCAUAUGGUAAAAUCUGCAUUAAAUUCAUAAUGCACAUGAUAAAUUACUGAUAGUGUUGGAAACUUACAACAACAGUUAAAGUUCACUAAAAUGUUGGUAAAAUUCUGAUGGUGUAAGCAAUUUACUUACAGCACUGAUAAAAUUCCAGAAGAAUUUGUAAUUUGCUAAAUUAAUGAAAAAUUGAUAAAUUUCAGAUAGUAUAGGUAUUUUACUACGGGUGUACCUAACAAGCAAGAACCGGUCAUUUUUUUUUACAAGCACGAUUGCCAGCAAAAUUGCAAUUUCACCAACAGGGAAGACUUUUCAAUUCUCAAGUCCUGCGGGACCGUAGAAUUUUGCCAAAGAUUCAUUCGUCUCCGCCUCUACGACAAAAACUUAAAAGCCCACCUAAUAUUUCAAAUGGUGAAACUUGAAAUGCAAUCAUGAAUUCACUCUAAAGCACAUGUAAAAAUCUGUUUUGAGUUAUCAAAACUAAAGAACCUUUGCGACCAUUGCAAAUGAUCAUUAACUGGAUGAUUAACCCCUACUUCUUCAUUUCUUCAAUGUGGAAAUUUUACGGGAAAUCAACAACAAUUCUGUGAAUAUGGAUAUGGUUGCUAAUGUCUACUUAAAUUCGUGACAUUGAAUGCAAGACAUUCUCAGUGUACUUUCUCAAGAACAUCAAUCUCUGCAAAUGAAUCCUGGAUCAAGUCAUCUUCAAUCCUUGAUCAAUUUCACCGAAAGGCAAAAAUUGCCGUUCAUAUCAAAUGAGGCGAUCAAAUGAGGCGACAAUGCCGGAAGAGUGCUACUACCAAGGACGGAUAGAGCUGCCGCUUUUCAAAGAAAUUAUUACAAGCAAGGGAAAUUUCAAAUUGCCUACUUAGAAGAAUCCAUUUGGAAAUCAUCUCUCGACUCUUAGUACGUUUCUAACGAUUUUCUCCAAGUUGCCUCUAAUUGAAGAUUCAAUUUUUUUAAGUUCAAAUCUGACAGGAAGUUUUUCUGCUUGUCGUAGAAAUAUAUUGAUAUUCACAUCACUUAGUCAUACAAGAACUUUAUAUUACAAACAUGGGAUGUCUUCUCAAAUAGGUUGACAAAGUGAAUGUUGCUCAUUCAUAUGAAAAGUUGAGGUAGGUAGUUGAUGCAACCCGAAGACGAGGUCAGCAAUCUGGAAUAGAGGUAGGUCGAUACAAUCUCCCUCCCUCCCUCCUGAAGUAGGUAUCCAAAGUGAGCUGACGAUCAGGAGAGAACAGGCGUAACAAAGAGAGAGGACCAACAUCAUGCCCUCGUGGAACAGAACGAAGCGCAAGAAGAUGUGGUCACAGUCCCAGAGGGAGAUCCCCGCCAGGUCGAUUCGCACAUCAUGCUUCCACUCGGGGUCGCCAUCGCAUUCCUUGACGGACAGAGUCCCUUGCUACUGGUUCUGGGCGAGCUUCUUGCUCGGGGGUCGUCGCUGACGAUGGAGGAAGAAGGAAAAAACAAAUAGAGUGAGAAGAGAGACGCAGCAGGAGGAGAAAAGAAAAAGGAGAAGAAAGUCAAAAUUUCUGAAGAAGGGUCCCACCUGUACAUGUGGCCAUCGAUUUACGUUCUCAAGUAUAUCCUACAUGGCACAACGUAUUACCCUUCCAAGUUCUUUUGUCGGCCUUGCCAAUUUUUUCAGAUCUCUGUACUUAUCGGAUUCCAAAGUCUACUCGAACUUCUCAGAUUCACCUAUAUAAAAACUUGCCAGAUUCUUGAAGCUUGAAGAAUCAGAUAACUUUUGCAGAGACCCACAGUGAUAAAUAGAAAGCCUCUCCAAUGAUUCUAGCCUAUCUUGAAUCUCAACCAGACCAAGACAAUUUACUAGAUUAAGUAGCUCAAGUUUCUUGCAGUUGGUCAAGUCAGGCAACUUCACUAAGGACGGAAGAUUCCUAAGAUUUAAGUACUUCAAGUGCCCCGAAUCUUCCAGGCCUCGAAUCUCUUUUAGCUUCCAACAGCUAGAUAUAAGGACUUGUUCUAUCUUUUUGAAGCUUAAUGGAUCGGGCAACUUUUCGAGAGAUUCACAGGACAUAAUAUAAAGUAUCUCUAGCGAUUCUAACUGACCUCCAACCUCAACUAGUUUAGGACAAUUUAAUAUCCACAUUCCCGUGAGCUUCUUCAAGUUGGUCAAGUCAAGCAACAACUUCACCAAAAAUGGAAGAUGAUCAAAAUGAAGCCAUUUCAGGUUUUCCAAACGUGCAAGACCUUGAAUCUCAAUUAGCUGUUCACAAUUAUUGACUUCCAAUUUUGAUAACUUUUCCAAAUAUGAAAGAUCUAUUAAAUUUCCAUUAAGCUUUGCCCAAAAAUACGGAGGUGUGACAAAUUCUGGGGAAGCUUAGGUAGGCAUUCUAGCUUAUCUACAAGGAGUUCAAGCUUCCUGAGCUUAGAAAGGAGAUUAAAAUCUGAAGGUAGGGUGGCUAGACUAUGACAACACAACAUCAAGGACUCCAGCUUUCUCAAUCCUCCGAUCCAAUGGAGGCUUGGAGCUGCAUGGAAUAGGGCUCCAUACAUCAAACCCAACUCCAAAACUCUCAAAAUUAAUAGGUUUGAGAUAUCUAGCAAUCUCAUCACUGACCUGGUUGUAAUGUAUAGAUUGGUCAAACUUUCAGGAAGCUUAGGUACUUUAGAAAUUAUCAUGUCCGAUAAUCUCAAGAUCCUCAGCAAUGGUAGUCUUCCAAUCUCACUAGGAAUUUCCUCCAAAUUUCUACAAUUUUCGGCAUCUAUCUCUUCAAGCUUCUCCAACAUUCCAAGGGCACUAGGUAGCUUUCUUAAGUGGGUGCGAUGCAGUCUUAGUACUCUCAAAUUCUUUGCCACCUGUAAUGAAGAGAAGAUGUUAAUUCUGGACCAUUUUGAGAUACAAGACAGCAGAGUCAAUAUAGCAAAUUAAUUGUGAAAUAAUACCAUACCUUGAGGUGGUUCCAUCCCUCCCAAUCAUUUGUAAUUUUGCUCCAUGAUAGAUCAAGAAUCACUAGCUUCAUACGGGAAAAUGCGGUCAACUGGAAAAAAGAGAGGAAACUCAUGCCAUGAGAGAUAUCUCAAAUUCUGAAGGAUGAGUAGAUUCCUUUGGAACCAAUUGGUUGGAGGGAAAUACUGAAUGAAGUUAUGCCAUGAGAACCAUCUCAACUCCGAAAGAAUGAGUAGAUUCCUCAGGAACAAGUUGGUUGAAGGAAAAUGCUGAAUGAAGUUAGGCCAUGAGAGCCACCUCAAAUUCGGAAGGAUGGGUAGAUUCCUCCUAAACCAGUUGGUUAAAGAAAAACACUGAAUGUUGUUCAUAUCCAAGUCUCCACAUUCCACUUGAAGAAACCUUAAAUUUGAUAGACUUUCAUAUUCUUCAUGUUGGAGUUUUGUUUGUUAAAACAAAAGGAGUGCUUUUUUCUUUGUCCCAUAGAGAAAAGGUAGGAGGAAGUGGGCCGAUUUUAAAAUGUGGGAUUUCCUUUUUGUAGUUAAAGGAAUGAUUGGGUGGGGCUAGACCCCACCAUACCCGCGUGUGGGUGCGCGAAUAAUUGCGCGAUUUUGGCGUGAUUAUUUGGCGCACUUAGCACUUUGCACGCCCGUGGAUUAAUUAGCACUAAUCCCUUUGUUAUUUAUUUAUUUUUUUGUUAUUAUUUUUUUAUUCAAUUCAAAGGUUGCCUUUUAUUUUGAAAAUUUUCAGAAAUGAAAUAUAAAAAUGAAAAUUCGAAAUUUUAUUUAAAAAAUUAUUACUCAGAAUUUUGUUUGUGUCUUUUCAAGACAACCUUUGAAAAAUUACUUAUUCGAUUUUGCAACUUUUCCCGAAGGGUUGCAAUUUUUCGGUUUUCAACUUCUUCCGAAGAGUCGCAUUUGUUUAUCCGAACAAUUUUCUAAAGGAUGUGUUUGUUCAUUCUUUGGCAAUUUUCACGAAGAGUUGCAAGACUGUUUCAUAUAUAUACUUGUUAAUUUUCGGAAGGAAAAAGUGAUCAUUUUUUAGUCUUCUUUUAGAAAAACUGCAGCUAAUUUUUCGAUUGUUUCCUAGAGAAACCCUAGAGAAAUACUAGAAUUGAUAUCUAGCAUUCUCAUCCGAGACUUUGUUGUAUCCUGGAGGACUUUUGCCAGUGACCAUUAGCAACGUUGUGGGGCAAAUAAAUCUUUAAAGAUAGUAAUAUCAUGCCUCAAAGUCCGAGUUGUUUUACUCGAUCUGAUUGCUUUGUCCAACCCAUUUCGAAGCCAUAUUUUUCCAACAAUUUUAAGGAUUUAUCUUGCUACAAUGGAGUCAGAGACAAUCAAAGUUAUGAAUCAAGAUAUGGUCAAACUAGACCGGUUCGAUGGGAACAAUUUUGCUCGCUAGAGGGACAAGAUGAUGUUCUUACUCACUGCUCUGAAGAUCUCCUACAUACUGGAUCCUAACUUAGCGCCUAUAGAAGAUCCUAAGCCUACUUCCGAUGGAGGACUUGGCGCCUAUAGAAGAUCCUAAGCCUACUUUCGAUGGAGGACAACCAAGUGCGGAAGCCAUUGAGAGGGUUAAUAAGGAAAAGAAGAAACGUGUGGAGGGUGAAUUACUUUGUCAAGGACACAUUCUGAAGACACUCUCCGAUCGUCUGUACAACUUAUUCAUUGAAAUGAAGUCGGCCAGAGAAAUCUGGAAUGCAUUGGAAUUCAAGUACAAAGUGGAUGAGCAAAGUACCAAUAAAUAUCUAAUCGCAAAGUAUUUUGAUUUCAAGUUUAUUAAUAUUAAACCCUUGCUGGAACAAGUCCAUGAAUUGCAAGUGAUUGUGAAUAAGAUUCGUGCCCUCAAGAUUGAUAUUCCAAAAGCUUUUCAAGUUGGAGCAAUUAUUGCGAAAUUGCCUCCAAGUUGGAAAGAUUAUGGAAAAAAGGCUGAUUCACAAGUCGGAGGACUUUACUUUGGAGCAAAUACAGAAACAUCUUCGCAUUGAGGAAGAGUCACGUUUACGUGAUAAUUCUGUUUUGUACAAUUCCAAGGUGAAUGUUGUGGAUAAAAAACGAAAACUCGGCCAGAACUUCAAAGUAAAAAGCGGGGGGCAUAAAUUCAAGAGAACACAAAAGAAGCAAAAGGGUUGCUAUUUUGUUUGUGGUAAACAGGGACACUACGCUAAGGAUUGCAUUCACCGCAAGAGCAUUUCAAAGGACAAGAACAUUCCGGUGAUGAAAGCAGAUGCAAAUCUGGUUGAAGAAAAUUAUGUAGCCAUGAUUUCAAACAUGUUUUCGAACAUGGAAAUUUUUGAAAUCAAUGAUGCGAUGGCUAUGGUUUUUGAAAUUAAUUCUCCCAUUGUCCAAUCCGGUUGGUGGAUAGAUUCUGGAGCAACAGUCCAUGUGUGCAAGCACAAGUACAUGUUCAAGCAAUUUGAAGAGAUUGUUGACUCAAAUGUUCAAGAGAUCCUGAUGGCGAAUAAUGCUCUUGCAAAUGUUGCUGGAAAAGGCAUGGUGGAGAUAGACUUCACUUCUUGAAAGAAGAUAACUCUUCUUAAUGUGUUAUUUAUACCCGAAAUUAGGAAGAACCUAGUUUCUAUUGAUUUACUUUGUAAGAGGGGGUUUCGGGUUUUGUUUAAAUCCGACAAGGUUAUCCUGUUGAAAAAUGUGUUGUUUGUUGGGAAGGGUUAUGCCAAUGGUGGCAUGUAUCAACUGAGUAUCAAUAAUAAUAUUUCUAGUUCUGCUUAUAUUGUCGAGUCUUCAAUUUUAUGGCAUAAUAGGUUGGCACAUAUAAAUAUUCGUUAUUUGAAGAAUAUGAGAAAAUUAGACUUGAUAAAUUUUAAUGGCGAAUUUGAUAAAUGUGAAAUAUGUGCUAAGUCAAAACUUACUAAGAAGCCAUUUCCUAGUGUUAAAAGAAAUUCGAAUUUAUUGGAUUUGGUUCAUAGUGAUAUAUGUGAAUUUAAUGGUAUGCUAACACAUGAAGGUAAAAUGUAUUUUAUUACCUUUGUGGAUGAUUGCAGUAGGUUCUUAUAUGUUUAUCUCAUGAGAUCAAAGGAUGAAGCAUUUACCAUGUUUAAUAAAUAUAAGGCUGAAGUAGAGAAUCAAUUAGAAAAGAAAAUUAAAGUUCUACGAUCAGAUAGAGGUGGAGAAUAUUUCUUAAAUGAAUUCUCUUCAUUUUGUGAAGAACAUGGUAUAAUUCAUCAAGUUUCAGCACCAUAUACUCCACAACAAAAUGGUUUAGCUAAAAGGAAAAAUCGAUCUCUUGGAGAAAUGGUUAAUUGUAUGCUUUCAAAUUCAAAGCUACCAAUUAAUCUUUGGGGAGAAACAUUACUUACUGCAUGUUAUUCAUAAUAGAAUGACUUCCAAGAAAAAUGACAUAACCCCUUAUGAAAUAUGGAAAGGUAGAAAGCCAAAUUUGUCAUAUCUUAAAGUGUGGGGGUGCUUGGCAUUCUACCGAGCUUCAGAUCCUAAGAGAACAAAGCUCGGUCCUAGAGCUAUCAAAAGUGUUUUUGUUGGAUAUGCUGAAAAUAGUAAAGCUUAUAGGCUUCUUGAUUUAGAGUCCAAUGUCAUAGUAAAAUCAAGAGACGUUGAAUUCUUUGAGAAUAAAUGUUUUACAAGUUCUGAAAUUAUUGAAAAUAAUUCAAGAUUUAUGGAAACUCAAAGUGAUUCUCAAGAGAAAGAAACGAAUGAUUCUAAAGACAUGAUUGAACCAAGGAGAAGUACUAGAGCUAGGAAAAUAAAAGACUUAGGUCCUGAUUUUAUUACUCAUGUUUUUCUUGUUGAAGGAGAUUGAGAUAAUAAUGUGGUAAAUAAAUACCCUUUAGUAUUAAAUUUAGAAAAUGAUCCUAGAAGCUUUGAUGAUGUUAUGUCUUCUAGAGAUGCUUCCUUUUGGAAAGAAGCUGUGAAUGAUAAAAUGGACUCAAUUAUGUCCAAUAAUACUUGGGUAUUAGUAGAUUUACCAAAAGGAUCAAAACCUAUUGGGUGCAAAUGGGUUUUUAGAAGAAAAUAUCAUUCUGAUGGUUCUAUUCAAACUUUUAAAGCUAGGCCUUAGCUAAGGGAUAUAGACAAAAAGAAAGAAUAAAUUAUUUUGAUACAUAUGCUCCUGUUGCAUGUAUAACUUCUAUUCGAGUUCUUUUUGCUCUAACUUCCAUUUAUGAUCUUUGUGUUCAUCAAAUGGAUGUUAAGACUGAUUUCUUAAAUGGAGACUUAAAUAAAGAGAUUUACAUGGAACAACCGGAGGGUUUUGUUCUUCCUAAAAAUGAAAGAAAAGUAUGUAAAUUGAUUAAAUCUCUUUAUGAACUUAAGCAAGCUCCUAAGCAGUGACAUAAAAAGUUUAAUUCGGUCAUAUUGUCAAAUGGUUUCAUCAAUAGCAGUGCCGAUAGGUGUAUAUACUCUAAAUUCACUAAAGACUAUGGUGUCUUAGUGUGCUUGUAUGUUGAUGAUAUGCUUAUCUUUGAAACGAAUAUGACUGGAAUUAAUGAGACUAAGAAGUAUCUAACUUCCAUGUUUAAAAUAAAGGAUUUGGGUGAAGUAGAUACUAUCUUAGGUAUUAAAGUUAAGAAACAUAGUGGGGGUUAUUCUUUAAGCCAAUGUAGUUAUGUUGAAAAAUUAUUAAAUAAAUUUCAACAUCUUGAUUUUAAAGAAAUAAGUACUCCAUUUGAUUCCAAUAUUAAAUUAAAUUAUAAUACUGGUAGAGCGGUGGUAUAACUAGAAUAUGCAAGUGCUAGAGGGUCUUUAAUGUAUGUGAUGCAUUGUACUAGACCCGAUAUUGUUUAUUAUGUAUGCAAGUUGAGUAGGUAUACUAGUAAUCCAAGUACAGAACAUUGGAGAGCUAUUACUAGAAUUUUUGGUUAUCUUAAGAGAACUAAAAAUUUAGGAUUGUUCUACAAUAAUUAUCCGGUUAUAUUAGAAGGAUACACUGAUGCUAGUUGGAUUACAAGUGUGGGAGGUGAGCGUUCCACUUCUAGAUGGAUCUUCACACUAGUUAGAGGUGUUGUAUCUUGGGCGAGCAAGAAACAGACAUGUAUAACUCACUCAAUAAUGGAAUAUGAAUUUAUUGCUUUGGUGACAGCCAGGAAAGAGAAUGAAUGGAUUAGAAAUUUGUUGUUGGAUAUCAAAUUAUUUCUAUCCACUGUGAUAGUCAGGCCACUUUGGCAAGAGCCUAUAGUAACACCUAUAAUGGUAAGUCUAGACAUAUUAGUCUAAGACAUGAAUAUGUGAGACAAUUAAUUAAAAAUUGUACCAUAACAAUUAUCUAUGUGAGGUCAAGUAAAAAAUCUUGUAGAUCCUUUGACGAAGGCUUUACCAAGACAUAUGGUAAUAACUACCUAACAAAAAAUGGGGCUGAAACCCUUUAAUUGAAAUCACCAAUAAUGGUAACCUGACCUUUUUCUAGAACAUCACUAGUUACAAGGUUUAAUAGUGCGGAGUAAUAUAAAACUUCUUGCUAAAAUAAGAGGUUAGUGUAUGUGCGAUAUGUCUGGUUCUAUUACAUAAAAGUACAAGUUUAAAGCCGAACUACUUGUCACUUUGAUAGAGCUUUGAUAUACUUACACUAAGUAAAUGUUUAACUCGAAAGAGACCUUUAUGUAUGUAUAUUAAUCUUACUGAAAAUUUGGCUAUAUGGUUUUUUAAAAUUUUAUUUUUGAAAUCUUUGUUUUACAAACAAAGUGGGGGAUUGUUGGAGUUUUGUUUGUUAAAAGAAAUUGAGUGAUUUUUUCUUUGUCCCACAUAAAAACGGUGGGAGGAAGUGGGCCAAUUUAAAAAUGUGGGAUUUCCUUUUUGUAGUUUAAGGAAUGAUUGGGUGGGGUUAGACCUUCACCAUACCCGCGUAUGGGUGCGCGAUUUUGGCGCGAUUAUUUGACGCACUUAGCACUUUGCACGCUCGCGGAUUAAUUAGCACUAAUCCCUUUGUUAUUUAUUUAUUUGUUUUGCUAUUAUUUUUUUUAUUCAAUUCAAAGGUUACCUUUUAUUUUGAGAAUUUUCAAAAAUAAAAUAUAAAAAUGAAAAUUCAAAAUUUUAUUAAAAAAAUUAUUAUUCUGAAUUUUGUUUGUGUCUUUUCAAGACAACCUUUGAAAAAUUACUUAUUCAAUUUUGCAACUUUUCCCGAAGGGUUGCAAUUUUUCGGUUUUCAACUUCUUCCGAAGAGUCACAUUUGUUUAUCCGAACAAUUUUCUAAAGGAUGUGUUUGUUCAUUCUUUGGCAAUUUUUACGAAGAGUUGCAAGACUGUUUCAUAUAUAUACUUGUCAAUUUUCGGAAGGAAAAAGUGGUCAUUUUCGAAUCUUCUUUCAGACAAACUACAAUCAAUUUUUCGAUUGUUUCCUAGAGAGACCCUGGAGAAAUACUAGAAUUGCUAUCUAGCAUUCUCAUCCGAGACUUUGUUGUAUCCUGGAGGAUUUUUGCCAGCGACCAUUAGCAACGUUGUGGGACAAAUAAAUCUUUAAAAAUAGUGAUAUCACGCCUCAAAGUCUGAGUUGUUUUACUCGAUCCGAUUUCAUUGUUCAAUUCAUUUCGAAGUCAUAUUUUUCCAACACUUCCUUCUUAAAGAAGCAUUGAGAUUGAUGAUCAAACUUGAGACAUAUGGCUUCAGUGUGUCUUGUUCCCUGCCAAAGAAAAAAAGGGAAACAUAAGUUGGUUAUCAUAUAAUCACCAAUUGAAGGCAUACGAGUUGAACAUACCCAAGAAAUGGACAUCUUAUUCAUAAUUUGAAAUUAAUUUACAAUAUGAUUUAUAGAUGCACAUGUGAUCACAGUAACCACAUAAUUAACUUCUCGGUUCAGAUAAAAGCAAAUAAGCAAAGUCAAUGUGUAUAACCCUUCUCUUUGAAUAGGAAUAACAUGGCAAACACUUUACCUCCUUUCUUUUAAGAACAUCAAUUGCUUCCUCAUGAUUCCACACCUGACUUUGCUUCUCUAGUUUAAAAUUAGCUCUUUCACGAAUGAUAUCUUGCCCAAGGUCUCUUAGCUGAUUAUGCACCCACAAUUGGUUACCUUCUACAAUCUUCAUUAACGACAUCCAUUUGAGGACUUCAGGAGAAUAUUUAGGGAAAAGCUUACAGCUGUCCCAUAUGUAUGUCACAAUUCUCACAUCAAACCCAACAAAGAAGAAGCAAAUAUCGAGAAAUAUUUCAUUCUCUUCAAGUUCUACUGCCUCAAAACUAAUGUUCAACUUACUUUUAACCCUUUUAUUGGGAAUAGUUUUCAAUUUUUCUAAUGUGUCCACCCAAAAUUUUCUGUUCUUUCCAGCUAAAAAUGAACCUAUAAUCUCUAGAGCCAAAGGAAGACGACCACAGAUUUCUACCGCUUUUUUUGAGAGGGGGAUGUAUUCUGCUGGAGGAUGAUCUCUUCUAAAGGCAUGUUUGCUAAACAGUAGAAGAGAAUAAUUGAAAUCCAUUUCAGUAAGUUCGUGCUUCAAAUCAACAUCUUUGAGAACUUCCUCAUUUCUUGUGGUAAUAAUAACCUUAAUUCAUCUACCGAACCAGCAUUGACCCGUCCCCACAAGAGCCUCCAGUUGAGUGCUUUGGUCGACAUCAUCAAAUACAAUUAAAAUAUUUUUAGAGGAUAACCUAUUCUUGAUCUCAGUAAUUCCCUCAUUAAUACUAUUGAUGGAUGGCCAUUCCAUUCUUAGGACUUUAGAGAUGAGCUGAUUCUGCAAACUUACAAUCUUUGUCUCUCGAAUGUUAGACAAGAAGCAACAAUUAUCAAAAUCAGCCGACAGUUUAUUAUAGACAAUUGUGGCAAGAGUUGUCUUUCCGACACCACCCAUACCAUGGAUACCAACAAUAUUUGUUCCAGUGGUCUGUUCACUUAUCUUUUCCAUGAUUUGGUCUACUUGAUCAUCCAUUUCAACCAAGCAAUUAGAUACUGCCAGGUAGUUCUUUUUCAACUCGAUCAAAAGCUUCCAAACAACUUCUUCGGUGAACUCACAUUUGCCUCUGAUAGUAGUGAUGGCAAAAGAACCCAACUGUUAAAUCGAGAUGAGCAAAAUAAUAUCUAAGGUACAAACAAAUCCUGAACAAUAAUAAAUUCAAGUACCUCUCCUUGAGUUCCCAUCCUCUUAACGCUCCAACCUUGCUAAGAGCUACCUUCCAGUUAUGAAUAGUCUCAUCAGUGUACCGCCACUUAUUUAUGUGUAAAUUAAUGGCCUCACCGUAACUUCCAGUUUGGUUACGAACCUCGGAUGGUGCUAUGUUGUAGAAAAUCGGCAUAAUCUUUCGUCCCCAGCUUUCCUUGCACCCCACCAUUUGGACCAUGGACUGGCAGCAUAUCAUUUAGAAAGAUAGAUGAGGACUGAGGAGUACAUACAUCCUUUGGGGGCAGUACCUGAUCUUAAUAAACAGCUAACUCUAUCAUUUCAGAGUUAUCCUAAAUUGCAUACCCUAUUAGUAAACGAGUAUAUCGCAUAGCAAUAAAUAUGAAAUGCACUGGCACGUACAUACCAAGUGACUAUAUCUAUCGCCAUGUUUCAAACAUUUGCAAAUAAACCUACAUGCUUGUUUAACAAUGGAUGCGAUUACAUUAAUUAGUUUAUCUAUACCUUGAGUCGUUGGGGUAGAUUUGUCAUACACCUACCCUGGAAAAAAGGGGCUACAAGGUUCGUGGUAAUUUAAGUGCGAUUGCAACCCAAACCACUUUGAGAGCCCACUCCUGAUGUGACCGGCAGUACUAAACUAUGUUUCUGGAGCUUCUUAGGUUGAUGUCCUUUGAAUUUUGUGAUUGGUGCGAAGAUGACAUCUCUCUUGCAAAUGCACGAGAGAAGUCAGUGCAAUCUGCUAAAUGUAUGAGAGUGGUUGGCCCGUCCCCAGCAGAACCGCUCGAACGAUUAUCAAAUACUGUCGCAGAACCCAGGAUGUUCUUUUUAUAUAUCUGCUCUGCCCUUCGGAGUAGAAUACAAACAAAAAUCAUGUAAAGUCGCUGAGAGAGGUGAACUACUCUGCAUUUUAUACAGUAACUCCGACCCCAACAUGAUGUGGCCCGACGACAUUGGUGCUUCAGGGGUUGUUGCUCAGAGCAGAACACCGAACUGCUUCAAAAGGGUUGGUGAGACCAAAUCGAGUCAAUUUUGUAAUGGACUCAGUCAUCUUUCACUUUCCGAGGUCAUUGUCCCGCAUAUUGUAAUGAACUCAGUUUACCUCCAGAGACCGCCCAUGACGUCCGGCACAGUGCCCGCUAAGAUUGUAAUGGAUCCAAUGAUGGUGAUGUUAUUGCAACUGCUAUCGCGUGAGGGCUCACUACCCUAGCUAGGACCUCGAGGAGUAUUGCCAGCCCUUAUUGGGACAACAUAUAAACCCCCAAUUAUUCUCCCAUUCCCGAGCUCUCGUCUCUUUGCUGCCUUCAUCAUUUUCUUUGUUUUUUGUCUUUCAAAUUUGAUGUUUAUUUUUCAAUUUUUAUGAUUUUUACUUGUUUGUAGUGCUCUUCAAUUUUGUGACGUGACAUUUCAUGGAACAAUUUUGUGUUGUACCAAAAAGAUUGAAAUGACAAUUAAGGGAAAUGAACUAAAAAAUAAUUUAAACCUAUUAUAUUGGUACUAAUUCAAUUCUAAAUCUUUAAAUUAGAUUAAUUUAAUCAUGGAUUUUUUAUAUUUGUGCCAAUUAAGUCCAAUCUGUUGAUUUGAAAGUUGGCUGUUUUAUAAGACACGGCUAGCGUUGAUAUGGACAAAUUUUAAUUCUUUUUAAAUAUUAUUUUUUUCCCUUUUCAUUUUGGCUAGUGAGGAUAUGCAUUCCCCUAUGAUGAUCUUAUUGGAAAAGUGAAAUCAAGAAAUUUAACCGAAGCUAAUUCAACCCUCACCGUUGGACUAGUUUCUAAAGAGCAUAAACUAAUCUCUAAUUAGAGUCAUCUCUUAGUAUGUUAACAAACAGGUACAGGGUCAAUGGGUGAGCAUUAGAAGCUAUCAUUCUCAUUUGCCAGAAAGUAUCAACAUAUCAGAAAAAGGAGUCAAUCACUAACCAAUGAUGGGGUUGAUGAAAUUUCCACAGAAAAAAGAAGCAUGAAUGCUAUAACCGUUUCUCUGGAAAAUAAGUUUGAACACACAAGAGUGCAGGAACGAGAGCUGUAUUUUACGGAAACGGAGAGUUCCGGUUCACCACAGAGUGCAACAUUAUAGUCGAUUCAAUCUAUCUCUACUAUUAAAUACAGAGUUGAGGGUAUCAAUUUCUGCCUAGGAGCGUUCUUACUGCUAAUCACUAGACAAUAAUGUACGAAUUUGUCAUAUGGGAGUCUCUUAAAGAUACCGCUGUCUCUGUUCGCAAAGAAAUUUAAAAACAAAUCCCAUCAAACGAAUGAAAUCAACAGAUCCACUCAAACUAGUAUAGCUUUUAGCACCGGCCUAGUUCCUAAAGAGCGUAAAUCUAAUUCCUAAUUACGGAAAUCUCUGAGAUCUAUCAACAAGCUGAUGCACAGAAGUGGCAUUGUGUUUCAAGAUCUGAGGCCUGACAGUUGCACAGAUGGAAGCAGAUGAGCAGGGUUUAGCAUGUAACUAGAGCGAGAGGCUUAAGGCUUCUAGUGUUGGACGCAACUCGCAGUGAUCAAUCAUCGAGUCAAAUGAGGAGAGAGUCGAUGCUGAUCUGAGAGUCCCUCUACUGUUCCCAUCAGAUUCUGCCCCUAGUUACAUUACUGAACAUACCCAAUUCAUUGAAAAAAGCAAUAGAUGAGAGGAAAUUAGCAGAGAUGGAGGGGGUUGAAGAUGAAGAGUCACGAUCGAAAUGCUGAGAAGGUGACUUGAUACUCACCCUUUCGCGCCGACCGCAAAGUACAGAAAAUGAGGGAAUCCGCCUUUCUUUUGAGGCAUUCGAGGUUUUUUUUUUUUUUUUUUUGCUCGGUCCUACUUUAAUCAUAUUCUAACACUCACUCUCAGACUUGGGUUACUUCGAAAAAACUCCCGAGUCCAAAGAGUUUUUGGCUCUAAAGUCUUAUUUGUUUAGAAAUCAUAAUGACGAUGAAACCCCUCUUUUUUUUUUCCUUUUUUUUUUUGGUGAAAUCGUGGAUCCAUUUAAAUUAUUCAUGAAUGAAACCUACACAUUUUAAGUAUUUCAGAUGGAUUAUAACAUGAAGUUAUUCGCAGUAAAUUUACAAAACAAAAGUUUUUUAAAUAAUAAAAGUUGCAUUCAGUUAUUAAAAUCUGAUUUGUUUCGCAAAAAAAUGAAUGAUUGAAAACAUAUUUUUCAAAAAAUAAUUAUUUAUAUCACUUGAAAUCCUUAGUUAAUGAAAUAUGUUUUUAUUAUCAAUAACAAUUUAUGCAUAAAUAUUUUUGUGAAAUAUUUUUUAUUCAUUUAUUUUUGUAAAGGAUACAAGCGAUUAUUUUUCAGAAAAUAUUUUUCAAAUUAUUCAUUGUUCCUUAAAGAUCCAAAAAAUUUAUCAUGCAAAUGAAAGUUUAUCAAUCAUGGAUGGUUUGAGCAGAACUUCUGCCAUUUCUACUUUCCUUUCGCAAAUCUUGGGCAAUGUCCACAUUACCACUAGAAGGAAUCUUUAAAAAAAAAUUUGACCAAGGGAUUUUUUCUUUAAAGUAGUUAUCAUAUUUUUUAGAUUUGAAUAGUCGAAUCAAUAGAAAUUAGGAUUGGUUAUAUAUAUAAUCAUGAAAAUAUUAAUAAUGACGAAUUACAAAAUAUUAGUCAACUUAACUUAUUUUUUUAUUAUCUAUGAUUAAAGUAAAAUAAGAACAAUAAAUCGAUGUAUUGAUGCUAUUUAGUCAAUUAAAAAAAAUAAACCAUUAUAAUUUUCUUAAUUUUGAAACAAUGGCCAGUAAAUUAAUUUAAAUUUCUAAUUUCGAGAUAUAAUGCUGUAGAAUAUCUAUAUUAUGAAGAAUAUGCAAUCAUAUUGUAAAUAAUAUGUUAAAAGCUGGUAUCUUUUUUUCAUUACAUUCUCAAAGUUUGUUUUUCAUACAAUCAAUAAAUGAGUCACUGUUUUGCUCCACUACCUAUAUCUAUGUUAUAGCUCUCCUGGGAAUUCAUCAAUUGACAGUAAUGUGAGCCCUCGCUCUAUUUGAUUUCAUUAAUGCUUCGAUUCAUUUACACAUUAUAUAUAUAUAUAUAUAUAUAUAUAUAUAUAUAUAUAUAUAUAUAUAUAUAUAUUAGCAUACAAAACACAUUGCAAAUUUGCAAGGGAGAGAUAUGCACAAUAUUUUGUAUGCAUCGAAAUUUAAUUAAUCCUCGUCCAACUAUAUUUGUGUUGAUGUGAGCAUUUGUAAUUGAUAUAGUAAUCGUUAGUACACUGUUUUUCUUUUACAGAGAGCCAAGCUAAUUAAUAAAAUUAUAUUAAAUUAAACUAUAUCGAUUUGGAUUCGCUUUUACUUUCUUUUUCUUUUUAAAUUUUUGCUUCUGUAAUUUACACUGCCCACGGACUUUAAGUCUUUUUCGAAGUCCCGAAACUUUCACAAUAGUUGGAUGUUAACACGUACAUUUGUAUUUAUUCAUUUCAUAAUUUUUUGAAAUCCAAAUUAUAUUUCAACUUUUGAUAGGAAAAUAAAUUUUUUUUUUUUUAAGUCCAAACAAAGUGGCGUUAAAGCUGUUAAUUUUCGCCAUUUCUUUACGAUUUCACUUCGCGUGCUGGAUGUUUAGGUGAUACGAUGCUGAAAGCACCGUUUCCAUGGGGGAGACAACUGGUGCACUGCCAUGUUCUUUAAUGAUAUCGUCCCGAGUCCCAAUUAUCGAUCGUUAUGUCUCUCUCAUCGCCAGAAAGCGCUUGACUUGUUCGAUGAAAUGCCGCAGAGGGCUCUUGUCUCUUAGAAUUCAUUGAUUUCUGGGUCGUCCCAUCAUGGGUUUUAUGAAGUCUCUGAGUAUCUUCAUGCAGAUGCAAAGAAAUUAUGAUCGUCUGUUCAUGGAUGAAUUUACUUUUGUGGGUGUUGUGGCUGCCUGUGCUCACUUGGGUGCAUUGAAGUUCUUGCUUCAAGUUAAUGGAGUUGCCAUCAUAAUGGGCUUGGAAUUUACUAAGAUUACUUAUAAUUCUCUGAUUGAUGCUUAUGGGAAAUGUGGUGGAGCCGAUAAAUGCCGUGACUUGUUCGAAGUUAUGCCUGAGAAGGAUAUUGUGUUGUGGACUUCCAUGGUUGUUGCUUAUUCGCUAGCUCAUAACUUGGAUGAUGCUUGUGCAAUAUUCAACAAUAUGCCAGCGAAGAAUACGGUCUCUUGGACUGCAAUGAUUGCAUGCUUUGCACAAAAUGGCCGUGGUGAUGAAACUUUGGACCUUUUCGUUCGAAUGCGUGAGGAAGGAAUACAGCCAAGUCCUCGUACUUUUGUCAGUGUUCUAUGUGCUUGUGCUGAUUGAGCACUUGCUGAAAGAGGCAAGCAGAGUCAUGGUUGCAUAGUCAGGACCUGCUUUGAUAGAGAUUUGGAUAACAUAUCUGUAUGGAACGCUCUAAUUGACAUGUAUUGCAAGCGUGGCUACAUGAGAGCAGCUGACAUCUUAUUCUUGAGGAACCCAGAAAGGGCUAUUGUAUCAUGGAACUCAAUGAUAAGUGGAUUUUCACAAAAUGGUUUAGGGCAUGAGUGACUUGUUUUUGUCAAGAAGAUGCUGGAGGCAAAUGCAAGAUUCUACCAUGUCACAUUUCUUGGCACUCUAUCUGCUUGCAGCCACGCAGGUCUAGAUGUUGAAGCACUUCAGAUUUUCAAUGCAAUGGAAAAGGACUACACAGCCUUCAAAAGAGAUCCGACCACUAUGCUAUUUUGGUCGAUCUGCUCAGGAGGAAAUACAGACUUGAGGAAGCCAUGGAAUUGAUAGAUAGUCUCAAACAAAUCAGAGCAUGUUGUGCUUUUCGGUUAAUGCAAAGCCCUCGGUAAUCUUGUUAUUGCCUGAAGCUGUGGAUAUCUAUUGAAGUUGAACCCCAAAAUGCUGCGAAGUAUGUGUCACGUUAUCAAGCAUCUAUGCUGCCAUUAACAGAUGGGAUGAUUCCUGCACAGUAAGGAAGCAAAUGGAGGAGAGAAACUUGAUGAAAGAUGUGGCAAACAGUUGGAUUGAAGUAAAGUAUGAAAUGCACAAAUUUCCAGCAAAGGACCGAUUCCACUAUCAGAUAGGAGACAUACACGAAGUGCUCGGGAAACUACCUUAUCAUAUGAAGGAAGCUGGAUAUGUUCAUGAGCCCCACAUAAGGCUCAUAUAUUUUAAUUUGAAUCUAUCUAAUUUAACCUCAAAUGAUGUCUAUAAUUUUUUUUUUUUUAUUGCUAUACUAUAAUCAAUACUCUCAGCCCAUAAAUCUAUCCUAUUUUUGCUGAGUCCUCUGAUCUAGUUUUUAAACAGAUACACAGAAACACUGAUCUAAAUGUCCCUUAACUCGGAACCUGACCAAUCUAUGAUUUUUUUUCCUUUUUGUGGGGUUAAGUCUAAACUCAGGAAGCGAGAGCACUAAGUCUAAACUAAGAGCUCAAGUUCACGUUGGAUAAUUUAAUCCAUGGGGUAUGUAUGAAUAAUCAAUAAAAUAGAUUCAAUGAGAUGACAUUCGGCUUAAUACUUAAAUGCACAAAAAUGAACAUACUAUAUGCGCAUAUACCACCACAUAGUAGCUCAUCCAUAUAUUCAGAUGAGUAUAUUCGUUAUUCGUCACUGCUUGUGACUCAUCUUGACUAAUGGGGCACCGCCACCACCAAUUCAUGCUCAUUGCACAACCGUCUAUGGCAUACUCAUUCUCCUCAAUAUUCAUUCUCACUUUAUUAUCUUUAUUUUCUCAAUCUUGAACCUCAAGUUUAUAAUAUCACAUAGCAAACUACUCAAGUCAUAUCAAGCUGCACAAAUAAUAUCAUUUUAUAUAUGAAUCAGGGGAAUCAGGAAAACAAACUAUAGUGUUGGCAUAUUAUUGACAAUACUUGUAGAAAUUCAAAAGAGUUUGUAAUUUGCUUAAUUAUUAGAAAGUUGGUAAAAUUCUUGAUAAUGUUGGCAAUUUCUUUUAAUUUAUCAGUAAAAUUUCAGAGGAGUGGAUAUUUUACGACUUCAUUCGAAUGUUGACAAAUUCCUCAUAGUGUCAGUAAUUUACUUACAAUAUCAAUAAAGUUCAGAAAAAUUGGUAAUUUAUUAAUUCAUUGGAAUGUUGGUAGAUUUCCAGUGGUGUUGGUAAUUUAUUAAUGAUCAGGUUUCAAGUCAUAACAUUUUACCAGCAAGAUUGGAAAAUUACUAGUAAGAUUGGAAUUCUACCAAGACAGAAAGUUUUCAAUUUUCCACAGCAUGGGACCGUAAAAUUUUGCAUAGCUUCAUAAGUCUCUACCUCUGCAACAAGAACUUAAAUCCCAACUGAUAAUUUCAAUUGUUGAAACAAGAAACGCAGUAAUGAAUCAUUCAGAAGCCCCUGUAGAAAUCUGUUCAAAAUUAUCAAAACUAAAGGACCUUUGUGACCAUUGCACAUGAUCAUUAACUAGGGAGGGUUAUGUUCAUGCUAGACACGAUGUUUUGCCCAUACUUCUUCAUUUCUUCAAUGUAGAAAUUUUCAGGGGAAAUCAGCAACAAUUCUGCAAAUACAGUCGCUGAUGUCUAAUUAAAUUCGCAACACUGAAUGCAAAACAUUGCACAUUAAUCUCCGUGAACGAAUUUUGGAGCAAGUCAUCUUGAAUCCUUGAUGAAUUUCUCCCGUGACGAGAUUAAUUACUAACUGCACCGCUAAACAUUUUAGAAGUAGGACCACAACAGACCAAGAGAAAAAGAAAGAAAUUGCAGAACCAAUCUACUAUAGUAAGGUUUCAUGCCUUCCAGGACAAUAUUUCGGUUUUAGCUAGACCUUGACAAGCUCAGAAGAACAACCGAUUCCCCAUGUAUGUUUUGAACUAGUUCCUAAUCCCCUAAUUGGUGCAGAAGUGAACUGACGCACAGGAGUUGCAAUGUGUUUCAAUAGAAUGUGACUUGGUUAAGGCUAAAGCUAUUAAAGAUUAGAUGCAGAUGGAACAAAAUCAAUCGAGUGAGCUGUCGAGGGAGUUCAUCGAAAGGCUGUUUUCAUUGCGUAUGUAUGAUAAGUCAUGACUGAAAAUAAUAAAAACCAACUCAAUCCGUUCCAAAUAUUUUCCCAAUCUAUCACUGAUUGCAUCGAAGAUUCGCACGCAGACCCAAUUCAUGCAAAUGCGAAGAGAAAAUUACCAGAAGAAAAGAAUAUAGGCGAAGAUGAAGGAAACCAAAUGAAGAUGCAGAGAAGGAAGAACCCUCGUUGGCCUCAGUUAGCUGCAACCAAAACGGAAAAGGAAGAUCACAAUCCAUUAACCCCUCGGUGGGAACAGAUCGGGGUGGCAGUCCCCGGAGGGAGAUCUCCGCCUGGUUGAAUCGCAUCUCGUUCUUCCGCUCGGGGUCGCUGCCGCUGCUGGUUCUGGGCGAGCUUCUCACUCACGUCGUCGCUGGUGAGGGAGGAAGACGAAGGAGAAGGAAAGAACGUGAGAAGACACAGAGAGAGCAACGGGAGAAAAAACGAAACAAAUAUAAAAAAACACAGAGACAGAGAAAAAGUUUAAAUUUCUUAAGAGUGGGUCCCACCUUUAUGCGUCAUCUCGAGAUGAUAUUCCUCACCAAUCUCCUACGGAAUCUUCUCUCCCUGAUUUCAGUACCCUCCCCCUACUUCUUUGGAAGGGUCUUCGCACUUUUUUCAAAUCUCGGUACUCAUCGGAUUCCAUAAUCUCCUCCAAUCUCUCAGAGUCUUUUAUUUCCAAAUCCUCUAGCUUCUUGAAGCUUGAAGGAUCAGAAAACUUUUGCAGAGACCCGCAGCCAUCAAUAAGAAGAAACAUCACUGAUUUCAGCCUACCUCGAACCAGACGAGGACAAUGCAUUAAUUCAAUAUGCUUAAGCUCCUUGGCGUUGGUCAGGUCAGGCAACUUCUCUAGUAACGGAAGAUCGUCCACACAUAAGACCCUCAAGUUCUCUGAAACUUCCAAGCCUUGAAUCUCUCCUAGCUUCCAACAGCCAUCUAUAUCCAAUUCUUCUAUAUGCUUAAAGCUCGAUGGAUCAGGCAGAUGUUCAAGUGAUUCACAGCAAGUUAAAUGGAGAGACUCCAAUGAUUCAAGCUUACCUCAAACCUCAACCAAUUUAGGACAAACUUCUAUCCAAAAUCUCCAAAGCUUCUUUAAGCUGGUCAGGUCGGGCAACUUCACCAGCGAUGGAAGAAACACAAGAUCAAGCCUUUGCAAGUUUUUCAAAGGUUCGAGGCCUUGAAUCUCUAUUAGCUGUUCACAAUACCAGAUUUCCAAUUCUGAUAACUUCUCCAAAUAUGAAAGAUUUAUUGACUUUUCUGUUAACCCGUGCCCAACAAAAUGGAAGUAUGACAAAUUCUGAGGAAGCUUAGGUAGGCAUUCUAGGUUAUUUUUGAAGAGUUCAAGCUUCCUGAGCUUCAAAAGGAGAUUAAAAUCUGAAGGUAGGGUGACCAGACUAUGACAACACAAUGACAAUGACUCUAGCUUUCUUAACCCUCCGAUCCAAUUGAGGCUUGGAGCUGGAUGGGAAGGCCUUUGAUACUCCAAUCCCAACGUCAAAACCCUCAAAUUUAAUAGGUUCGAGAGAUCUGGGAAUCUUAUUAGUUCAUUACUGGUCAGGUAUAGUUUGGUCAUACUUUCAGGAAGCUUAGGUAUAUUGGAAAUUCUCGUGCCCGAUAACCUGAAGAUUCUUAGAAAUGAUAGUUCUCCAAUCUCACUUGGAAUUUCCCCACACAAACGUCUACAACAGGUAAAAUUGAUCUCUUCAAGCUUCUCUAACAUCCCAAGGGCGCUAGGUAGCUUUUCUAAGUCGGACAUAAACAUCCUUAGUACUCUCAAAUUCUUCAUUGUCUCUAUUGAAUUAGAUAACUCUCAUAUUUUCGACCCAUAAAGAUUCAACUCAACGAGAGAUCCAAAAUUUCCAAAUGGAAGUUCACUAAUUCCGGUAUCCGACAAGUCAAGAUAUGAUAGUGAUGUUGAGCAACCAGCUAAAUUGCAUUCGCUCAGUAAUCUACAAUGUUUUGCACUAAGAGUUUCCAAUUUCUCCAUUCCUUUCCAUUCAGGAAUGUUGGUAAUAGAUGUGCCAUCAACAAGGAGUUCUGUCAAGGCUUCUAGUUCCUCUAUCUCGUCUGGCAAUGUCUGAAAUUUACUAUAAUAAUUCAAGUUUAAUAACACUAAAUGCUUUAACUUACCAAUAGACCUCUCAACUUGAACUAGUUCCACGCACCCUUCAAGAAUCAAUUGCUCUAACUUUUGAUGAGCAGAAAAUUUAGGAGUUCUAAGCAACUUUUUGCAAUCAAUCAAAUUUAGAACCUUCAAAUUCUUUGUCGUCUGUGAUGAAGAGAAGAGGUUGAUUUUGAAUCAUUUUGAGAUAUAGGACAGCAAAAUCAAUAGAGCAAAUUCAUGUUGAAAUAAUAUCAUACCUCGAGGUGGUUCCAUCCCUCCCACUCAUCAGUAAUUCCACUCCUUGAUACAUCAAGAAUCACUAGCUUCUUAAGAGAACAUGCGGUGAACUUGUGAAAGACAGGGAAGUUAUGCCAUGAGAGCCAUCUCAAAUUCGGAAGCAUGAUGCACAAGUUGGUAGAAGGAAAAUGCUGAACGUUGUUCUCAUCCAAGUCUACACAAUCCACUUGAAUAAAUCUUAAAUUAAUAGGCUUAAAGAUUCUUCCUUCUCAAUGAAGUCUUGAAAUUGAUGAUCAUAUUUGAGACGUAUUGUUUCAACAUUUUCUCUUCCCUGCCAAAGCAAAAAAAAUAAAACAAAAGCUAGCGAUCACAUAAUUGCCUAUUAAAGGCAUUCGAGUUGAGCACACUUGAGGAAUGCACAUCUUAUUUAUAAUUUAAAAAAAAUACAAUAUAAUUUACAGAUCAGCAUGUGAUCAUACUAAGCACACAAGUAAUGAAUAGGUUUAGAUAAAAGCAAAUAAGUAAAGUCAACAUGUAUAACUCGUCUCUUUGAAUAGGAAUAAUAUUGCAAAAACUUUACCUUCUUUAUUCCAAGAACAUUAAUUGCUUGCUCAUGAUCCCACACCCGACUUUGCUCCUCUGGUUUAUAAUCACCAUUCUUACAAACGAAAUCUCGUCCAAUGUCUCUUACAAUAUCAUGCAUCCAUAGUCGGUUAUGUUCUAUAAUCUUUAUUAAUGACAUCUUUUGGAGGACACAAAGAUAAAAGUCAGGUUGAAACCUACAGCUUUCCCACAUGUGACUCACAAUUCUCACAUCAAACCCAAUGAAGAAGCAACAAACAUCGAGAAAUAUUUUCCGCGCUAGUGGGUGUAAUGCCUCGAUACUAAUGUUCAAUUUUUUUUCAACUUGUUCAUCGGGAAUAGUUUCCAGCUUCUUUAAUGUGGUCUUCCAAGAUUUUUUGUCUUCCUCAGCUAAAAAAGAACCUAUGAUCUCAAGAACUAAAGGAAGACCACCGCAAAUUUUUACUGCUAUUUUCAAGAGGUUGAUGUAUUUAGCCGAAGGAUGAUCACUUUUAAAGGCAUGUAACAGUAUAAGGGAAUGAUCAAAAUUCAUUUCAAUAAAUUUGUGCUUCAUAUCAACAUGUUUGAGAACUUCCUCAUUUCUUGUGGUGAUAAUAACCUUACUUCCUCUGCAAAACCAGCGUUUAUCCAUCCCCACAAGAGCAUCCAGCUCAGUCUUUUGGUCGACAUCAUCAAUUACAAGUAAGACCAUUUUAGAGGAUAAACUCCUCUUGACCUCAGUUAUCCCUUCUGCAAUGUCAUGGAUUGGCAGACAUUUCCCUUUUCGGAGAGUAGAGAUGAGUUGAUCCUGUGAAUUCAAAAUUCCUUUAUGUCGAACGCCGAACAGGAAGCAACAGUUAUCAAAAUUAGCCGACAAUUUAGUAUAGACGAUUCUAGCAAGAGUUGUCUUUCCGACACCGCCCAUUCCAUGGAUACCAAUAAUCUUUGUUUCAGAGGUGUCUUCGCCUAUCAUUUCCAUGAUCUUGUCCACUUGAUCAUCCAUUUCAACCAAGCAAUCAGGUGCUCCCAAAUAGCUCUUUUUCAACUCAAACAAAACCUUAGAAACGACUUUGUUCUUGAACUCGCCUUUGCCUCUGAUAGUUUUGAAGCCAAAGAGCCAACUGUUAAAUUGAGAUGAACAGAACAAUAUUGAAGGUACGAACCAAUUGUGCACAAUAAUAAAUUCAAGCACAUCUUAUUAAGUCCGCAUCCCUUUAAUUUUCCAACCUUGUUGAGAGCUACCUUCCAGCUCUGAAUAGUCUUAUCAGUGUGCUUAUUCAUGUGUGACUGGAUGGUGUCACCGUAGGUUGCAGUCUGCUUACGAACCAUCCGUGGUUCAACGUCAUAGAAAAUUGGUAUGAUCUUUUGUCCCCACUUUUCCUUGCACUCCACCAUCUAAGUCAAUUCCACGAGGCACCAUUUACUAGCAGCAUAUUCUUUACAAAAGAUAGGAAUCGAGAUUUUCGACUGCACCAUUCAAAUUUUACAUAUAUUAAACCAAAAAAUAUAGAAUUCAUAUAUUUUAAUUAUGUCAAAAUUAUACACAAUAAGUUCGUAAAAAAAAGAAAAUUAGAAAAAAUAACAUUAUUAAUGUCAUAACUUUCAUACAAUACUCACCUAAUGCUAUAACUUUUUUGGGAUUGGUUAGGUAAUAUAAUUUUCAUCUGACAUUCACUGAAAUGCCAUAAUCUUUUAUUUUUUGCACUUGUUCAAAUUGUUUACCCAAGAAUGAAUGUUCCCACAAGGACCGCUGGUCUACCGCUGUCCUUGGUUCUCCACUAUUUGACGCUUCCUCUUUUCUCCAAAUUUUAAAAUUUUUCUUUUUAAUUUUUUCUUAAAAAUUGAUGACAUGGCAGCUAUAUCAAUGCCUCCAUCUUCAAGGGAAAAAAAAAUCACGUUCGUUUUUUCUAUUAGCUGAAUUGGAUGAAAUUAAUAACAAGACUUGAUUGCACGAAUUUAAUGAAUUUUAAAAUUUGAUCGUACUUUUUGCAAGGGAUAAUAACACAAAUGGUUUUUAAACUUUGACUUAAUAUGUAAUGUCAUAUUUAGAUUUGUAAUUUAUUCAAUAUGAUCUCUAAAAUAUUGAUAGAUGUUCAAUUUAGUCUUUAGAUUAAAUGUGCUAUUUUCAUAUAGUUUAACGACUAGAUUAGAUAUUUAUUAAUAGUUCAUAAAUCACAUCAAAUAAAUUAAAAUUUUUAAAAAUGACAUGACAUAUUUUGCCAGAGUUUAAAGAUCACAUUAAACAAAUUUCAAAUUCAAAGACCGGCUGCUUUUGCAUAAUCUUUUAUUUUUUGCACUUGUUCAAAUUGUUUACCCAAGAAUGAAUGUUCCCACAAGGACCGCUGGUCUACCGCUAUCCUUGGUUCUCCACUAUUUGACGCUUCCUCUUUUCUCCAAAUUUUAAAAUUUUUCUUUUUAGUUUUUUCUUAAAAUUUGAUGACAUGGCAGCUAUAUCAAUGCCUCCAUCUUCAAGGGAAAAAAAAAAUCACGUUCGUUUUUUCUAUUAGCUGAAUUGGAUGAAAUUAAUAACAAGACUUGAUUGCACGAAUUUAAUGAAUUUUAAAAUUUGAUCGUACUUUUUGCAAGGGAUAAUAACACAAAUGGUUUUUAAACUUUGACUUAAUAUGUAAUGUCAUAUUUAGAUUUGUAAUUUAUUCAAUAUGAUCUCUAAAAUAUUGAUAGAUGUUCAAUUUAGUCUUUAGAUUAAAUGUGCUAUUUUCAUAUAGUUUAACGACUAGAUUAGAUAUUUAUUAAUAGUUCAUAAAUCACAUCAAAUAAAUUAAAAUUUUUAAAAAUGACAUGACAUAUUUUGCCAGAGUUUAAAGAUCACAUUAAACAAAUUUCAAAUUCAAAGACCGGCUGCUUUUGCAUACCCGCUCACCAUGGAAGUGGCUGACACUAUAUUUCUGGUAGGCAUUCUAUCAAAAACUGCUCUGGCCUCACUAAUUCUGGAGCACUUAGAGUACAUAUCAACCAAUGCAUUUCCUAAAACAACAUCUUUCCCAAAUUUGUCACAUUUUACAACACGGGCAUGAAUUUGCAUCCCUUCCUUAAGUGCUGACGAGCUAGCUCAGGUGCUGACCACACUGGCUAAAAUAACCUCAUCUAUUUCGAACCCACAAUCCAUCAUGCUCACAAAAACCUCAAGAGCCUCGCUGGCGGGACCAUUUUGUUCAUAACACGUAAUCAAGCUGUUCCAAGAAACUAUGUUUCGAGAACUCAUUUCAUCAAAAGCCCUCUGUGCACAAGCCACGUUCCCACACAGCCGAGCACUCAGACUUCGAUAUCAAAGCCUGAAUCCGUUGGGCCAGAUGCAUAUCUGCUAACCCGGCACAUGCGCUAAGCACACUACCAAAUGAGUACUCAUUAAGCACAUAAUUCUCCCUAUGCAUCUUACCAAAACAUUGCAGGGCUUCUUCGAACCUUUCAUGCUGCGCAUAACCUGAGAGCAUCGAAUUCCCGAGCACUGGUCGGGUUCCGGCAUUGACCCGAAUAUCUUUUCCACUUCAUCAAGAGACCCCGAUCUGAUCAACCCGCCUAAGAUCGCGUUCCACGUGAAGGUAUUCUUCUCGGGCAUUCUAUCGAACACCCUGCGGGCAUCGUCGAGGCACCCGCAUCUCGCGUAGACGUCGAUGAGCCGGUUCUGGAUAAAAACCUCGGCGGAGAACGGGGUCUUGAUGAUCCGAGCGUGGACGCGGCGUGUGUUGCGCGCUGACUUGGACAGGCCGCAGCCGUCCAGGAGCUUGGUGAACGGGGUCGAGGUGGCGAAGGAGAGGUCGCCCGCCAGAGCCUUGACCCGCGCAUGCCUCGCCAUUCCAUCAUAUCAUCGUACGAGGCGAAAUCUGUCGGAGUAGAUUUGCAAAUUGAAUGCGACUGGGGGGUUUCUGUUGACCGUUAUAUGCUUCCCCCCUUCAGCCAGGCGCGGGAAUAUGAUACGAGCGCUCGUAUGAAGUGGGGCAAAGUUGCGGUGGCAGAAUGGUAAUUUAGCAUAACAAUCUAAUCUAAGCUAUAAAUUGAAAUAUGACAUAUAUUUAAUAUCUUGUUGUAAGUCACUAAAUUAUGAUUAGUCAUACUUAAAAUCUAUACUUAUUGCUUUAUCAAUUAUAAUUAUAAGUUUAAGAUAAGUCAAUUUAAUUUUAUUAAGAGACUGCCGGAUUAUUCACAAAUAAAACAUACAUUCUUGUUUAGUAAUUAUGAUCAUUCUAAUUGUAACUCAUUCUCGCCAAAAAAAAAAAAUUUGUAACUCAUCAUUAUAAAAAUGCAAAAACCAAUACUAGAGACUGAAAAUUAGAUCUAUGCCGGAUUUGAUGGGAUAGCUUUUCAUUGGCCCCCUCCCUCGAGGAAUAGCUAACCUUGAUUUAUGAAAAUAGCUAUUUCUUUUAUGCAACUAAUCUUGAUUUACUUCUUGACCAACUAACGACUAAUUGUCUCCUCAUGAAAAGAUUGAAAAAUGAUGUAGCUAUUGUGAUAUUUCUAUGUUAACUCUCUUUUGAGGUAAUGUCCGUUUUAUCUCGUCCCAUUUCAAAUCUCAUAGUUUUGUAUUUUGGCAUAUAAGCAGACUUUUUCCCAUUUUAGUAGUGUUCUAACUUGACUAUGCUUAACUUUGGGUAAAACUACCAAGAUAGGUGACUGUACUUUCAAGAGGCCACCCAUCUUGAUCUAACUUGACCACACUUAACUUUGGAGUGGAACUAUCUAUUGAUCUCAUGGGGAAGUGCUUGCUUGCACGCCAGAUGAUAAAAUUGUGAGGCUUGAAAUGGGAUGGGUGCCAACAAAUAAUAUCACGAGUGAAUUAAUCCAGAAACAUCACAGUUAUUUGUCCUCGAACAAAACAUGCAGUUGGAUUUUCGAUUAAGACGUAUCUUCUUCUAGUAAGGUCUGUCCCUUUUGUUUUGUUUUGUUUAGUGUUUUUUGCUUCUUCUUUUUUUUUGUUAAAUAUAUAAUUUAGACAUUGUCCUGUUAUGGUAAGAAAAAUCAAUUGACCUUCUAAAAUGUGCACUCCUGUGAACCUUUGCAAAAGAAGCCCAUCCGAACGCACAUCCACUCCGUCAAGGCUUUGCAACUCUUUCGGCUUUAUGGGACCAAGAACCGUCACAUCUGAGAGUUGUCUCAAGCUUUGGAAAGGUCUAUUGAUGUUCUUAUUUCCUGGCAAAGUAGGAUAUGUAAAAUGGACAAAACUCCCAGGAAGCCUUGGCAAGAACCUGAGGUUCUUAAAAAUUGAGAACAAGUUUCCUGAGCUUGCAACUCUAAGGACUCCAGACGGCAUAACCUUUCAGUCCACCGAGGAUCAUGGAGCUUCCUUAAGUCCGUGACCGUCGUAAUAAUACCUCGACACAUAUAAACGCAAGCAUCUCGGAUUUAAUAGGCACAGGAGAUCUGGAAAUGUGUACAUUGAGAAAAUUACAAGCACAGGUUAAUUCCAAGCCCAUGGCACCAUAGAAUUUUUCCCAUGACAAGAUUAAUUACUAAUUGCACCCGCUAAAAAUUUUAGAAGUAGGGCCACAACAGACCCAAAAAAGAAGAAAGAAAGUGCAGAACCGAUCGAUUACAGUAAGCUUUCACGCCUUCCAGGACAAUAGUUCGGUUUUAGCUCGACCUUGACAAGCUCAGAAGAACAACUGAUUCCCCAUGUAUGUUUUGAACUAGUUCCUAAGGAGCGAAAAUCAAUCCCCUGAUUGGUGCAGAAGUGAACUGACGCACAGGAGUUGCGAUGUGUUUCAAUGCAUGUGACCUUGUUAAGGCAAGCUAUUAAAGAUUAGAUGCAGAUGGAACAAAAUCAAUCGAGUCAGCUGCCGAGUGAGUUCAUUGGAAGGCUGUUUUUAUUGUGUAUGAAUGGUAAGUCAUGACUGAAAAUAAUGAAAACAACUCAAUCCGUUCCGAAUCUUUUCCUAAUCGAUCACUGAUUGCAUCAAAGAUUCGCAAGCGGACCCAAUUCAUGCCAAUGUGAAGAGAGAAAAUUACCAGAAAACCAAAUAAAGAUGGGGAGAAGGAAAAAGCAAGACUUUUUUCUAGAGAACAUAUUCAACUCUCGUGGAACAAAUCAGCGGGCAGGAAGACAGGGGUCGCAGUCCCUGGAGGGAUAUCUCCGCCAGGUUGGAUCGCGUCUUGUGAUGCCACUCGGGGUUGCCGUUGCAUUCCUUGAUGGCCAGUGUCUGUUGCUGCUGGUUCUGGUCGAGCUUCUCUCUUGGGACAUCACUGAUGAGGAAGGAAGAUGAAGGGAGGAGAAGGUGAGAAGGUGUUGUUUUGGGGGGGUAGGAGCAACGGGAGAAAAAAGAAAGAGAGCUUCAAAAAAGGGGGGAGAGAGAGAGAGACCUUGACGGCUUCAAGGUAAAAGAGAGGAAUCCCUAACCCUUUUAAUUCUACUGUCUCCAUAUAACUGCAUGUCGAAUAGAUGAAAUUUCCAUCCGCGGAUCUAUCCUUGGAGGCAACUCCAGUGAUUCCUCGAGCACCUUGGUCAGGUGCAACUCCAGUGAUUCCUUAAGCACCUUGAUCAGGUUAGAAAACUUCUUUGGAGGCAACUCCAGUGAUUCCUUGAGCACCUUGGUCAGGUUAGACAACUUCGCUGGCAACAGUUCUAACAACUUUUGCGAAGAUUUGCAGCAAUCAAUAUGAAGCUUCUCCAAUGAUUUUGGCCUAUGUUGAACCUCAACCAGAUGAGGUAGCUUCGCACAGCCUUCUACGGUGACAUGUUUGAUAUUCUUGACGUUUGAUGGAAACUUUUCGAGUGAUUCACAGGACAUUAAAUAAAGCUUCUCCAACGAUUCUUGCUGAUCUCCUACCUCAAUCAGUUUAGGACAUAGUGAUAUAGUAAGUACCCCCAGCUUCUUCAAGUGGGUCAGGUCGGGCAACUUCACCAGUGAAGGAAGAUGGCAAAGAUAAAGCCAUUUCAUGUUUUCCAAAUUUUCAAGGCCUUGAAUCUCUGUUAGCUGUUCACAAUUACGUACUUCCAAUUCUGAUAACUUCUUCAAAUAUGAAAGAUCUCCAGACUUUUCCAUUGACUUGCACCCACAAAUACUUAAGUAUGACAAAUGCUGGGGAAACCUAUGUAGGCAUUCUAGUUUAUUUCCAACAAGUUCAAGCUUCUCGAGCUUCGAAAAGAGAUUAAGAUCUAAAGGUAUGGAGACCAGACUAUGCCAACUCAACAGCAAGGAAGUUAGCUUUCUUAAACCUCCGAUCCAGUUGAGGCUUGGAGUUGGAUGGAACGAGAAUUCAGACUUUAAAUCCAACUUCAAAACUCUCAAAUUUAAUAGGUUAGAGAGAUCUGGGUAUUCCUUAAAUGGACCAAUUGUAAGGUGUAGAUUGGUCAUACUUUCAGGAAGCUUAGGUACAUCAGAAAUUCUUGUGUUCAGUAACAUCAAGAUCCUCAGAAAUGAUAAUCUUCCGAUCUCCCUAGGAAUUUCCCCAAGGAAAUUUCUACAGUCACGAGCAUAGAUCUCUUCAAGCUUCUCCAACAUCCCAAGGGCACUAGGUAGCCUUUUUAAGGGGGUGUGUGACACCCUUAGUACUCUCAAAUACUUCAUUUUCUCUAUUGAACUGGGUAACUCUUGAAUUUUCGACUGAGAAAGAUUCAACUCAACAAGAGAUGCAAAAUUUCCAAACGGAAGCACAGUAAUAUUUGUACCUCCCAACCUUAGAUUCAAUAUUGAUGUUAAGCAACCAGAAAAAUUGCACAUGCUCAGUGAUUCACAUGAACUUGCACUGAGAGUUUCCAAUUUCUUCAUUCCUUUCCAUUCAGGAAUUUCGGUAAUGGAUGUCCCAUCAAUAAUAAGUUCCCUUAAGGCUUCCAGUUCCUCCAUCUUGUCCGGCAAUGUCUGAAGUUUCCUACAACCUCCCAAGUUUAAUGAUACUAAAUGAUUUAACUUAUUAAUAGAGCUAUCAACUUGAACCAGUUCCGUGCACCCUUGAAGAAUCAGUUGCUCUAAAUUUUCAUGAGCAGAAAGGUCAGGAGUUCUACGCAAGUAUCUGCAUCCAGUCAAAUUUAAAACCUUCAAAUCCUCUGCCAUCUGUAAUGAAGAGAAGAAGUUAAUUCUGCAUCAUUUUGAGAUACAUGACAACAAAGUCAAUAUAGCAAAUUCAUGUUCAGAGAAUACCAUACCUUGAGGUGGUUCCAUCCAUCCCACUCAUAUGUAAUUUCACUCCAUGAUACAUCAAGAAUCACUAACUUCCUAGGGGAACAUGCAAUGAACUUGAAAAAGAUAGGAAAGUUAUGCCAUGAGAGCCAUCUCAAUUGUGGAAGCAUGAUCGGAUUCCCCCCGAACCAGUUGGUAGAAUGAAAAUUCAAAAGCAUGAUCGGAUUCCUCAAUAACCAGUUGGCAGAAUGAAAAUGCCGAAUGUUGUUCUCAUCCAAGUCUACACCAUCCACUUGAAGAAAUCUUAAAUUUGGUAGGCUUAUGGAUUCUUCCUUCUCAAUGAAGUCUUGAAAUUGAUGAUCAGAUUUGAGACUUAUUGCUUCAACAUUUUCUCUUCCCUGCCAAAGCAAAAAAAUUAAACAGAAGCUAGUGAUCACAUAAUUGCCUGUUGAAGGCAUUCAAGUUGAGCAUACUUGAGGAAUGUACAUUUUAAAUUAAUAAAAUUAAUUUACAAUAUAAUUUACAGAUAAGCAUGUGGUCCCACUAAGCACACAAGUAAUGACUCGGUUUAGAUAAAAACAAAUAAGCAAAGUCAACGUGUAUAAUUCGUUUCUUUGAAAAGGAUUAACAUUGCAAACACUUUACCUCCUUUGUUUCAAGAACAUCAGUUGCUUUCUCUUGAUCCCACACUCGACUUUGCUUCUCUGGUUUAUAAUCACCAGUCUUACGAACGAAAUCUCGCCCAAGGUCUCUUACAAUAUCAUGCAUCCACAGUCUGUUAUGUUCUGUAAUCUUUAUUAACGACAUCUUUUGGAGGACACUAAGAUAAAAGUCAGGUUGAAACCCACAGCUUUCCCACAUGUGCCUCACAAUUCUCACAUCAAACCCAACGAAGAAGCAACAAACAUCAAGAAAUAUUUUCCCCGCUAAUGGUGGUAAUGCCUUAAUACUGAUGUUCAACUUUUCUUCAACUUUUUCAUCGGGAAUAGUUUCCAGCUUCUUUAAUGUGGUCUCCCAAGAUUUUCUGUCUUCCUCAGCUAAAAGAGAACCUAUGAUCUCAAGAACCAAAGGAAGACCACUGCAGAUUUUUACCGCUUUUUUCGAGAGGCCGACGUAUUCAGCCGGAGCAUGAUCACUUUUAAAGGCAUGUUUGCUAAAUAGUAUAAGGGAACGAUCAAAAUCCAUUUCAAUAACUUGGUGCUUCAUAUCAACAUGUUUGAGAACUUCCUCAUUUCUUGUGGUGAUAAUAACCUUACUUCCUCUGCAAAACCAGCAUUUACCCAUCCCCACAAGAGCAUCCAGCUCAGUCUUUUGGUCGACAUCAUCAAUUACGAGUAAGACCUUUUUAAAGGAUAAACUCUUCUUGACCUCAGUUAUCCCUUCUGCAAUGUCAUGGAUUGGCAGACAUUUCCCUUUUCGGAGAGUAGAGAUGAGCUGAUCCUGCGAACUCAGAAUUCCUUUAUGUCGAACACCAAACAGGAAGCAACAGUCAUCAAAAUUAGCUGACAAUUUAGUAUAGACAAUUCUAGCAAGAGUUGUCUUUCCGACACCACCCAUUCCAUGGAUACCAAUAAUCUUUGUUUCAGAGGUGUCUUCACCUAUCAUUUCCAUGAUCUCGUCCACUUGAUCAUCCAUUUCAACCAAGCAAUCAAGUGCUCCCAAGUAGCUCUUUUUCAACUCGAACAAAACCUUAUCAACAACUUCUUUCAUGAACUCGCCUUUGCCUCUGAUAGUUUCGAAGGCAAAAGAAUCAAACUGUUAAGUCGAGAUGAACAGAAUAAUAUCUACGGUACAAACAAAUCGUGCACAAUAAUAAAUUCAAGUACCUCUUAUUAAGUUCGCAUCCCUUUAAUUUUCCAACCUUGUUGAGAGCUGCCUUCCAGUUCAUAGUCUUAUCAGUGUUUUCAUUUAUGUGUGACUGAAUGGCGUGACCGUAGGUUCCAGUCUGCUUACGAACCAUCCGUGGUUCAACGUCAUAGAAAAUUGGUAUGAUCUUUUGUCCCCACUUUUCCUUGCACUCCACCAUCUGGGCCAAUUCCAUGAGGCACCAUUUACUGGCAGCAUAUCCUUUAGAAAAGAUAGGAAUCAAGAUUUUCAACUGCUUAAUCGCAUGGAGAAGCUCCGGGCCAAUCUCUUCCCCAACGUGAAGCUCUUCAUUAUCUCUAAAUGUUCGUAUUCUGGCAUCAGUGAGGCUGUGGUAAAGGUAAUCAGUGAUGUCGUUGCGAGUAUCUGAUCCUCUGAAGCUCAAGAAUACAUCAUAACAAGGUUCCUUUGGCUCCUCCAUUCCUGAAUUUUCAGAGGACUUUGCUAGGACUUGAUAUGCCACCUGAAAAAUGCUUAUUAUGAAAGUGGAGUGAUGAUGAUCAUGAUUUCUCUCAGAAUUUUUUUUUUCUUUUUUUUUUAAAGUCACUAUAGAAAGACACCUUGAUGACAAAUGCAUGAGCUCCAUCUGCGGCCUUCUAGACAACAAAAUAUAUUUCCUUCCUUUAUAAAAAAUUUAGUAGAGAAGUCAAACCAUCUCAAUUCUAAAGGAAGAAAUCUCCAAAUUAUUGCAGAAUUAUGGGUUUUAAUUCACACUCCAGAUUGAUUGAAAAAAAAAAAAACAUUUCGUGCAAAGAUAAAUCACUGCCAACCUAUAUUUGUCUUAAACUCUUUCUUUAGGUGAUAAAGUAUCCCCUGAAAGGUGAUGUCGAAUGUCCUCUGCACAUAAGCGCCUAAUGUUGCUUGUUGGUUGACUAAUUAUCUUAUUAUCUGAUAAGAAAUUAUGAUCAAACCUUCCUAAUUUCGUUUAACAAAAAUAGAUUUGACAAACAACACUCAUUUAGUUGCUUCCUCAACCUUAACAGUUGCUGGUGAAGAAUUCAUUCCCCUAUGAUGAUCUCACUAGAAUAAUGAAAUCAAGAAAUUACACUAAAGCAAAUGCAACUCUCACCAUAUUGGACUAGUUUCUUAAGAUCAUAAACUGAUCCCUAAUUACAGCCAUCUCAUAGGUUAUCAAAGAACAGAUACACGGUCAUGGGUGAGCAUCAGUUAGGGUUGAAGAUAUUUUCCACACUUGCAAGUACCAGCAUAUUAAAAAAAUGGGAUUUACUCACUAAUCAACUAUGGGGUUAAUAAGAUUUCAACAGAAAAAAUAAAAGCAUGAAUGCUAUAUUACUGUUUUUUUAAAAUAAGUUGGAAAACACAGGAGUGUAGGGAUGAGAGCCGCAUUUUAUGAAAGCAGAGAGUUCUGGUUCACCACAGAGUGCAACAGUAUAGUGUAUUCAGUCCGUCUCUACUGUUAAAUACAGAGUUGAGGGUAUCAAUUUUCUGCCUAGAAGCGUUCUUACUGCUAAUCACUAGACAAUAAUGUACGAAUUUGUCAUAUCAAAGUCUCUUAAAGAUACCACCAUCACUAUUCGCACAAAAAAAAAAAAUCCCAUCAAAAAAUGAAAUCAACAGAUCCACUCUAACAAAUUUAGCUUUUAGCGCCAGCAAUCCACGCGAAAACUCAGAGAGAGAGAGAGAGAGAGAGAGAGAGAGAGAGAGAGUACGUGGGUGACGAGCUCGUAAGACUGAGCGUUGUCGAUGAUGGAACCGGACUUGCCUCUGCCUUCGCUGCCACCGCCGCCCUUCCUCCUCUUCUUCUUCUCGCCGCUCCUCUUCUUCAGCUUGUAGUCGCGAGGGCCGCCGCCGCCGCCGCCGCCGCCGCCUUUGAGGAGCUCACUCCGAGGCUCGACACUGCUCGCGUCCGCUUCAGCUUCAUGCCGUCUCUUCUUCUUCGCCACUCCCGCUCUCCGAUAUCAGAAAGUUUCGACUUUUCGACAUGGUACGAGGUCGACUGGUCAAGGGUUUAGGCGUCGAUCUUGGUGGUGGUAUUGCGUUUCGGGAUCUGAGGCCCGACACUUGCACAGAUGGAAGCAGAUGAGCAAGGUUUUAGCACCGGACUAGAGUCAGAGGCUAAAGCUAUUAGUGUUAGACGCAACUGACUGUGAUCAGUCAUGAAGUCAACUGAGAAAGAAUUGAUACUGAUCUGAGAGCCCUCUCUUGUUUCCAUCAAAUUCUGCAUCUAGUUGCCUUACAGAACAGACCCAAUUCAUUAUGAAGAAGGCAAUCAACGAGAGGAAAUUACCGGAGAUGGAGGGGGUGAAGAUGAAAGGUCCGGAUCAAAUGCUGAGAAGCAGAUAAAAGAUCCCAAAAAUAAACGCUCUUGGCUUUCGAGUUCAGCUGAAGAGAGGCAAGACAUACAUAAGAAGGUGAAUUCACCCUUCUUCGCCGUGCCCUUCCAGAAAAGUGAGGGCUUGCUAGUUGCAGGGAAAUUUCAAGCAGACCGUGAAAGAGUCAAUACGCGUUGCUGUUGACUUUCCAGGUAAACGAGUCGAGUUACUGGAAAAUUUCUCGUAGUCCGAAAACUUUUUGGCACGAAAAGCAAGAGCAUAAGAGGAUUUUCAUUGCACGUUAUUAGUUUAGAAAUCAUAUAAUUUAUAUUAAUCGAUAUUCUUUCGAUGACGAUCCUCGUCAUUGAAUUCAUGUAUCAAAUCAAAAAAUGUUGAAUUCAUGUAUGUCAGAGUUAUACACAAUGAGUUUGUAAGAUAAAAAAGUUAGAAAAAAUAAUACCAUAAAUAUUAUAACUUUCGUACAAUAUUCACUUUAGUGUUAUAAGUUUUUUGAAAUUAGUUAAGCAAUAUAAUUUUUGUUUGACACUCACUUAAAUGCCAUAAUCUUUUAUCUUUUGAUCACUUGUGCCAUGACUUCUUAAAAUUGUUCAUUCAAGAAUGAGUGUUCCCCCAAGGACCACUGGUCUACCACUGUUCUUCUUGGUACUCCAUGUUCGGCGCUUCCUCUUUUCUCCAAAUUUGUACUUUUUCUUUUUGAAUUGUUCUUAAAAUCUGCUGAAAUGGCAGCUCUAUCAAUGCCUCCAUUUUCAAGGAAAAAAAAAAUCGUGUCUGUCUUUUCUAUUAGUUAAAUUUGAUGGAGUUAAUAGCGAGAUAUGAUCGCAUCAAUUUAAUGAUUUUUAAAAUUUGAUUGUACUUUUUAAAAGUUUUAAAAUUUGAAAGCAUUUUUGCAACAUAUUUUAAGAUUUAUGGAGCAUUUAUCCUCUCUUAUGGGACAAUAACAUAAAUGGUCCUUAAACUUUAGCUCAAUAUAUAAUGUUAUUCUUAUAUAUUUUAAUUUGUUCAAUGUGAUAUCUAAAAUAUUGAUACAUGUUCAAUUUAGUCUUUAGAUUAAAUGCGUUAUUUCCAUAUAGUUUAAUGACUAGAUUGGAUAUCUAUUAAUAAUUUAUGGAUCAUAUUAAAUAAAUUAAAAAAUUUUAAAAUGACAUAACAUAUUUUAUUAGAAUUCAAUGAUCACAUUAAAUAAAUUCUAAACUUAGAGACAACAUUAGAUAUUGGACAAGAUAUAUGGAUUAUUUAUGUCAUUUUUUUCAUUUUUUUUAAAUCUAAAACUCCAGAGACUUAAGGAUAGACAAAUAAAUUCACAUAUAUUUUUUUGAUAAUUUUCUGAAAUCUGAACAAUAAUUUAAAUUUUAACAAAAAGGUAAAAAAACUACUAUUAACUUCUUUAAGUCCUAGCAAAGAGGCACUAAAUCAAUUAACUUUCGCCAUUUCUUUACGAUGUCCCUUCGCGUGGGCACCAUUUCAUGGGAGAGACGACUGGUGCAUUGACGCUCAGGAAAGUGACGAAUUGCUAGUAGUUGAAGGGAAACUUCAAGCCGACCUUGAAAAAGGGAGUCCGCGUUUUGCUUUUGACUUUUGGGGUAAUUGAGUUGAGUUCCCGGGAAAUUUCUCCAAGUCCAAAGACUCUUUGGCACGAAAGGCGGAGUACAAGAGAUUUUCAUGCGUGUUAUUAGAUUAGAAAUCAUUCCAUUUAGGCUAAUUGAUAUUCUUUUAAUGACAAUAAAACCAUUCUUUUGUAGGUGAAACCCAGGCCCAUUCAAAUUUUACAUAUACUAAACCCAGAAAUGUAGAAUUCAUAUAUUUUAAUUAAUUAAGACGAAUAAUAUGAUUAAAAUAAAAUAAGAAAAAUAGAUUAAUAUGUUGAUGCUAUUUAAUCAAGUAAAAACUAUACCAUUAUAAUAUUCUUAAUUUUGAAACAACGACAAGUAAAUUAAUUUAAAUUUCUAGUAUCGAGAUAUAAUGCUAUCAAAUAUCUAUAUUAUGAAGAAAAUGCGGUCAUAUUGCAAAUACUAUGUUAAAAAUUGGUAUCUUUUUUUCAUUACAUUCUCAAAGUUUCUUUUUUUUUUUUAAUACAAUCAAUAAAUGAGUCUUUGUUUCAUUUUGCUACCUACAUUUUUGUUAGCUUUCUUGGGAAUCCACCGAUUGAAAGUAGUGUGAGUCCUCGCUCAAUUUGAUUUUGUUAAUGCUUUGGUUCAUUUACGCAUUUAAUCUUUUUUUAUCAUACAAAAUACAAUGCAAUGGAGGGAUAUGCACAAUAUUUUUAUGCAUCAAAAUUUCAUUAAUCAUCAUCCAACUAUGUUUAUGUUUAUGUGAGCAUUUGGUAAUUGAUAUAGUAAUAGGUGUUACACUGUUUUUCUUUCACAGAAAGCAAAGGUAAUUAAUAAAAAUUAAAUUAAAUUAAACUAUAUCAAUUUGGAUUGACUUUUAAAUUUUUAUUUUUAUUUUUGCUCCAUUUAAUUUACACUGCCCACGCACUUUAACUCUAUUUCAAAGUCCCAAAACUUUCCAAAUAGUUAUAUGUUAACACGUAAAUUUGUAUUAAUUUUUUCAUAAUUUUUUGAAAUCUAAAUAAUAUUUCAACUUUUAAUAGAAAAAUAAAAUAAUUCCAAACAAAGUGGCAUUAAAGCCAUUAAUUUCUCCAUUUCAUCUCAAUAAAAUUUCAACUUUUAAUAGAAAAAUAAAAUUUAUUUUAUUUAAUUCCAAACAAAGUGGCAUUAAAGCCAUUAAUUUCUCCAUUUCUUAGGCAUGAGGCUAUUGUUCACAUCUGCCAGAAAGUAUCAUCAUAUCAGAAGAAGAGGAGCGGAUUACUAAUUACUUAUGGAGUUAAUAAAAUUUCAACAGAAAAAAAGAAGCAUGGACGCAAUAACUGUUUUUCCAGUAAAUAAGUUUGAACACAUGGCCUGUAGGGAUGAAAGCUGCAUUUCACAAAAGCUGAGAGUUCCGGUUUGCCACAGAGUGCAACAUUAUAUACUCUUUAGUUUGUCGCUUCUGUCAAAUACAGAGUUGAAGGUAUCAAUUUUCCGUCUAGGAGCGUUCUUUCUUACUGCUUAUUUACCAGACAAUAAUGCACUAAUUUGUCUCCACUGUUAAACAACUGAAAUCAACCGAUCCUAAUUCUAACUAAUUCAGCUUUGGGUGCUGGCCGGUUCCUAAAGAGUGUAAAUUCAGUCCUGAAUUACAUAAACCUCUGAGUAUAUCAACAAGCUGAUGUAUAGGAGUGGGAUUGUGUUUCAAGAUCUGAGGCCUAACUAUUGCAUAGAUGGAAGCAGAUGAACAGGGUUUACACGUGACUAGCGUUAUGCUAAAACUGUUGGUGUUAGAUACAAAUUGUAGCGAUCGAUCAUGGAGUCAACCAUGGAAAGAAUUGAUACUGAUAGGAGAGUCCCUCUAUCGUUUUCAUCAAAUUAAUGGAAAAAAGGCAAUGAAUGAGAGGAGAUUACCAAAGAUGGAGGAGUGAAGAUGAAGAGUCCGGAUCAAAUGGGAAGAAGCAGACAAAGAUCCCCCAAAUCAAUCGUUCUUGGGUUUGCGCUCCGUUGAAGAAAGACUUUUCACAAGAUGGCCCGCUGGCCCUUGCACGCAAUGCUCUUUCAGGUAGGUGAGGACUUGCAAGUUGCAGGUUUACUUAAAGCCUGUCGUUGACUUUUGAUGUAAUAGAGAUGAAGGCCGGCCGUUGACUUGCCAAUGAUUUGCCGGCGCAAACCACCAGAGUUCUAAUAGACGAGAAUUUAAUGCAUGUUAUUAGUUUGGAAAUCAUAUAAUUAUAUUGAUUGAUAUUCUUUUAAUGACGAUGAAACCGUUCUUUUGUUGUAGGUGACACCCUAGGCCCAUUUAAAUUCAACAUAAAUUGAAUCUACAAAUGUAGAAUCCAUACUUUUAAGUCUUUGAGAUGGAUUAUAUUAUUCAUAGUAAACUUAUAAAGACUAGAGUUAGGUUUUUAUGCUCUGUUUGUUUCAAGAAAAAAUAAAUAAUUUGGAAACAAUUUCUUAAAAAUGAUUACUUGUAUCACGUAAAAUAAUUAGCUAAUAAAAAAUAUUUUUAUUGUGGACAACAAUUUAUGUCUAAAUAAUUUCAUGGAUAAUAAAAAUAACUUUUGUUUAUUCAUUUUUGUAAGUGAUAUAAAUAAUUAUUUUAGCAAAAUCCUUUUCAAAUUAUCUACUUUCUGCAAAACAUGCAUACCUUUGAACUCUAAAAGUUAUAUCAUCUAGAAAUUGAUAAAGCUCCGAAAAGGUUACAAUAUAAGUGGAAGGUAAUCGACAAUCAUUUUUUAAUCGGCUAUAGAAUCUCAUUACGUUCAUUAAAAAAGAGAGUAUAUCUUGGAUCUCCCUUGGGAGCAGAGAAAUACAACGACUUCCAAAAGAGGUACUGAAAAUCCUAAUUCUAAUCUAAGUAUAAAUUGGAAAAUUACGUGAAAAACAUAAACCUUAGUCAAUAACCCUUUUGGGAAGAUGUGCAUAGCACAUCAUGCACGGCACAUGUAAGACACAUGAAAAUUGCAACGAUUGCCGAGGAAAAAUGUGUCUGAGUUGCAUAGGGUUUAAGGCUCAAAUGGGCUAAAUUUAAUAAUUCAACGAUUUAAAGAGUUCAAUUUGAAUGAAAUUCAUAAAAUCGCCUCAGUUUAAAAUUUAAUACAUUGAAAUUAUUGUGGAUCAAAUGCUAAGAAGCAGAUAAAGAUGCCAGAACCGAAGGAAGAGUUUUAUUAAAGAGUCUACUCACCUUCACGUGCCAUGCACCUGCAGGAAGGUAAGGACUUGCUACUCAUCCCAUCCGCAUUACAAUUUUACAUACGUUAAACCUAAAAUAUAGAACUCAUACAUAUUAUGUAUUUGAGAUGGAUCAUGUUAGACUUAUUCCCAAUAAAUUCAUAGACAAGAAUUAGGUUUUAAUUUCAAAAGCUGCAUUUGUACACAAAGGAAUAAAGCACCAAAAAAUUUACGAUGAGUCUUCAAAAAUAGCUACAGUUGAAAUAUUCCAGAUGAUAUAUUUAUGGUUUUGUCCCAAUUUAUUUCUCAUAUGCAGGUAACGGAAACGCUUUCAAAAUAGACAUCUCUCCAACCUAUUCAGAAGCCAUUUGAGUUUCUAAUAAAUCAACGUUUCCCUCAGCAUGGAGAGCAGAGAAAGCGUAAGUUCUAGACACAAGGUUUGCAGUACACAUGACCUCUAUGAUCUCUGGCCAAAGCGGCAUUGGAGGCAUGAGAAUCUUGCAUCGAUGUUCACUUGAAGUAAGAGGGGAGGAGUCCAUUUUGGAGGGUCGUUGUUCACAACUGGUGACUACGAGCAACGUUCCAUCACAACUCAGGGUAGAUGUCCUGUAUAUGUCGAAUUACUGAAGGAAAAUCCAUUUGGGAACGAGCUUCCAGAAUUUUGUUUCGACGCUCCGAUAAACCCACUAAACUAUCUCGACCAUAUUGCGAAAAUCUUCGCAAUAAAUGUCUGGUGGAAGGCCGAAAGCGAGGAGGCGCAGAGAUCACAUGGCACACGUGUAAAAAACAGAACCGCAAAAGAAGUUGAUAUGUCCAAGCCCCAGCCAACUCGACUCCAUACAAUUCAGGUCAUCCACUCUCUUUCCCUUUUGUCAGGGCGAAUUUGACUGAUCAAUAUUUUUCGAAGUAAAAGAGCAGUUUUGUUCUAACUAGAUCUUCGGGAGAGAUAUGACCUUUACCUAUGUAUGGAAUAAAUACGACAUCUUGCCCAUGGAAUGUUGACAAGACAUCGAAUGCAUUUUGUGCAGAUCUCAACAACCGAGAGCAGAUUCUUAUGAAGACUCUACUUGUGAUUAACUUGGAGGUAAAGGACAACCAUGAGGAGGCAGCAACUGGAGCUCAGCUUGCUUUAAAUCUUUGUCGAGAGGUCUUUGACUGGCUGUGCUUUAUGUAUUAAUGAUAGUAAGCUUAAUUUCUGUAUGCUGAGAAAUUGCUUAUUGUAAUUCCUGGUCCCCAGAUAGAAGCAGCCGAGGAGGAAUCCAUUGAUGAAAUUGUUUCUAAUUUCAGAACCAGAACAGGCGGAAAUUUUUAUUCAGCAUUUCCUUCUAUUGAUGACCGUGGUGAGGGCAAGACUCUUGCUCUGAAAGCUUUAUGAUCCAUGUCGUUGUUCUGUUAGUAUUUUGUCUGCAAAUUUAUAUGUCGAUGUUCUGUUAGUAUUUUUAUUCUGUCUGUCCAUCUACUUGCACAAUUGGUAAUAUACUUAAAUACAUUACCAGAUUUCUUCCAACGCUGUUACUGUUUGCUUUGCACGAAGCCUUCCCUAGAAAUCUUACCUUUCUAAGCCCAACGAGCCCUAUUUAAUCCAUUACACAGCUAAUCAUUUCUUUAUACCCUAUCCUGAAUUUGAUCUCUUCUUAUGUCAGGAAGAAUGAAUCAGGCUCUCCCAUGUUUUUACGCCUUUGCUUGAUCUUGGUAUUCCAUGCGAAUUGUUGGGUUUGAUGAGCACUUUCCUUGACUACUCGUUAGUGGUAGGUGAUUUUGCAACAAUAUCUCUAUCUGCAUAAUGAGAAUUGUCAUUCUCACGCUUUGAAUUUAAUUUGCUAGAGAAGCCUAUUCUUUGCUGUUAUUGCCAAGCCUGUCAUACUAAUGCGCUGCAUCUAUCCACUUUCAGAUAACACUGCAUCGAUGUGGAAAAGAAAUUCUGAGUCGAACCCUUUUACACUCACUUUAUCUCUGGAAUGUCGACGCAUGAUGAUGUAUUAGUAAUUGGAAGCAAGCCAGUCUUGCUUAGGAGUGAAAAUUCUAUUAUUUCUUGUAGUUUCAUUCUUUUUCUUUUUCUUUUUUCAUUUUAAGUUUCUUUGUACUGCAGAACUAAUUCUGCGAUGGUACUCAUGUCGAGAGAGCAGGCAGAAAAGAGAUUCUGGCGUAUUGCAUAUAAUUUCUUUGAAUGCGAUGGGUUGAAAACCGCCUCUAUUUUCAUUUUACUGUAUCGUGCAUAUGAAAAGAAAAAACAGGAGAAACGAACCAACCUGACCUGGUCAGUCAUUUGAUGAUCUGGUUCUGUAUUUUUGGCAGGGUUCACAAUUCAAUCGAUCCUAGUUAUUUGAGAUGAGUUGGUUUGUGAAAAGAAAAUUACGUAAAAAGCAGAAAGUUCUAAUUUGAGUUCAUUUAGAGAUCGUCAGUUUUCUUGCUGGCUUGUUGGUCAUUCCUAGGAUCUUGUCCUUCAACUUGCUUUCCUCACUGUUUGAAUCAAAAUUCCCUUGCGUAUUCAUUUAAAACAACAGGCUCUGAUAAUUUGUGGAAAUUACCUACUACUGACACACAAAAGUCAUCUCCAUGUUUGACUUGCACCAAGAUUAGCAGCUUCACAUCUCCAACGGCAGAAUGCUUGCUUGACCUCGGCACAAGUGUCUUUUUGGAAUCUCUCAAAUACCAGUCUCUUGAGCAGGUGAAUUCUUCUCCUAUUCUACUGUUCCGUCGAGCCGGUGAAUUUUCUUCUACUCUGCUGUUCCUCCGGGAGGACGUUGCGGUCUAUUGAUCUAUCUGUGGAAAUAAAAUGUCUCCUCUCUCUGAACCGUCAAUCUCCUGUGGGUUAAUUUGUAUAACACCAACCACACCAAUUAGCUGUGGUACGCUCUACCCUCAUGCAGAUCUGCUUCUUAUGGCCAAAUAGACUUGUGUUUGCAUCGUGUCAGCUACAACCCAAAAGUGCCAGUGAAACUCGGCCAAACAACAGUGCACAUUAGACAGAGAAAAGAGAGCUCUUCUGCUCACGCAUUUUAUCAAAUGUUACUAUGGUAUGAAUGAUGAAGAGAAAUUGAAGGAUGAUGACUCUCCAUGAACUAACAAACAGCGGCAUCAACCGGCAUUUCCAUUUCAUAAGACAUCAAGUUCGAUUCACUCAGCUCCUCAUGGGCAUUGUAGUCAUCCGUACUGGCAACAUACCCAUCUCGCUUCAUCUGUCCUAAGAGAGACUUUAACAAAGAAUAAAUAUCACCCUUCUGAGGGUGCCUCUUGUCCUUGACAAUGAAGACAUGAACUUGACCCUGAAUUUCUAUCCAGCUACAACCAGGCUGCUUGACUACUCCCCGUUGCCUCAUCAGCUUCCUCAUUCUGACAACUUUGCCCCAUUUUUUACGUUCUGCGUACAUGUUUGAAAGCAGAACAUAAGGUCUGGAGUUUGAAGGGUCGAUCUCUAAGAGCUUCUCCACUACAUACUUUCCUAGUGUUAUAUCCUUAUGAACUUUGCAGGCUGCAAGCAGUGAACCCCAAACGACAGCAUCGGAUUGCAUGGACAUUGUCUCUAUUAAGUCCUUAGCUUCACUGAGACCACCAGCUCGGCCGAGCAAAUCAACCAUGCACGUAUAAUGGUCCUUUACCGGUGCCAGAUCAUACUCCUUGACUGUCUACUUGAAAUAAUGGUGCCCCUCUUCGACCAGCCCUGCAUGGCUGCAUGCACAUAGAACCCCGAUCAUGGGGACAUGGUCUGGUCUCUCGCCAGAUACCAACAUUUUCCUGAAUAUUUCAAGCGCCUCUAUUCCAUAACCGUUCUGCACAUAUCCAACAAUUAUGGCAUUCCAUGACAUCUUGUCCCUCUCCAACAUAUUCUUAAACACCCAUAAACCAUCUUCCACAGCUCCACAUUUAACGUACAUGUCUAUAAGAGAAUUUCCAACAAAAAUAUCUGCUUCUUCUCCAGAGUGGAAGCGCAAUCCAUGCUUCAAGACAUGAGCAUGAGCCUGCUGGCCCAACUGCAAAUCAGCUAGAUUUGCACACGCAUUAAGCAAAUUUCCAAAUGUGUAGUGCGUCGGCUCAAUGGCUUCCCUCUCUGGGUAUACCCUGCAAUGAGGGCAUUCCAAAAAAUUACAUUCUUCUCCAUCAUCCCCGUGAACAUUGCUCUUGCAGUUUUGAGACUGGCUGCUUUUGCAUACCCGCUCACCAUGGAAGUGGCUGACACUAUAUUUCUGGUAGGCAUUCUAUCAAAAACUGCUCUGGCCUCACUAAUUCUGGAGCACUUAGAGUACAUAUCAACCAAUGCAUUUCCUAAAACAUCAUUCCUAAAUUUGUCACAUUUUACAACACGGGCAUGAAUUUGCAUCCCUUCCUUAAGUGCCGACAAGCUAGCGCAGGCACUGACCACACUGGCUAAAGUAACCUCAUCUAUUUCAAACCCACACUCGCUGGACCAUUUUGUUCAUAACACGUAAUCAAGCUGUUCCAAGAAACUAUGUUUCGAGAACUCAUUUCAUCAAAAGCCCUCUGUGCAUAAGCCACGUUCCCACACUUGGAGUACAUGUCGAUAAGAGCAGAGCCCAUAUGAACAUCAGACGGGCACUCGGACUUCGAUAUCAAAGCCUGAAUCUGUUGGCCCAGAUGCACAUCUGCUAACCCGGCACAUGCGCUAAGCGCACUACCAAAUGAGUACUCAUUCAGCACAUAAUUCUCCCUAUGCAUCUUACCAAAACAUUGCAGGGCUUCUUCGAACCUUUAAUGCUGCGCAUAACCUGAGAGCAUCGAAUUCCACGAGCACUGGUCGGGUUCCGGCAUUGACCCGAAUAUCUUUUCUGCUUCAUCAAGAGACCCCGAUCUGAUCAACCUGCCUAAGAUCGCGUUCCACGUGAAGGUAUUCUUCUCGGGCAUUCUAUUGAACACCCUGCAGUUGUCAUCGAGGCACCCGCAUCUCGCGUAAACGUCGAUGAGCCGGUUCUGGAUAAAAACCUCGGCGGAGAACGGGGUCUUGAUGAUCCGAGCGUGGACGCGGCGUGUGUGGCGCGCUGACUUGGACAGGCCGCAGCCGUCCAGGAGCUUGGCGAACGGGGUCGAGGUGGCGAAGGAGAGGUCGCCCGCCAGAGCCUUGACCCGCGCAUGCCUUGCCAUUCCAUCAUAUCAUCGUACGAAGCGAACUCUGUCGGAGAAGAUUCGCAUAGAUGCAAAUUGAAUGCGAUGGGGAGUUUCUGUUGACCGUUAUACGCUUCCCCCCUUCAGCCCGACGCGCGGGAAUAUGUUGAGAGCGCUCAUAUGAAGAGGGAAGGCAAAGUUGCAGUGGCAAAAUGGUAAUUUCGGCAUGACAAUAUAUUAAUUAGACUCAUAACCAUGAAUUAUAUUUUUUAUUAUGAGUAAAUCUAAGCUACAAAUUAAAAUGUGUCAUAGAUUUAAUAUCUUGUUGUAAGUCACUAAAUAAAGAUUAGUCAUAUUUAUAAUCUAUACAACUUAUUGCUUUAUCAACUAUAAUUAUAAGUUUGAUAUAGGACAAGUCAAUUUUAUAACCGAGUUAUUUAUACAUCAAACAUGAAUUCUUGUCUAGUAAUUUUGAUUAUUUUAAUUGUAACUCAUCAUCAAAAAAAUGCAAAAAGCAAUUCGAGAGAAUGAAAAUUGGAUCUAUGCCGGAUCCCCCCUCCCACGAGGAAUAGCUAACCUUGAUUUUAAGAGAAUAGCAACUUCUCUGAAGUAACUAAUCUUGAUUUACUUCUUAGCCAACUAAGGACUAAGUGUCUCAUCAUGAUUAGACUGGACAUAAGGUAGUUAUUGUGACAUUCUUGGAUUAAUCUGAGGUACUAUUCAUUUUGGUCCGUCCCAUUUCGAGUCUCAUGGUUAUGUUCUUCAAGCAUGUGGGCAAGCACUUUUUCAAUAGAUUAUUGUGAUAUUUUUGGAUUAAUUCACUUGAAAUAUUAUCCACUUUUACCCAUCUCAUUCCGAAUCUCAUGAUUUUGUCUUUGGGCCAUACGAGCAUACACUUUCUAAGAAGGUAACCCAUGUUAACAAUAUUUUAGUCUAAGCACGCUCAACUUUGGAGUGGAAAUUACCAAAUAGGUGAAGUGCCUACCCGUAAGCUAAAGGAAAAAACCGUUAGGCUUAGAAUGAGACAAGUUAAAGUAGAUAAAAUCUCAAGAGAGUUAAUGUAGAAACUAUCACAUCAUUCUUCCUCGAAUAAAACGCACGGUUGGAUUUUCCAUUAAGAUGCAUGUUGUUCAAGUAAGGUCUAUCCCUUUUGUUUUGUUUUGUUUUGUUUUGUUUUGCUUUGCUCUACUCUUUUUUUUCUUUUUUUUCAAAUGAAUAAUUUGGACAUCGUCAUGUUUUGGUAAGAAAAAUCAAUUAACCUUCUAAAGUGUGCGUUCAUGUGAGCCCUUGCGAGGGAGAGCUUCAUGAUAAGAAAUGAAGCCCAUCUGAACUCACAUCCUACUCUUCAAGGCUUUGCAACUCUUUCGGCUUUAUGCGACCAAGAACCGUCACAUCUGAGAGUCAUCUCAGGCUUUAGAAAGGUCUAUUGAUGUUCUUAUUUCCUGGCGAAGUAGGAUAUGUAAGACGGACAAAACUCCUGGGAAGCCUAGGCAAGAACCCGAGGUUCUUAAAAAUCGAGAACAAGUUUCCUGAGCUUGCAACUCCAAGGACUCCAGAUGGCGUAACUUGUCAAUCCACCGAGGAUCAUGGAGCUUCCUUAAGGCCACACCUAUCGUAAGAAUACCUCGACACAUAUAAAUGCAAGCUUCUUGGAUUAAAUUGGUACGGGAGAUCUGGAAAUGCGUACAUUGAGAAAAUUACAAGCACAGAUUAAUUCCAAGCCCAUGGCACUGUAGAUUCUUGCCCCCAAAGAUUCAUACGUCUCUACUUCUACGACAAGAACUUAAAUCCCAACUGAUAAUUUCAAUUAUUGAAACUUGAAACGCAGUCAUUAAUCAUUCAAAAGCUCUGUAGAAAUCUGUCUUAAGUUAUGAAAACUAAAGGACCUUUAUGACCAUUGCAAAUGAUCAUUAACUAGGGAGGGUUAUGUUCAUGCUAGACAAGAUGUGUUGCCCCUACUUCUUCAUUUCCUCAGUGUGGAAUUUUUCAUCGGAAGUCUGUGACAAUUCUGUGAAUAUGGUUGCUGAUGUCUAAUUGAAUUCGAGACACUGAAUGCAACACAUUGAACAUAAUCUCAGUGAAUGAAUUCUGGACCAAGUCAUCUCGAAUCCUCGAUAAAUUUCUCCCAUGACGAGAUUAAUUACUAAUUGCACCCGCUAAAAUUUUUAGAAGUAAGCAGGACCACAACAGACCAAAAAAAGAAGAAAAAAAUUGCAGAACCAAUUGAUUAUAGUAAGUUUUCAUGCUUCCGAGGACAAUAUUUUGAUUUUAGCUAGAACUUGAUAAGCUCGGAAGAAGAAUUGAGUCCCAAUCGACUAUCUUGCAUAAGAUAAAUAAAAUCAGAUAAAUCCACCCCCCCAGGAGCGAAAAUCGAUCCCUCAAUUGGUGCAGAAGUGAACUGACGCACGGGAGUUGCAACGUGUUUCAAUAGAAUGUGAUUUGGUUAAGGCUACAGCUAUUAAAGAUUAGAUGCAGUAGUUACGGAAGAAAAUCAAUCGAGUCAGCUCCCCAGUGAAUUCAUCAAAAGCUGUUUUCAUUGCGUAUGAAUGACAAGUCAUGACUGAAAAUAAUAAAAACCAACUCAAUCCCUUCCAAAUCUUUUCCUAAUCCGUCACUGAUUGCAUCAAAGAUUCGCACGCGGACCCAAUCCAUGCAAAUGAGAAGAGAAAAUUACCAGAAAAUGAAGACGAGUGAAGAUGAAGAAAACCAAAUGAAGAUGCAGAGCAGGAAGAACCCUCGUUGGCCUGAGUCAGCUGCAACCAAAAUGGAAAAGGAAGACCACAAUCUGUUAACCCCUCGCGGAACAGAUCGGCGGUUACGAAGACGUGGUCGCAGUCCCCGUAGGGAGAUCUCCGCCAGGCCGUAUCGCGUCUCGUGCUUCCGCUCAGGGUCGCCGUCGCUGCUGGCUCUGGGCGAGCUUAUCGCUCGGGUUGUCGCUGAUGACGGAGCAGAAAGAAUGUGAGAAGANNNNNNNNNNNNNNNNNNNNNNNNNNNNNNNNNNNNNNNNNNNNNNNNNNNNNNNNNNNNNNNNNNNNNNNNNNNNNNNNNNNNNNNNNNNNNNNNNNNNGGGGGGGGGGGAGAGAGAGAGAGAGCAACGGGAGAAAAAACGAAACAAAAAAACAGAGAGAGUUGAAAUUUCACAAGAGUGGGUCCCACCUACACCUAUACGCACCAUUUCGAGAAAAUAUUCCUCAUACUCUAGUAGGUAAUCUCUUCCCCGUGAUUUCCUGUCCGGUGGUAUUCUUAUCUUAAAAAAAGCGAAGGGUCCUCUCACUUUUUUCAAAUCUCCAUACUCAUCAGAUUCCAGAAUCUCCUCCAAUCUCUCACAUUCUUUUAUCGCCAAUUUCUCUAGCUUCUUGAAGCUUGAAGGCUCCGAAAACUUUCGCAGGGACCUGCAGCCUUCAAUAGAAAGCCUCUUCAGUGAUUCUAGCCUACCUCGAAUCUCAAUCAAACGAGGACAACAACCUAAAACAAGAUCAACAAGCUCCUUGGCAUUGGUCAGGUCAGGAAACCUCUCUAGCAACGGAAGAUUCCUCACACAUAAGUAACUCAAGUUUUCCGAAUCUUCCAGGCCUUGAAUCUCAUUGAGCUUCAAACAAUGACUUAUCACUAAUACUUCUAUAUGCUUGAAGGUUAAUGGAUCAGGCAGCUUUUCGAGUGAUUCACAGUGCCAUAAAUUGAGAAGCUUCAAUGAAUCUGGCCCACAUUGAACCUCAACUAGUUUAGGACACUUCCUUAUAUAAAGUCCCCAUAACUUCUUCAAGCUGGUCAGGUUGAGCAACUUCACCAGCGAUGGAAGACCAACAAGACGAAGGCAUGCCAAGUUUUUCAAAUGUUGGAGGCCUUGAAUCUCCAUUAGUUGUCUACAGCAAUGGAAUUCCAAUGUUGAUAACUUCUCCAAAUACGAAAGAUUUAUCGACUUUUCCAUUAACCCACGCCCAUGAAUACUGAAGUAUGACAAAUUUUGGGGAAGCUUAGGUAAGUAUUCUAGGUUAUCUACAAUGAGGAAAAGCAUCCUGAGCUUCGAAAGGAGAUUAAAAUCUGAAGGUAGGGAGAUCAGACCAUCAUAACGCAACCACAAGGUUUGUAGCUUUCUUAAUCCUACGAUCCAAUUGAGGCUUGGAGCUAGAAGGGAAGGAGUUUGACACUCUAUAUCCAACCUCAAUUCUCUCAAAUUUAAUAGGUUCGAGAGGUCUGGACAUCUCAUUUGUAGAUUAUGGUACAAGUAUAUACUGGUCAUACUUUCAGGAAGCUUAGGUACAUCGGAAAUUCUCGUGCCCGUUAAUCUCAAGAUUCUCAAAAAUGAUAGUCUUCCAAUGUCACUUGGAAUUUCCCCACACAAAUAUUUACAGUCGUCAGCUUCAAUCUCUUCAAGCUUCUCCAACAUCCCGAGGGCACUAGGUAGCUUUUCUAAGAUAGCGCCAGAGAUUCUUAGUACUCUCAAAUUCUUCAUUGUCUCUAUUGAAUUGGGUAACUCUCCUAUGCUCGACCGAGAAAGAUUCAACUCAAUGAGAGAACCAAAAUUCCCAAUUGAAAAUUCACUAAUAUUUGUACCUGACAAGCGAAGAUAUAACAGUGAUGUUGAGCAACUAGCUAAAUUGCAUUCACUCAGUAAUCCACAUGAACUUGCACUGAGAGUUUCCAAUUUCUUCAUUCCUUUCCAUUCAGGAAUUUUGGUAAUCGAUGUCUCGUCAAGGAGAAGUUCUGUCAAGGCUUCCAAUCCCUCCAUCUCAUCCGGCAAUGUAUGAAGUUUCGUACAACCUUCCAAGUUAAAAAACACUAACUGCUUUAACUUACCAAUAGACCUAUCAACUUGAACCAAUUCCUUGCACCCUUGAAGAAUCAGUUGCUCUAAAUUUUCAUGAGCAGAAACGUUAGGAGUUUUAUGCAAGUUUCUGCAUUUAGUCAAAUUUAGAACUUUCAAAUUCUUUGCCACCUGUAAUGAAGAGAAGAGGUUAAUUCUAGAUCAUUUUGAGAUACGGGACAAUAAAGUUAAUAUACCAAAUUCAUGUUGAAAUAAUACCAUACCUUGAGGUGGUUCCAUCCCUCCCAAUCAUUUGUAAUUUGACUUCGUGAUAGAUCAAGAAUCACUAUCUUUUCAAGGGAAAAUGUGGUCAACUGGAAAAAGUUGGGAAACUCAUGCCAUGAGAGAUAUCUCAAAUUCGGAAGGAUAAGCAGAUUUUUCCGGAGCCGCUUGGUUGAAGGACAAUGCUGAACAAAUUUAUGCCAUGAGAGCCAUCUCAACUUUGGAAGGUUAGAUAGAUUCCUUUGGAACCAAUUGGUUAAAGAAAAAUGCUGGACAUUUUUCAUAUCCAAGUCUCCACAAUCCACUUGAAGAAACCUUAAAUUUGAUAGGCUUUCAGAUUCUUCCUUCUUAAAGAAGCGUUGCGAUCGAUGAUCAAACUUGAGACAUAUUGCUUCGACGUUUUCUGUUCCCUGUCAAAGCAAAAAAAAAAAAUUAAACAGAAGCUAGUGAUCACAUAAUUGCCUGUCGAAGGGAUUCGAAUUGAACAUACUUCAUUAAUGUGCAUUUUAUUCAUACUUUCAAAUUGAUUUAUAAUAUGAUUUACAGAUGAGCAUGUCAUCAUGGUAAGCAAAACAAGUAACGACUAGGUUCAGAUAAAAGUAAAUAGCCAAAACCAACAUGUAUAACUCGUCUCUUUGAAUAGGAAUAACAUGGCAUAAACUCUACCUUUGCUAUAAGAACAUCAUUUGCUUGCCCAUGAUCCCACACGCGACUUUGCUUCUCUGGUCUAAAUGUACCAAUCUGACGAAUGAAAUUUCGCCCAAGGUCUCUUAACAAAUCAUGCAUCCACAAUUGGUCACGUUUUGUAAUCUUUAUUAACGACAUCUGUUGGAGGACAUCAAGAUAAUAGUUAGGUAAAAACCCACAGCUUUUCCACAUGUGCCUCACAAUUUUCACAUCAAACCCAAUGAAGAAGCAACAAAUAUCGAGAAAUAUUUCCUUCGCAUGUGGUUGUAAUGCAUUGAUACUAAUGUUCAACUUUUCUUCAACCUUUUCAUCGGGAAUAGUUUCCAGCUUCUCUAAUGUGGUCUCCCAAAAUUUUCUGUCUUUUCCAGCUAGAUAUGAACCAAUGAUCUCAAGAGCCAAAGGAAGAUGACCACAGACUUUUACUGCUUUUUCAGGGAGAGGGGCGUAUUCUGCUGGAGGAUGAUCACUUUGAAACGCAUGUUUGCUGAAUAGUUGAAGAGAAUGGUCAAAAUCCAUGCCAAUUAGUUCGUGCUUCAACUCAACAUCUUUGAGAACUUCUUUGUUUCUUGUGGUAAUAAUAACCUUACUUCCUCUGCCGAACGAGCAUCUGCCCAUCCCCACAAGAGCAUCCAACUUAGUCUUUUGGUCGACAUCAUCAAGUAGAAGUAUGACCCUUUUAGAGGAUAACAAGUCCUUGAUCACUUUUUUCCCUUCGUCGAUAUCAUUGAUGGUCGGCCGUUUCUUUCCUAGGACACGAGAGGAGUUGAUUCUGCAAAUUUUCAAUUUUCCUAUCUCCAACGUUGGACAGGUAGCAACAUUUAGUGGAAUCAGUGGUCCGUUCACCUAUCACCUCCAUGAUUCUGUCUACUUGAUCGUCCAUUUGCUCCCAGGAAUUAGACCGGUUGUAAUGUUUAGUGGAAUCAGACAACAGUUUGUUAUAGACAAUUUUUGCAAGAGUUGUCUUUCCCACACCACCCAUACCAUGGAUACCAACAAUCUUUGUUUGAGUGGUCUGCUCACCUAUUAAUUCCAUGAUUUUGUCCACGUGAUCAUCCAUUUCAACCAAGAAAUCAGGUACUGCCAAGCAGUUCUUUUUCAAUUUGAUCAAAACCUUCUGAACAACUUCGUUCGUGAACUCGCCUUUGCCUCUGAUAGUUUUGAAGGAAAAGAACCAAACUGUUAAAUUGAGAUGAACAGAAAAAUAUCUAAGGUACAAACAAACCAUGCACAAUAAUAAAUUCAAGUACCUCUCCUUGAGUUCCCAUCCCUUUAACGCUCCAACCUUGUUAAGAGCUGCCUUCCAGUUUCGAAUAGUCUCAUCGGUGUACCGCUGCGUAUUUAUGUGUGACCAAAUGGCUUCACCGUAAGUUGCAGUUUGGUUACGAACCUCGGAUGGUGCAACGUCAUAGAAAAUUGGCAUGAUCUUUUGUCCCCACUUUUCCUUGCACUCCACCAUCUGGACCAACUCCAUGAGGCACCAUUUACUGGCAGCAUAUCUUUUAGAAAAGAUAGGAAUCGAGAUUUUAGAUUGCUUAAUCGCUUGGAGAAGCUCCAGCCCAAUCUCUUCCCCAACGCGAAGCUCUUCAUCAUCUCUAUAUGCCCGUAUUCCAACAUCAAUAAGGUUGUUGUAAAGGAUAUCAGUGAUGUCGUGGCGAGUAUCCGAUCCCCUAAAGCUCAAGAAUACGUCAUAAUAAGGUUCCACUGGCUUCUCCAUUUUCUGAAUUUUCAGAGGACUUGCAACAACUCAAUAUCGCACCUAGAAAAACUUUUAUUAUGAAAGUGGGGUGAUGAUUAUCAUGAUUUCUCUCAGAAAUUCUUCUGUUUGAAGUCAUUCUAUAAAGAAACCUCGAUGACAAAUGCACGAGCUCUUUCUGGAAUUGCACUGGACACCAAACUAUGUACAAUUAUUUUAUUAAAAAUAUAGUAGAGAAGUUGAUCCAUCUCAAUACUAAAGGAAGAAAUCUCCAAAUUAUUGUGAAUUUAUGGGUUUCAAUACACACUUGAAAUUGAUUGGUAAAAGGAAACUUUUGAGAAGAUAAAUCACUGUCGACUUAUUUUUGACUUGAAUUUUUAAUUAUGAGACAAAAUUUUUCUUAAAGGGUAACAUCGAAUAUCCUCUGCAUAUAAGUGCCUGCUGUGGCUUGUAGGUUGACUAAUUAUCUUAUUAUCUCAUAAGAAGUUAAGCCGAAACCGUACUCUUUUAGUUUUACCAAAAUCGAUUUGACAAGAACAUUUCACAACAGUCAAUUAGUUGCUCACUUGACCAUGAUGAGCACAGGCAAAGAAUCGCAUUCCCCUAUGACCAUCUCAUUUGAAAAAUGAAAUCAAGAAAUUACUCUGCAGCUAAUUCAACCCCCAACAUCAGACUAGUUCUGAAAAGCAUAAGCCGAUCCCCGAUUACAGCCAUCUCUUAGGUUCUUAACAAACAGAUACAGGGUAAGGGGGGAGCAUUAGCUAGGCAUGAGGCUUUUAUUCACUUCUGUCAGACAGUAUCAGCAUAUCAUAGAAAGAGGAGUGGAUUACUAAUCACUUGUGGAGUUGAUAAAACUUGAACAGAAAAAAGAAGCAUGAAUGCUAUAAGUAUUUUUCCAGCAAAAUAAGUUUGAACACACAAGAGUGCAGGAACGAGAGCCGCAUUUUAGAGAAGCUGAGAGUUCUGGUUCACCACAGAGUGCAACAUUAUAGUCACUCCAGGGUUUACCCGCCAGCUACCGGCUGACGGGGUUCCCUGGGUAUCAAAAAAAAAAACAUUAUAGUCUCUUCAGUGUGCCUCUUCUGUUAAAUACAGUGUUGAAGGUAUCAAUUUUCUGUCUAGGAGUGUUCUUGCUGCUAAUAACCAGACAAUAGUGUACUAGUUUGUUGUAUCGAAGUCUCUUAGAGACACCGGUAUCUCUGGCCGCACAAGAAAAAUCCCAUUAAACAAAUCUAAUCAACCGAUUCCACUCAAAUCUAGUUCAGAGCGCCAGCCCAGUUCCUAACAAGCGAAAUUCAAUCCCUAAUUACAAAACCAACAAGCUGAUGCAUAGAAGUGGCAUUGUGUUUCAAGGUCUGAAGCCUGACAGUUGCAAAGAUGCAGAUGAGCAGGGUUUAAGCAUUUGACCAGAGUAAGAGGCUAAAGCUGUUAGUGGUAGACGCAACUAGUAGUGAUCAAUCAUGGAGUCAACUGAAGAAAGAAUCGAUGCUGAUCCGAGAGUCCCUCUCUUGUUUCCAUCAAAUUCUGCACCUAAUUGCAUUACAGCACAGACCAAAUUCUUAAAAAAGAAGGCAAUAAAAGAGAGGAAAUUACCGGAGAUGGAGGGGGUGAAGAUGAAGAGUCCGGAUCAAAUGCUGAGAAGCAGAUAAAGAUCCCAAGAAUAAUCGUUCUUGGCUUUCGAGAUCGGCGGAAGAGAGACCAAGACUUCUAUGAGACGGUGAAUUCACCCUCCCUCGCCGUGCCCUUCCAGGAAAGUGAGGGCUUGCCAGUUGCAGGGAAACUUCAAGCCGACCCCGAAAAAGUGAGUGCGUGGUGCGUUUGACUUUUGAGGUAAUCGAGUUGAGUUUCUGGGAAAUUUCUGAAGUCCAAAGAUUCUUUGGCACGAAAAGCGAGAGCGCAAGAGAUUUUCAUUGCAUAUUAUUAGUUUAAAAAUCAUUCAGUUUAUACUAAUUGAUUUUCUCUUAAUGACGAUGAAACCCUUCUUGUAUAGGUGAACCCCAAGCCUGAUCAAAUUUUACAUAUACUAAACCUAAAAUUUAGAAUUCAUAUAUUUUAAGUAAUUAAGUUAGAUUAUGCCAAAGUUAUUUACAGUGAAUUGGGGAAAAUAAUACCACAAACGUCAUAACUUUCUCACAAUACUCAUUUUUUUUUUAAGCAAGCUCACAAUACUCAUUUGGGGAAAAGUGCCAAAAAAGUCCUAAACCUUUUGGGUUUGUGCCGAUUUAGUCCUAAACCUUUUUUUGGUGCCGAUUUAGUCCUAAACCUUUUUACGUUGUGCCAAUUAAGUCAUUUCCGACCAAUUUUGGCCGGAUUUUGCUGACUGGACGUCGGCCGGCUGACGUGGCCUGAUCGGCACUGACGUGUAUAAUUUUUAAUAAUAUUUUAAUAUUUUUGAAUAUUUUUUAUUUUAUUUUUUCUCUUUUUAUUUUUAUUUUUAUUCUUUUCUUUAUUCUUUUUCUUUUUUUCUUUUUCUUUUUUUCUUUUUCUUUUUUCUUCUCAUCUUCUUCCUCCAGCCGGUCGCCGGAGCUCGGCGACCGGCCAGAGGCGACGGCCGGCAAGGUCGACCUCGCCGGCCACCUCGCCAGUGGCCGCGAGGGCAGCCUCGCGCCGGGCGGGCAAGGCUGCCCUCGCGGCCUAGGUGGCGAGGCUCGCCCUNNNNNNNNNNNNNNNNNNNNNNNNNNNNNNNNNNNNNNNNNNNNNNNNNNNNNNNNNNNNNNNNNNNNNNNNNNNNNNNNNNNNNNNNNNNNNNNNNNNNUCCAAGGCCGGAGCCGCGCGACCGAAGAAACCCCGAGCUCCCGUAAACCCUAGAGACGACGACGACGACGAGCGGAGGAGGGAGGAAAUUUCUAGGGCGAGAUUGGGAUCGGAGAACGGAGCCGGGGAGGAGUCCAGCUGGCCUUGCGCCGAGCUAGCGGGGCUCGACCCUCGCCGGCCAUGAGCGAGGCUCGACCCUCGCCAGAUCCGGCGAGGGCGAGCCUCGCCCGCCUGGCGCGAGGCCGCCCUCGCGGCCACUGGCGAGGUGGCUGUCGAGGUCGACCUCGCCGGCCGUCGCCUCUGGCCAGUCGCCGAGCUCCGGCGACCGGCUAGAGGAAGAAGAUGAGAAGAAAAAAGAAAAAAAUAAAAUUAAAAUUAAAAAUUAAAAAAAUAUUAAAAUAUUAUUAAAAAUUGUACACGUCAGCGCCGAUCAGGCCAUGUCAGCCGGCCAGCGUCCAGUCAACAAAAUCCGGCCAAAAUUGGUCGAAAAAGACUGAAUUGGCACAACAUAAAAAGGUUUAGGACUAAAUCGGCACCAAAAAAAGGUUUAGGACUUUUUUGGCACUUUUCCCUACUCAUUUGAGUAUUAUAAUUUUAUUUGGAUUGUUGGAGUGAUAUAACUUGGGAAAAAUCCACAAAAAACCCCCAACUUUACCUAAAGUGAUAAAUUUAUCCUAAAUUUUUUUUUUCUGUAGCAUGAAAAACCCCGAAAUUUAUUAACCGUGACAUAUCUACCCUGAACUUUCAUUUGUGACACAAAAAACCCUAAAUUUUCAUUUGUGUGACAUAUUUACCAUAAAUUAUAAGAGCAUUCUGGUUUUAAAAGCUUUUUUCUUUUUCUUCCCUCCACCUGGCAAGGGCGGCCCUCGCAAGACGCUGGAGAGGGAGGCCCUUGCCUGAUGCCAAUGAGGGCCACCCUUGCUUGCGUUGGGCGAGGGGUGCCCUCGCCAAACCCUCGCCAGAUUUGGCGAGGGAGGCCCUCACCCGACGUCGAUGAGGGCCGCCCUCACCCGACACCAGUGAGGGCAGCCCUCACUGACGCCGGCUUCCCUCCGCCGGGACCGAUAGAGAAAAGAAGAAGAAAAAAAUAGAAAGUAUAAGACAAACAUGUCCUUAAUGGGGUAAAUGUGUCACAAUUUGCAAAGUUUGAGGUUUUUCGUGUCAAAAAAAAGUUUGGGUAAAUUUGUCAUUUUAAGCAAAGUUUAGGGUUUUUGGUGGUCUUUUCCCAUGUAGCUUUUGUUCGGGACUCACUUAAGCACUCUAACUUGAUUUUUUAUUACUUGAGUGUUAUAUAACAUUUUAAUCCAUCGCUUAUGCCAUAACUUUUUAAAAUCGUUCACCUAGAUACUGAAACUCAUAUUUGUACUUAAAUUUUCUAAAAGUUGUAUCACUUUCGCAAUCAAUUAAAAGUCAUGAUACUCAAGCGAACAUUUUCUUAGAAUAUUCAAGACUCAAAUAAUCGAAAAAAAAAAUAGUUAUAACAAUUAGGAAAAUGACGCAUAAAAAUUAUAGCACCUAUAAUAUUAUCAUCUCUCAAAAGCUGCAUACGGCCAAAAAGGAAUAAAGCACCAAAAAUAUUUUAUGUUUAAUCACAAUAGUGUGUUUGGUCAGCACUUAGUAGGUUGGGUAGCCACCCGACCUUAUAUGUUGUCGGAAUAUUAGGGGUGAAAUGGUGACGUCAAUAUCCGCACUACAAGUCAUCCUGAAACUUAUUUUUUACCAAGGAAACUUUUAAGAAAAAUCUAGCCAUCCUACGGUCCAAUCAUUGGAAAUUAUGACCGGCUAUAGAUAUCACGAAAUUAUAAGUAAAUCACGAACUUCAAAAUAUUAGUCAACUUAACUUAUAUUUAUAAAUUAUUUAUGGUUAAACAUAAAAUUAAUAAUAUGUUUAUAUGCAUCAAUGCUGAUCAAUCAACAAAAGAGUUAUUCCAUUGUUUUUAAACAAUGACUAGGAAAUUAAUUUAAAUUGCUAGCACAAUAUUAUACUAUAGAUAUCUAAAUCUAAAGUGAAUGCAAUCAUAUUGUAAUAUCUAUAUUUAAUAUUGAUAUUUUUAUUACAUUUUAUUCUCAAAUUGUUUUUCAUAAAAUCUCUUAUUCGUUUCAUUGCCUACAUCUAUGUCAGCUCUUACAUUAAUUUAUCAAUGAAAGUAAUGAGAUUUAAUGGCUUAAUUCAUUUACUCAUUAUUUCCCUUUUGUCGUACCAAAGACGAUGUGAGGGAGUGAAAAUCACAAUAUUUCUAUGCAUUAUAAUUAAUUAAUCCUCGUCCAAUUACUUUUCUUUUUGGAUCACCAUUUGGUAAUUGAUACGGUAGUAGUUAGUGCACUAUUUUUUUCUUUUACAGAAAGCCAAUCUUUCAGCUUCUCAGUAUUUUUUUUGGUCGGUCUUAAGCUUCUCAAUAUUGUUCAUGAACAAACAUGUUGGCUUCUAGAAGCUGGAAUGGUCGAGUAGCUUUUUCGACCCAGUCAACAUGAGGCAUCUCCAAAUUGUUUUGCUCUGCCUUGAAUCUCAACCAGUUUAGCACAACUCCAUGGGAGAAGUUUAGGACAACGUCUUCAGUGAUGGCAGACCUGCAAGCAUUAGCAAUAGUAUACAAUCCCCUGCAUCAAAAUUGUUUAGUGGUUUUUUUAAUUCUAGAAUUUCUAUCAACUCAAUUCGAUAGAGAUGAUGCUGUCAUUUUGCCUAAUAUAGUAUUGAGGAUCAUAUCGCAGCCAUGUCGAAAGGUAUCAAGUAGUACUCAUGGUGAAGUUCUUAGAUCAAAUCAGCUGAGACAAACUAAAUCUAAGGCAAGGAAAAAAGAGCUAGUGGAAAGUUUAGUUAUCUAAUUUUCUGUCAAUUUUAUCCCUCAAAAGUUUGUGUGCUUUGGAAUCUCUAGUUUCUUACAGCACUUGGGAAGUUUGCAAUUCAAUUUUUACUCCCUCACUCUCACAACCGCUAUAGGAAAGAAUACGAACUGUGGGGAGGAAGAAUUCGCAUCUGAAACAUUGACAGUCUGCACCUGAGGCAAUGGUAGGAACAGAAGAUCCACAGAAGAAGCAAUACGAAGAAAAACCUUCAACGUUGGAAGCUUAGCUUGGAUACAAUAGUAACACAAUUGAGAGAAGAAAUGUUUAUACCAUAUUUUCUGAUUGUUACAUGUGUAUAUGGAGCUUGCCACAUAUAGAGUUUUUGAGUUACUGGCCAACCACUGAAAUCAGGUGCGCAACCAACGUUUACAUUCUACCAUUAACCAAACUCAGAACAUAAAAGUAUCCUAACAACAACAAAAGAUGCUCAGACAAGUAGGAUUUCGCAAGAUCGGUUUGCAUCUUUUCCUUCAAGUCCACCACCAUCAGAACUCAGAGAAUCUUCUACCUCCUCACGCUUGUGUAUAUAAAAGAUUUUAGCUUCUUGAAGCUUGAUGGAUCUGGUAACUUCUCCAAAGAUUUAAAAGAACCUAUCCAAAGUUGCCUCCAACGAUUUUAGUCUGCCUUCGAUCUCAACCACCCUAGGACAUCACUGCAGAGAAAAUUUCUGGAGCUUCUUUAAGUUGGUCGGGACAGGCAACUUGUCCAUAGAUGGAACUCCUCCAAGCUUUAAGGCACUCAGGUUCUCCAAAACUUGGAGGCCUCUGAACUCUCCCACUUUAAAGCAAUGAGCAACUUCCAAAUCUGACAGUGCCUUCAAAUUUGAAGGGUCUAUUGAUGUUUUUAUUUCCCUGCAUGAUUCGGUAUCUAAGCACAGCAAAUUUGGGGGAAGGCCAGGUCGGCAUUGCAGCUUCUUGGAGAGGACCAUUUCCGGUUCCUUGAGCUGUGAAAGAAGAAUGAUGUGUGAAGAUGGGUGAUGAAAUAAUGAGAUUCCAACAGCAAGGAUUCCAGCUUCCCUAACCUUCUAAGCUACGAAGGACUUGGAGAUUCAAUGAAUUUAGAAGCAUCAUGGAAAUUGUCAAAACCUGAAUGUUACAUACAAUUUGAAUAUCAAAUUAAUAAAUAACUUAACAUCAAAUGAAUGUCUACAAUGAGAUUCUAACAGCAAGGAUUCCAGCUUCCCUAACCCUGUACAGAAGAUCCACCUUAAAAAGAUAUGUAGAUGUGCAAAUCUAAACGUCUCUACUUCUAAAAUGGGAGGCCUACUCACUACUCGUCGACCUGAGAACACAAUAAUAACAAUUGGCAAAUAAGGUCACAUAUCAUUUAUAUGACCAAAUCUCAUCAUGCGUAGAUAUCAGUAGAUCAUCGAUAUACACAAGUAAAUAUUUAUUCUCUACUCGUUAAUAGCCACGACUCAUCUCGACUAAAUCAAUGUACAGCUGCUUAUUUAUGUGUGACUUAAUGGCCUCACCGUAAGUUGCAGUCUGCUUACGCACCACCCAUGGUUCAAUGCCAUAGAAAAUUGGUAUGAUUUUUUGUCCCCACUUUUCCUUGCACUCCACCAUCUGGACCAAUUUCAUGAGGCACCAUUUACUAGCAGCAUAUCCUUCAGAAAAUAUAGGAAUCGAGAUUUUCGACUGCUUAAUCGCUUGAAGAAGCUCCAGGCCAAUUUCUUCCCCAAUGCAAAGCUCUUCAUCAUCUCUGUAUGCUCAUAUUCUGGCAUCAAUGAGGCCGUUGUAAAGGACAUCAGUGAUGCCAUGGCGAGUAUCUGGUCCUCUGAAGCUCAAGAAUACUUCAUAAUAAGGUUCCACUGGCUUUUCCAUUUCCUGAAUUUUCGAAGGACUUGCAACGGCUUGAUAUCCCACCCGAAAAACAUUUACUAUGAAAGUGGGGUGAUGAUUAUCAUGAUUUCUCUCAGAAACUCUUCUGUUUUAAGUCAUUCUAAAAAGCAAUCUCGGUGACAAAUGCAUGAAAUCCUUCUGGCAUUGCACUAGACACCAAAAUAUGCCCAAUUAUAAUAGAGAAGUUGACCCAUCUAAAUACUAAAGGAAGAAAUCUCCAACUUAUUGCGAAAUUAUGGGUCUUAGUUCACACUUGAAAUUGAUUGGAAAAAGGAAAAUUUAGAGAAGAUAAAUCACUGUCGACAAAUUUUUGUCUUAAACUUUUUACUUACGAGAUAAAUUUUUUCUUAAAAGGUAAAGUUGAAUGUCCCCCUGCACAUAAGCGCCUAUUGUGGCUUGUAGGUCGACUAAUUAUCUUAUUAUCUCAUAAGAAGUUAUGCCGAAACCGUCCUCUUUUAGUUUUGCCAAAAUCAAUUUGACAAAAAGAUUCCACAACAGUCGAUUGGUUGCUUACUUGAACUUAAUGGGUGCAGGCAAAGAAUCGCAGUCCCCUAUGACUAAAAGUUAGGCACAAGGCUACUAUUCACAUCUGCCAGACAGCAUCAGCGUAUCAGAAAAAGAGGAGCGGAUUACUAAUCACUUGUGAAGUUGAUAAAAGUUCAACAGAAAAAAGAAGCAUGAAUGCUGUAACUAUUUUUCCAGCAAAAUAAGUUCGACCACACAGGAGUGCAGAGACGACAGCUGCAAUUUACAGAAGCGGAGAGUUCCGGUUCACCACAGAGUGCAACAUUAUAGUGUAUUCAAUCUGUCUCUACCGUUAAAUAGAGAGCUGAGGGUAUCAAUUUUCUACCGUUCUUAAUUCUAAUCGCUAGAAAUUAUGGUACCAAAAUAUCUUAAAGAUACGAGUAUCUCUGUUCAAAAAAAGAAAAAAAAAAACAUCAAACAAAUGAAAUCAACAGAUCCACUCAAAACUAAUUUAGCUUUUAGCGACAGUAAUUCACGCCAAAACUCAGAAGAGAGAGAGAGAGAGAGAGAGAGAGAGAGAGAGAGAACACGGGUGGCGAGCUCGCAAGACUGAGUGUUGUCGAUGAUGGAACCGGACUCGCCUCCGCCUUCGCUGCAGCUGCCGCCGCCGCCGCCGAGGAGCUCACUCUGAGGCUCGACACCGCUCGUCUCCGCUUCAGCUUCGUGCCGUCUUUUCUUCUUCGCCAUUCCUGCUCUCCGAUAUCACAAAGUUCCGAUUUUUCGACAAGGUACGAGGUCGACUGGUGAAGGGUUUAGGCGUCGAUGUUGGUGGUGGUAUUGCGUUUCAGGAUCUGAGGCCUGACAGUUGCAUAGAUGGAAGUGGAUGAGCAGGGCUUUAGCAUGAACGUUCUCGGCCUUUGAGAUCGGCAGAAGAGAGACAAAGACUCCUAUCAAACGGUGAAUUCAGCCUCCCUCGCCGGGCCUCAAAACGGGAGGCGGGCUCGGGCUACGCUACACCAAAACGGAAAGUUGAGUGAUAUGGACGGCCCUGAUUUCUCCGGCUACCGAAUGGAGAAUCCUCGCUGUCGACUGUCGAGUGAAAGGGCUGGUUAAGUUUCUUGGGCCUUAACGUUGGUGAUUGGAGAUGGGCAAGGCCCACAAUCCAUGUGGGGAAUGCAGCGCAUAAAACGAGCAGUCUGGCCCAAGGCCUUAAGAUCCACAGCAGAAGCAAUACGAAAAACCCUUCUACGUUGGAAGCUUAGCCUGGAUUCGAUAGUAACACAAUCGGGAGAAGAAAUAUUUGUACUGAUGUUUUCUGAUUAUUACAUAAGCAUAAGGAGCUUGCAAUAUACAGAGUUUUGAGUUGCCGGCCAACCACUGAAAUCAGGUGCGCAACUUACAUUUACAUUCUCUACCAUUAACCAAACUCAGAAGUCCAAGAGAUAAAAGUAUCCUGAAAACAACAAAAAGAUACUCGGACAAGUUGGAUUCCGCAAGAUCAGACUGCCUCUCUUCCUUCAUAUCCUCCACCGAUCAUCAGAACUCAGAGAAUCUUCUACCUUCUCACGCUUGUGUAUACAAAAAGAUUUUAGCUUCUUGAAGCUUGAUGGAUCCGGUUUAGUCUGCCUUGGAUCUCGACCACUUUAGGACAUCACUGCAGAUAAAAUUUCUGGAGCUUCUUCAAGUUGGUCAGGUCAGGCAACUUGUCCAUAGAUGGUACUCCUCCAAGCUUGAAGGCACUUGGGUUCUCCAAAACUCGGAGGCCUCUGAACUCACUUUAGGGCAAUGAAGCCGAGUUAUCCAGACAAGUGGAAAGGAAAGAACGGCUUAUACUGCGUGGGACUGUUGAGGAGAGGGUUCUUGGGAGCUUCUCUCGACGCCCAGGGGCAACUUCCAAAUCUGACGGCGCCUUUGAAUUUGAAAGGUCUAUUGAUGUUUUUAUUUCCCUGCAUGAUUC
RNAcentral lists this long non-coding RNA (167117 nucleotides) under Eucalyptus grandis. Its description in RNAcentral is "long non-coding RNA (EGRA_LNC005930)". Lineage: Eukaryota; Viridiplantae; Streptophyta; Magnoliopsida; Myrtales; Myrtaceae. The record is from RNAcentral.